This 172017-nucleotide long non-coding RNA is filed under the name Eucalyptus grandis. RNAcentral's name for it is "long non-coding RNA (EGRA_LNC003500)". Lineage: Eukaryota; Viridiplantae; Streptophyta; Magnoliopsida; Myrtales; Myrtaceae. The record is from RNAcentral.
CGUGUUCCCCUUUUCGGAGAUAAGGUUGAAGAAUAGCCUGAGCAUCGGGAUGAUCCCACAUCAGCGUCUUCCACUUUUCCUCUUCUUCCACCCAGAUAUACGGAAGCUCCUCAAUUUCACACAAUCGCAGUUGCAAAGGAGUCGGCUUCAGUUCUGGGCAUCUGGGAGGGGGGCCAAUGUUUUCAUGGAAUCGCAGCUUAUUGGGGCUUCGUAUAUGCUCUUCAGCUGGUGUAGAUCGCGUAGCUCCAAAUACUCUAGCUUUGGGAGAGAAAUUGAAGAAGGCUGGAAGGAUGAAGGAGUGUUGUUUACAGAAGUCGUUAUGCUUCCUUCUUGGCCUUGUCCCGCUCCGCUUAUCAACUCCACCAUUCGUUUGCAGUGUCUGACCUCGAUACUUUGAAGAUUUCGAAGAUGGAGCAGCCACUCAUACGUAAGCAGCUUUCUCAUGUUAUUGCAAUGGCUUACCUCAAGAGAUUCGAGAGAAAUCUGUUCAUCCGGCGAGUAUGGGGGAGGACCUCCGAUUAUCUCCUCCAUCUUCUCACAAUCAAAUGCUGUGAUUCUUCUUAGAUUAGGGAAGUGGGGCAUCCACUCGGAUUCCACCGCUCUCUUCAUCUUGUGACAGCGUGUAAUGCUAAUCUGUUCCAGACUAGGGAAAAAUGGGAGCGGAUGUGGUGGUGGGGAUGUAACUGCUGCUAUUAUCCCCACCGUCUCCUCACAUUCCCAUAUUUCAAUCUCUCGUAGAUGUGGAAGGUCGAAUUUAGACCCAUGCCCAAAGAGAUACUUCAGUUUCGGACAAUCCCGUAUUUUCAAAACCCUAAGGCUCGAGAAGAGGAGAGGCGCAAGGGCUGGGGCAAAGAUGUCGAUUACUUCUUUGUCUUCUCCUCCACAGAGCACCCCUAAGUUUUUUGAGUUGUAUAUAUCUAGCUCCUCAAGGUAUUCAAGCGGACCUAUGCUAGACAAAUUUGUUAUACCGUUGCAAAAAAUCGUCAUUUCCUGCACGUCUUGGGGAAUCAAAAUAAAAAUGCCGGUGCAUUCCCCUCCCACACUCACAAUAGCAUGAUCCCACCCCCAAAUGUUGACUUCCCUCUCCGGAUUCUCAAUUUGAGUAAAAUUAAAUUCGUCCUCCUCAUGAUCUGUUUUGUCCAUAUAAUAACAGAGAUAAUAAUAGCAGCGAGGGUUCCUCUGUUCAAUAUCCCUCACACACUUAUUGAAAUCAUUCGCAUCUUCAAAAGAGCAUUUGAGUGUCUCCAGUGCCCUCAAUUUUGUCAUGUCUUGUCCAUCUAGAAAAUAAACUUUAAGAUGCUGCAAGUUUAGCAAACCCCCCAUUACUCUUUUAGGUAAUUCAACGGUCAAUGAAAACGUAGGUCAAGGUAUCUCAAGUUCACCAACAUUUCCAGACCCUCGGGCACUUCUUUAAGCUCAGAACAGCCACCAACGUCCAACUUUCUUAAAGAUGUGAGCUUCCCUAAAUAAGGAAUAUGGCACAAUCCCUGACACCCUCUAAGCAAUAGUGCUCUCAAGUUUACCAAAUCUGAGAUGGAAUUUNNNNNNNNNNNNNNNNNNNNNNNNNNNNNNNNNNNNNNNNNNNNNNNNNNNNNNNNNNNNNNNNNNNNNNNNNNNNNNNNNNNNNNNNNNNNNNNNNNNNNNNNNNNNNNNNNNNNNNNNNNNNNNNNNNNNNNNNNNNNNNNNNNNNNNNNNNNNNNNNNNNNNNNNNNNNNNNNNNNNNNNNNNNNNNNNNNNNNNNNNNNNNNNNNNNNNNNNNNNNNNNNNNNNNNNNNNNNNNNNNNNNNNNNNNNNNNNNNNNNNNNNNNNNNNNNNNNNNNNNNNNNNNNNNNNNNNNNNNNNNNNNNNNNNNNNNNNNNNNNNNNNNNNNNNNNNNNNNNNNNNNNNNNNNNNNNNNNNNNNNNNNNNNNNNNNNNNNNNNNNNNNNNNNNNNNNNNNNNNNNNNNNNNNNNNNNNNNNNNNNNNNNNNNNNNNNNNNNNNNNNNNNNNNNNNNNNNNNNNNNNNNNNNNNNNNNNNNNNNNNNNGACAAGAAGCACUGUUGCACAUCAGGAUUACCAAGGCGAUCAUAACUGAAUUUUAGAUUCAUUAAGACCUUCUUCUCCAUAUCUGUUUGCCCCUUACUUGAUUCUUCCAAUUUAACCAAGGAAUCCCUCCAUUCAAACACAUCAGUCACUCCUCGCAUGCUUCUUGCCAUCGUGAUGACUCCAAUUGGCAAUCCUGCACAUUCUUUAACAAUGGACUUCACAAUUGCUUCAAUUUCCAAAUUAAGUGGCAUUUCAGGUCCAAGCUCCUCCAAAAACAAACUCUCGGCCUCUUUUUGAGAUAGAGGCUCGAUUUUUAUGUUUUUUUGACAUUGCAUCCGGUGGCACACAUCAAAGGAUCGAGUGGUUAAGACGAACUUAAAUCCAUGUGCUCUAACAGGGAUUCCCACCUCUUCAAGAUCAAGAUGUUCCCACACAUCAUCAAGAAUCAAUACCCAAUUCUUCUUUGUUUCUAAAUGCUUCGACAACAUCGCUGCUCGUUUCUUCUCAUCCUCAUCCUCCGUAAUACCACAUUUUAAUGCCUUCCCAAUAUCACUCUGCAAUUUAUAAAUGCUGAAAUCUUUGGACACAGUGAUCAAACCCACACCAUCGAAGGUUGCAUCUUCGAGAAGUCUAUUAUGUAUGUGCAUCAUAAUAGUUGUCUUCCCAACACCACCCAUUCCAUAAAUACCCAAUUUGCACCCAUGAUUCUUCGUAAGAUGGUCCCAAAUCAACUUAAUGUUCCUUUGAAUCGCUUUACCUGUUAACUCUCGUUCCAAAAAUUUGACUCCUUGGGCAUCCCUCUCUUCUAUGAGCAGUGGUUGUGGAAGCGUUUUUCCUAUGAGUUCUUCCACUUCUCUCGUCAAUGUCUCCACCUGUUGCUUUGGUGGCAAAGUUUCUGCAUUGGCUUGGCCAAUUAUUUGGAAAUUGUUUCUUGCUCUUUCUGUCUCUUUCAGCCAUCUCUUAACCAAUAUCCUCGGCUUCUUCCGAACUGAGGAAGCAGCAGACUCUAUGUCCAUCUGCUCCUUUAUGACAGCGUCUUUGUCGUCGAGUUCUUCCACUUUUCUUUUCAGGUUUCUUAUCUCUUCAUCGUUGGCAUAGAUGCUCCGUACGUCCAUGACUGGAGAACCCCUGUUCAUAUCUAAUUUAUAAAAAAAACAUAUGUUAGAUUUCGAUAAAAUAAUUUGGGUAUAUUUAAGAAUCUAGUGGAACCAUAGUAACAAUGAAGAUCAAUCCAAACGCACCUUGUGAUGACGAUGGGCCUGUUGUUUUUGUUGCCGCCCCUGGAACUUGCGAAUCAAUCAUUAUUGCCUCAAUAUUUCGAGAGUCGAUUGUAUGCUGUGAUGCAAUUGAGGGAUCUAUGUCCAUUGGAGUUUGCAAUUGAGAGUGCCGAUUGCAAUCCUGCAAGCAAUUUGAAUUACCUCCAGUAGGUAGUUGAUCAUACUGGAAUGAUGAUGCCCCUGUUGGAGUCUGCUGGUCAUUCAUUUGUAUUUGAGAUUGAAUGGAACAUUGUCGUUGACAGAGCAAACUGAGAGGAUUCGGUCCUUCUUCCGUACUUUCACCUGUGUGUUGUUCAUCAAAGUUAGGAUAUGGUUGAUUGGAACACAGAAGAAUGCUUGCUGUAGUUAGUUUACUGGAUCAGUGGAUCCAGAGGACACGUGCAACACAUUGGAUGUAUGUAUUGUUAUUAAGGAAUAAAUCAUGAACUCUCUUCACAUCUGAAAAGUUGCGUGGGAAAAGCAUGUUUAUCGGGGAUAUUUUAAGGUCAUCACUUUGGUUAAAAAAUCCGACGUGUUUGCAUUGAAAAAUAUAAUAGAUGUUUUUCUCCCCGCCUAGAUGAAUGUAUAGAAACUUCACAUGAACAUACCAUGGCGAUUUUGUGCCAGUGACGGCAUUGUUGAACUCUGAGGAAACUGACGCUCUGCUUGUGAUUGUUGGCCAGAGUUUAGCCCAUUGAUAUCCUGUUGGUUGAAGUUUGAAACGUCGGUCGGCCACUGCGGAGCAGCAUUUGAAACUUGUGAUGAUGGUAGGAUACGUAAAUCCAUAUUCCUUAGAGAUGUUGAUGAUAGUGCAGUUGGAUUCUGCAGCACAUUCCUUGUCUCGGAUUGAUGUGGAGCAUUUUGAUGUUGAGGGGGCACCAAAACUGGUUGCACUAAAAAAGUCGAGCGUAAAAUAAUUCAACGAUGGGACUUUUAAAUCAAGUCAUGGGUACAGGUAAAACGAAUGUCUAGAACUUGAUUAAAAAAAAUAUUUACAGCGAAAAUCAACAUAUGCUCAUAAGUAAAUAUUUUGAUGAAAUAAAUCGUGGGGUAAAAAGAUAAUGACAUUGGACAUAUAGAAUAUGUGAUGAUACAACUGUAAAUUGGAAUCGAUACGAUAUGGAAGCUGAUGAAUUUGAGUUAUUAUAAAGAGAGUUACUAAUACGAAAAAUAUAAUGAUUUUUCUUUUCUCCACGCCUGGAUGAAUGUAUAGAAACUUUACAUGGACAUACCAUGGCUAUUUUGCACCUGUGACGGCAUUGUUGAACUUUGAUGAAACUGACGCUCUGUUUGUGAUUGUUGGGCAGAGUUUAACACAAUGACAUCCUGUUGGCUGAAGUUUAACUGUUCCAUAUAUUCGAGGAAUGCUGGUGAGAAUAAAGGCCCUGUGGAAAAUUGACCAUUGGCUUCCCUGCUCUCUUCUUCAGCCUCCACCUCAGCUUGAAGUGGCACGUCACGUGAGUUUGGCUCCACGGAGGAUUGACCGUGGGCUUCUCUGCUCUGCUCUUGAGCCACCUCUCUGCUCUCUUCUUCAGCCACCUCAUCGAGUAACGACCGCAUUAGAAUUAAAUAUUUUGAAGAAAGUAAUGGUGUGAUAAAAAGUGAUAUCGGACAUAUAGAAUGUGCAAUGAUGCUCGGCAUGUUCUUGAUUGGAUAAUCCAUGUUGCUAUCUUGUUUAAAAAACCAUAUGUUAGAUUUCGAUAAAAUAAUAUGGAGAUAUUCAAAGAUCUAACAUAACCAUAGGAGCAAUGUAGAUUAAUCCAUACAAACCUUGUGAUGAUGAUGGCCCCGUUGUAUUUGUUGCCGCCUCUGGAACUUUCGAAUCAUUGAUUUGUGUCCCAGUAAUGUGAUUUGUACGCUGUGAUGCAAUUGAGGGAUCUACGUCCACUGGCGUUUGCAAUUGAGAGUCAUUGCAGUCCUGCAAGCAAUUUGAAUUACCUACAGCAGGUAAUGAAACAUACUGGAAUGAUAAUGCCCCGGCUGGAGUUUGCUGGUCAUUCAUUUGCAUUUCCUCGGGAUAAGGAGAUCGAUUGGAACACCGUGGCUGACCUGGCGAAUCAAGAAGAUACGAUUCUGAUUCUACUGCUGCUAAAGCCAUCGUUGAAUGUGACAAGCUUUCACCUGUGUUGUUUAUCAAAAUUAGGAUAUGGUUGAUUGGAACACGAGAAAAUGCGUACGGUAGUUUAUUGCAUCCAAUGGGUCCGAUCGGCACAUGCAACACAUUCAAUGCACUGUUGUUAAGGAAUAGGUGAUUGACUUUUUUCACAUUUGAAAAGUCCCGUAGGAAGAUCGUUUUUAUCAAAGAUGUUUAAAAGUCGCCACUUUGGUUAAAAAAACCCAACGUGUUUACAAUGAAAAAUACAAUAGAUGUUUUUUCUCCAUGCCUAGAUGCAUGGAUAGAAACUUCACAUGAACAUACCGUGGAUAUUUUGCGCCGGUGGCGGCAUUGCCAAAGUCUCACGAAAAUGAUGCUCUAGGUCAUAGUCUACGUUUUCCAAGUCGGUCGCCCACUCUGUUGUGAAUAAGUUUUCUAUAUCUUCCAAGCUUUGUGAUGACCGAGGAACAGCUGGAGACAGCAUGUCACGCGACUGUGGUUCCGUGGAAAAUUGACGGUCGGCUUCUCUGAUCUCUUCUUCAGCCACCUCAGCUUGACUCGGCAAGUCACGGGAAUUUGGUUCGAUGGAGGAUUGACCGUGGGCUUCUCUGCUCUGUCCUUCAGCCACCUCUCUGUUCUCUUCUUCAGCCACCUCAUCGAGUAACGACCGCAUUAGAGUUAUUAUGUGGUCCGGCACUUCCGUGCAAUUGGAAAUCCCUUCAAUUGGGGCUUUAAGCAAGUGACCUUUCACUCCCGUAAGGUCUCCAGAGAAUUCUACACUGCAGUAAUGACAACGCCAUUUGUUGUCCUCCAGUCUAUCGACAAAUUUCCAGGCUAUAUCAUCUUUGUUAUCAACCUGCAAGCAAAUAGAGCGCACCCCUGUCAUAUAUUAUCCCCAUUUUUUAAAUAUCUUCUUAGCACGCAUAGCAUUAUUCUCUCGCAAAUAAUGUAGCUACCACAAGCGCUAAAGACACCUGAUUCUGUGACAAUUCCAUUAGCGUGCUUAUGUGCUCCGGCACUUUUUUGCAAGGAGAAAUGCCUUUGUUUCGAUGUUUAAGAAAGUGACUUUUCACUCUUGUGACUUUUCCAGAGUAUUCAGUCUCGCAGUGAGGACAACGCCAUUUCUCGCCCUCCAGUCUAGUCACGAAUUUCCAGGCUAUGUCUUUAACUCGCGGCAUCUUGUCGUUUUGAUUAUCAACCUGCAGGCAAAGAGAGCACGCCCAAUUAUAUAACCUACCAAUCUUGUGUAUGUUUUCCUGAUGCGCAUAGCAUUAUUCUCAAGCAAAUAAUAGCAUCCACAAGUACUAAAGCAGGAAAGCCAAACUGCAUAUUAAUAUUCAACAGACCCAAGAAUAAUUUGCUUUUUUUUGAGACAAGAAAUACCCGAUCAACUCAAAAGACAACUUGACAAUUGCGGAUUACCUUCUCAAGAAGGUAAUGUGGGGAAUCAAAAUGUCGUUGGAUUUUGACCAAAUCGUUGCCGCAAAGCAAAAUCCAAAAUAGAUCCGGACAUUAACUUUUAAAACAAAAAUCCCAAAUUCCUAAGAAAUAGAGCUAAAAAAAUAUUGUCUAGUGUUCGGAAAUGGAGAUUUCUAGCGUAGCUCGACCCUUUCAACGGGCUGCAAUCCACUGAUGUCGAUCUUCCCCUCUCUCUUCUCGCCCCUUCUCUAUUUCUUGGUCUCUCUUCGAGAAGUCUAUUGCAUCUCACAGUUAAGUCCACCCACCUACAUUCAGGUCAUUUAACCCUUCAUUUCGCAUAGAAUCCAUCAGAUCUACUUGUCGAGUGCGCAUAUAUUUGAUCCAGGUAAAUAAGGAUGUUCAGUUGGAGAGUCUUUAUUUUAUUCUUACAAAAUGUAAAAUGGCAAAGAUGAGGACGAAGCAACAUACCAGUUAGGACAGAAAAAGCAGAUUCAGAUGCAUGCAGGUGGCAAAGAUGCAAUCAAGAAGUAGAACUAAGAAGCUGUUCUCGAGAUUCGAAAGCACUGGUCAGCAUCCAGGAAUCAAGCAACGAGUCCUUCUUUUGCUGAAGGCGGAGAUCCAAUUCCUAGAGUAACAAGGGCAUUGGCCUGCUGUUGGAGACAGGAAUGAACACCUUUUGGUGAAGAAUCAAGAGGAACUCUGCCAGAGUGACAACAGAACAGUUGCUAAGAAUGCCCAGGAAAUGUCUCCGUCUUUUUUUAAUUAUUUCAUUUUGCUUUUCUAUGUGAGAGAGGGAGAGAGAGACUCGGCAUUGGUCAAAGUCUUGCAUUAUGAUCAAAACACUGUUGAGAGGUACGGAUAUGCUCUAUUUGUGAAAUUUCUGUGGAUUCCUGUUGUCCAAAAGUUUUCUCUUUUUUUUAAUCAAACUCAAAGGCCUUUUUUUUUCCUUAUCGCAACCCAAAAGCUAGUUCAACUAGUAGAGUUUGUCAGCAUCUUUAGUCACAUGGAGGCCUCACGAAGAAUUCUUACGUGGCCAGUCAGAUAUUUGUUGUCACAUACUACCCCUUUUUAUAUCUUUUUCGUUUUCAUCCUACACUAUAACUAUUACUAAAAUAAAUAAAAAUGACUUUUUUCCCCUUCAAAGAUUUGAUUGAUUGUUUUUACUUCGCCUCUAGUAACUUUGCCUUUUCUAUUUAUUUUUCCUCCUUAGAUUCUACGAAAUGAUAUAUUUUUAGCAUUAUCCAAAUUAACCCCACACAUGAAAAUUUUGAACAUCCGAAUAUAUUAUCUAUUUGGUCUUAUUAUUUAGGACCAAUGAGCUAGCCUUUUUGCCAUUGACUUGCUAGUGGUAAGUGCUCUAAUCUUUCAGGUUCUCCAUCUAUCCAUGACUUCCAAGCAUUAAAAGAGGGGUGAUAGCGGUGCAAUUCUUUCUUUCUUCGUCUUCCUACAUUUUAACUCAAAGUGGGGCUGAGGUGAAUUCUUACAACAAAGGGUGAAAAGAGAACUUCCCAGCCUACGUUUUCAGAUAUGAUCCAACUACUAAGCAGAUCAAGUAUUCUAUACCCAAUGCACCGAUCCAAAAGAGCGAAGCAGCGUAUGUGGCAUAACAAAUAUAAUUGACAAUUUUAUGCUAUAUCAUAUUUGAAAUCUUUUCUAAACACAAACAGAUUAAAGAUGGUUUGGCUAAAAUUCUCUUUCCUUAGGAGGAUUUAUUUCGGGAAGAUCAAUCCAUGAUAAUAAAUUGUUUCAUUUCUAAGACAACAAGGAAGCAGACUCUGCUCAUCCCUUGGCUUCUCGGAUAUUUAGAUUCAUUGUUCUUCGACUAACCCAAAAUAUCGACCAGAUUUUUGUUCUUUUUCAGUGAAAGAGUACUCAUUAGAUUGAAAUUGGACUAUACACCAACAAAUUCCAGGAAGGUAAUUUCAUGUGAAGUUUUGUAGCAUUAUUAGCAACUGAAAUAGGAAGCUAACACAUCUGAGAGAUAUAUACCUGUAUAACUUCGAAAGGAGGAACUCUGAGUCUAAGGCCACUAUUACAAUCUGAAGCACAAAUCGCGGUCGCUGUCCGAGAAUCCGGAGGACAGGUGGACUUCAUUUACUAAAAGCUACAAAGAAAGGAAACUCUUUUGGCGAAGAAACAAAUGGUAUCGCUCAAGGCAAAAAGGACUUUGGCAGGAUGAAAAGUCAUUCAAGGGCCUCAAUCAUUGACCUGUCGCUGCUGAUUCUGAACGUUUUGAUCUUUAGUUGAUGCUAUAAAGAAAUUAUGCAACCGAUUUCUUCGUUAGGUGGGGAAAACUUAGGAGCAAAUUUGGCUUCGGCAAGAGAGGUAUAUAGCUCUAUUUUUGUCGGUUUCUGAACGACCAUAUUAGGUAGGCAGAUUCCUUCCGGAACGUGGGAAGAAGGUUUAUCAUGUAGACAACGCAACAAAUUUGACACGGUUCCAUUAAAUAAUAAGAUUCUGCCGAUUUGGUUUGUGCACAUUUGCUUUAUUGAAAGUUGAGGUUGAGAUAAAACAAAUAGCAUAGAGACUAACCUAACCGAAUAAAAAAUGGAUGUGCCAGCUUGUUUGGUUUCAACAACCGAGUUGAUCCCGCAAGUCCCGCUGAUUUUUCUGGAUACACGGCAAGUUGGUGAUAGUGAUGAGGGGCCGCUCUGGUUGAAGUAAUCUGAUGUAUUUGUUGAGAUCAACAACAUUCUUGAAGGAAGAAGAAUCAAGAGCCUCCAGUGCCCAUAACUUCGUCCCGUAUUCUCCCUUCACAUCCCCAACCUUAAGAUAUCAUGAGUUUGCCAAACCUGUGCCGGCCAAUAUUCCUUCCACCAAACAGACGGAGUAUUUUCCUUGUAUUAAUCGGAUAAGUUUUAGGAUGUGGUUGAGUUUUCCUAAUAAAUUUAGGAAUUCUUAUGCAUUAUCAUUUCUUUUUUUUUUCCUGGGUUUUCUUGCAUGCGUAUUACUACUAUGGUGCUUUUUUGGAGCCAUACCAAAUACCAUUCAAUUUUGAUGAAUAGAUGUGCUUCGUACAAAAUAUUUAUGAUUCGAAUGCACUCCAUACAAAGAUCAUGAUUAAACAACAUUGUCAAAUUGCUUAGGUCGACAUCCACCGUUACUCAGAUCAUGCAAGAGGAACAAGCAUCUUAUAUUGUUGAUAUACAAGUACUCUUAUAACCAAUACCUUGUAAUUAACUUGAUAGAUUCGAUGUUACUUUUUGUAAUCAAGAAAGUUGCAAGCCACCCUGAAACAUUUAGCUAAUAUAAUUAGAUAUACACUACUUAAAACUUAUUUUUCUAUAAGCAAAAGUAACUCUUUUCGAUGUGAUAACUUGUUCGGAACUAUUUAGCUUUCCCCCCCAUUUAUCAUUUAGUUUUUUAUGGUAAACUUAAAUACAUCCAGAAGUAGGAGCAAGUGUCAAGGAAUUCUCCAGGACAUAAAUAAUUCUUUUCACCGUGUUAGGAAGUUUUUAUACUGAAGAUAGUUCUUAAAUGUACCCCUUUGUUUUUAAUAAUUAUUAUAGAAACCUGUUGUCGACCCUCCUCCGCACCCAACGCCCUUCCUUUGAAGCAAAAGUAUCUCUUACUCGACCAUUAAGCGUCUUCUUUCUUCUUCAUCCCAUCUACUGACCUUGUGAUCCUUUUGGUUAAGUAAAUAUGAAACUUUACAAUAAAACAUCCCUUUUGCAACAACGGAUUGUCACAUGAAAAAAGUCAGUCAUCUGCAACUUCAAAUUUGCGGGAAGGCUGGCUCAAGGAGCAUAGCAGCUGAAGGCCUCCCAGCAGGCCAGCUUCGAAAGCAGCAGUGCAGAAAUCCCUUCCCUCAGCGGAUGUCUCAGGUAUUGGUGGAGAACUUCGCAUCACCUUAAAUAUAGCUUGAGCCUACAUUAAUAAUUAAACCUUAAACAGAAACCAAAGACACAGAUCACAUACCAAAUAGUAAUACACAAAGUCCCAGACUUCCAACAGAAAACAGUGACACAGAUUUGGUUGGAAGCGUAUAUCCUUGGAAGGACUGACAUAAUGAAAAGCAAUGCAGCGUUCUUACCUGUUCAUACUCACUUCUAGGAGGUUUCACAGUUAUCAUUUCAAUAAUAGUACAUCCCAAACUCCAGAUACCGGCAGUAUGAUUGAGACCCGUGCUGUUAUCAUUCACCAUCAAGGAUUGUAUGAGCUGUAGGAUAUAGUAUUUCGUCAUUCCGCCACAACAAAAAAAGAAUGUAGCAUUAACGUUCACAAAAGCAAAGUACCUCUGUAGCCAUCCAAUUCAGACUUCCCUUCAAAGAGCAUUAAGCUGCUUGUCCAGUUAGCUAAGAACUGCUAUGACAUUAGUAAAGCCAAAGACUAUUUGGUGAGUUCAUGUAACCCUGGAUAUAAAUUGCAACAUCUUCAUAGACAUAGAUAUACAUCAGGUCAACAAAAAAGAACUAAAUCAACCGCUUUUGACUUAUGUUAGCUCAUCACUGAGAAAAGGACCAUGGAGCAAUCAACAAAAUGAACAAAUGCUUCAGAACUCAAAAAGAGAGCAAAAAAAUCUUGGUUGCUGUCCAGAUUUCCAUCUAUGGACUAAUAAACUUUUAUUUACCCCAUGUUAGGAAGGAGGCGACUCUUACUCUGACUAAAUUCGAUCCUUCACUUGGAAGGCAGAGAAGUAGCAAAAACAACACGAGAAGAACCUUUCACCAGAGGUAUCUCACUCCAUCUGCUAUGCUCUUAGGAACUUUUCAGAAACCAGUAGAAAAAGAAAGAACUCUCAUUUGGUUUCGGCAUCUAUUUACAGCUAGAGAUCUUUUCCUAUUUAUGCAAAAUAGUAACAUUACCCGAAACGAUGGCGAAAAAAGUGAAGAAAAUUAUUCAAUAACAUUUCAUCCAUCUAUAAUAGACUUUUGCACGGAUGAAAUGCCACAAUCCAAUAAUGAGAAUUACGCAUUAAGAGAGCAUAGAUGAAGAAUAACAAGCUUGCAUGUUUUCUUUUCUUAGUUUCUUUUUGUGCUCACCUAAUCAAUCAGUCAUCCUCACUUCACAUUCACUAGUAAAUGCACCCGCAGAUCAGCGAGGAAUUUCUAUAUGCACUCAGUACUCUGGCAGUGAAGAGGUGGAAACUCACAUGUUUAGCAAUCCCAAAGUCAGCAAGUCUGACUAUCCCAGAUGCAUCCACAAACAAAUUAGCUUCCUUUAAAUCCUUGAGCAGGCCAAAGAGUUUUCACAGGUCUGUAGGCACAAAGAAGAAGGUCUCAUCAUCCUUAUCCAAUAUGCAAGUCAUCUAAUGAUGCUUGAUCAAUGGUUUAGAAUUACCCAUGUAUGGAAUUGUUAACACACAGGUAAGCCAAUCCAGUCACAAUAUGGCAGGUAAAAUUGCGGACAAUCAAUUCUGUUAGGGCCAUAAGAUGCUCAUGGAUUUACUUGUCUAUGGAACCAUGAUGUGCAUACUCUAGAUAUAUGUUAAGCUAAUCCUCAACCUGAGUAUGUAUGAAUAUGUUGAAAUUUUGGCGAGUCAAAUUAUGAAUGCCCAUUGAGUUGAGACAUGUAGAUGCAAUGGAAAGGUGUCUCACAAUUUCACUGCCAUAAUACCGCAGAAUGUUUGGAAGUCUCAGCUGGCUAAGUACUUCAAUUUCCUAUGUAACAGGUUGAAAAGAAAAAAAAAACAAACAAAAGGAGGUAGCAAAGAUAUCAAUUACCUGGAACCGAUAAAAGAAACUUUCCACGGCAUAUUAAGAUCAGAUGAGAGGAUAGAUUGGAUGCCAGAGCUACAAAAAAUUACCUGCUUUAACUGCCUCAUGCACUCAGCCAAAUUUGGAUCGAUAGUAAAUAACUCGAACUCCUUCAAUAUACACAGAACUCUGGUUUCUGUGUCACGGAACAUGUCAAAGUUUAGCUAAUUGGAUGUCUAAAAAAAUGCAACGUGUAGAAGUUUCCCAGAGCUAGCUUACUGGUUGCUUGCAAUGUAAACACUUCCGAAAGUGCCAUGUCCAAUAAGCUGGCCUUUUUGCCAUUGACUUGCUAGUGGUAACUGUUAUGUUCUUUCAGCAACUUGAGCUGAUGCUGCAGGAUUCUCCAUCUAUCCACGACCUUGAGGCGUCAAGACAAGGUGGAUUAACGAGCAAUUCUUACUUCUUCUUCUUUUUACACUUAACUCAAAGUGGGGUUGAGGUGAAUUUUCACAACAUAGGACGAAAAGAAAACUUCCUAGCCUAUGUUUCUAGAUAUGAUACAAAUACUAAGCAGAUCCACUAUUCUAUACCCGAUAGUUUAAUGUUGAAACAAUUUAAUCUGGGUCAUGUUGCUCUGAUCCAAAAGAGUGAAGCGACAUAUGCAGCACGACAUUUUCGAUCAACAAGUUAGAGUAAUAUCAUAUUUGAAAUCCUUUCUAAACACAAACAGAUUAAAGGUAGUGCUGCCCAAAAUUCUCUCUUUUCUUAAGUGUGGACAACCGAUUCUGUUAGGGUCCCAAGACGCUUCUGGAUAUACUUGCCUAUUGAACCAUGAUGUGCAUAUUCUAGAUAUACAUAAAGCUGAUCCUCAACCUGAACAUGUAUGAAUAAAUUGUCCUUUCGGUUAUAAGACAAGAUAGGAAACAAACUCUGCUAGUCCCUUGGCUUCCCAAAUCUUCAGAUUUGUUUGUUUUUUGACUAACUUGAAAUAUCGACUAGAUUGAUUCAUUUUCAGUAGUCGAUAAAACAUGCGACCGCAUUCAAAAUACACAAAGCAUGGCCACAUGAAAAAAGUCAAUUCAUAUGGCAACCAGAGUUGAGUUUGCAAGAAAGCAUGGUCGAGCAGCAGGCUUUCUUCAAGAGAAGAGUCACCGGAGAUCCUCUCCCUGGGCGAACAGUUCUGCAAAAGGCCACUAUUAGAGCUGCAUGACUAUAUAGACAGAAAAGCUACAUCUUUGUAAGGACUUUUAAGAAGUGAAGCAAUUUUAUAUCAAUUAAACUCAUUAACCUAUAGCAUUUGGAGUAUACUGCAUCCCCACGAAAUGAGGAUGAUUGAAGUCUUUCCCUUUUUGGAGAUAAGGUUGAAGAAUAGCCUGAGCAUUUGGAUGAUCCCACAUCAACGUCUUCCACGUUUCCUCAUCUUCCACCCAAAUAUACGGAAGCUCCUCAAUUUCACACAAUCGCAGUUGCAAAGGAAUCCCCUUCAGUUCUGGGCAUUCGCACACUCUCAAAUCUUCCAUGGAAUCGCAGCUUAUUGGGACUUUGCAUAUGCUCUUCAGUUGGGGUAGAUUGUAUAGUAGCAAGUACUCCAGCUUUGGGAGAGAAAUAAGAGGUUGGAAGGAUGAAGGGGUGUUGUUUACAGGAGUCAUUGUGCUUCCUUCUUGGCCUUGUCGCGCUCCGCUUAUCAUCUCCACCAUUCCUUUGCAGUGAGUGACAGAGAUACGUUGAAGAUUUCGAAGAUGGAGUAGCCACUCAUGCGGAAAUAGCUUUCUCAUGUUAUCGCAGCAAUUUACAUCAAGAGAUUCGAGAGAAAUCUCUUCGACUGGCAAGUAUUGGGGAGGACCUCCGAUUAUCUCCUCCAUCUUCUCACAUACGGAUACUUCGAUUCUUCUCAGAGCAGGGAAGUGGGGCAUCCACUCAGAUUCCACCACUCUCUUCAUUUUAUGACACCCCUUAAUCAAAAUCUUUUCCAGACAAGGGAAAAAUGGGAGCAGAUGUGGUGGUGGGGAAGUGACUGCUGCUAUUAUCCCCACCAUUUUCUUACAAAAAUCUAUUUUAAUCUUCCGUAGAUGUGGAAGAUGUGGUGGUGGGAAGUGACUGCUGCUAUUAUCCCCACCAUUUCCUCACAAAGAACGUAUUUUAAUCUUCCGUAGAUGUGGAAGGUUGGAUUUAUACCCAUGCCCAAAGAGAUACUUCAGAUUCGGAGAGUUAGAUAUUUCCAAAACCCUAAGGCUCAGGAAGAGGGGAAGGAUAGGGGUUAGGGUAGGGGAGUCGUGGAUGUCGAUUACUUCUUCUUCUUGCCCUCCAUAGAACACCCCCGAGUUUUUCCAUCCUACUAUUGCUAGCUUCUCAAGGUAUUCAUGCGAACACAUGCUAGACAAAUUUGUUAUACCGUCGCAUUUUAUCAUACUCAUUUCCCGCACAUCUCGGGGAAUCAACAUAAAAAUGCCGGUGCAUUCGCCUCCCGUGCUUGCAAUGGCAUGAUCCCAGUCCCAAAUGACGACUUGCCUCUCCCUAUUCCCAAAUUUCAUAAAUCGAGUAUCAUCACUUACUUCCGCAAAAAAUCUUUUAUUUUUUGAAAAACUUUUUUCAUACGCGUGGAGGCAGUAAUGGCGGGGGUUAUUACUCUGCUCAAUAGCCCUCACACACUUGUUGAAAUCAUCCACAUUUUUAAGGUAGCAACUAAAUGUCUCCAAUGCCCCCAAUUUUGUAAUGUCUUCUUUAUUUAUUGCCCCAACUUUAAACCAUUGCAAGUUUAGUAAAUGGUCCAGUGUUCCUUUGGACAAUCGCUCAAUACGCAUUUCAGUAAGGUCAAGGUAUCUCAAAUUUACCAACUUUUCUAGACCCUCAAGCACUUCAAGCCUAAAACACUUUUUAGCGUCCAACUUUCUUAAAGAUGUGAGCUUCCCUAGAUAAGGAAUACAGCACAAUUUACUACACUCUCUGAGCAAUAGUGCUCUCAAGUUUACCAAGUCUGAGAUGGAAUUUGGAAGUUCCGUCAUAUGAUUUUCACUCAAAUUUAGAACCUUUAGCCCCAAUAAAUUUUUGAAGAAAGAAUUGGGGAUGGCCAAAUUCCUCAACAAGCAUCCAUUCAGUAGUAAAGUUGAUAAUUUAGGACAAUUUGGUGACAUGUUCAACGGAAAUUCUUUAAAGCAAUUCUUCAUCAGAGAAACUUUCUCCAAAGAAUUCAUCCAAUAUUCCUCAGAUGGAAUGUUCCUCAAUUGGUUUCCUGCUUUUACAAUGGAAGUCGUAUUCAUGACAUGCAACGCCAUGUCUCUAAUCAAAUCAUGCAUUUUCAUAUGGUGCCCAUUAUUUUCAAAUACGAAAGCAAGCCCAUGAUCUUCCAAUAGGCAAGCAUUUACUAGUUGGUUCAAUAUGGUGAGGCCUCUAUCAUAUUGUUCCUUCCUCGUAUUCAAUUCACCAAUCAAUCCUUGGUCGAUAAAGAAUUCUACCAAUUUGAACUCACUGAUCAAUUCAUCUUCUGGAUAAAGUGCACAAGAUAAGAAACACCGUUGGACAUUGGGAUUACCAAGGCGAUCAUAACUGAAUUUCAAAUUCAUUAACACCUUCUUCUCCAUAUCUGGUUGUCCCAUACUCGAUUCUUUCAAUUUCACCAGGGAAUCCCUCCAGUCAAACACAUCGGUCACUCCUCGCAUGGUUCUUGCCACUGUGAUGACUCCCAUCGGCAAGCCUGCACAUUCUUCAACAAUGGACUUCAUAAUUGUUUCAAUUUCCAUAUUAAGUGGCACUUCGGGUCCAAGAUCCUCCAAAAACAAACUCUCGGCUUCUUUUUGAGAUAGAGGCUGGAUUUUUAUCUUUUCUUGACAUUGCAUCCGGCGGCACACAUCAAAGGAUCGAGUGGUUAUCACUAUCUUAAAUCCAUCUGCUCUAAUAGGGAUUCCCACCUCUUCAAGGUCAAGAUUUUCCCACAUAUCAUCAAGAAUCAAUACACAAUUCUUCUUUCUUUCUAAAUGCUCUGACAGCAUCACUGCUCGUUUCUUCUCAUGCUCAUCCUCCGUAAUGCAAACUUUUAAUGCCUUCCCAAUAUCACUCUGCAACUUAUAAAUGCUGAAAUCUUUGGACACAGUGACAAAAAUCACACAAUCGAAGGUUGCAUCCUCAAGAAGUCUAUUAUGUAUGUGCAUCAUAAUAGUUGUCUUCCCGACACCACCCAUUCCAUAAAUACCCAAUUUGCAUACAUGGUUCUCUAUGAGACGGUCCCAAAUCGACUCGAUGUUCCUAUGAAUCGCUUCACCUAUUAGCUUUCGUUCCCAAAAUUUGACUCCUUUGGCAUCUCUCUCCUCUAUGAGUAGUGUUUGUGGAAGCGAUUCUCCUAUGAGUUCUUCCACUUCUCUCGUCAAUGUCUCCACCUGUUCCUUUGGUGGCAAAGUUUCCGUAUGGGCUUGGCCAAUUAUUUGGAAUUUAUUUCUUGCUCUUUCUGUCUCUUUCAGCCAUCUCUCAACCAGUAUCCUCGGCUUCUUCCGAACUGAGGAACCAGCACACUCUAUCUCCAUCUGCUCCUUUAUGACAGCUUCUUUGCCGUUGAGUUCUUCCACUUGUCUUUUCAGGUUUCUUAUCUGUUUAUCGUUGGCAUAGAUGCUCCCUACGUCCAUGACUGGAGAACCCCAGUUCAUAUCUAAUUUAUAAAAAAACAUAUGUUAAAUUUCGAUAAAAUAAUUUGGGGAUAUUUAAGAAUCUAGUGGAACCAUAGUAACAAUGAAGAUUAAUCCAAACACACCUUGUGAUGACGAUGGGCCUGUUGAAUUUAUUGCUGCCCCCGGAACUUGCGAAUCAACCAUUAUUGCCUCAAUAAUUCCAGAGUCAAUUGUAUGCUGUGAUGCAAUUGAGGGAUCUAUGUCCAUUGGAGUUUGCAAUUGAGAGUGCCGAUUGCAAUCCUGCAAGCAAUUUGAAUUACCUCCAGCAGGUAGUUGAUCAUACUGGAAUGAUGAUGCCCCUGUUGGAGUCUGCUGGUCAUUCAUUGAAGCCAUCAUGGAACUUUCACCUGUGUGUUGUUCAUCGAAGUUAGGAUAUGGUUGAUUGGAACACAGAAGAAUGCUUACUGUAGUUAGUUUACUGGAUCAGUGGAUCCAGAGGACACGUGGAACACAUUGGAUGUAUUGUUAUUAAGGAAUAGAUUAUUGACUCUCUUCACAUUUGAAAAGUUAUGUGGGAAAAGCAUGUUCAUCGGAGAUAUUUUAAAGUCAUCACUUUGGUUAAAAAAACCCGACGUGUUUGCGUUGAAAAAUAUAAUAGAUAUAUUUUCUCCCCGCCCAGACCAAUGUAUAGAAACUUCACGUGAACAUACCAUGGCUAUUUUGUGCCGGCGACUGCAUUGGUAAAGUCUCUUGUAAUUCCCCCUCUGGCAUAAGGAAUAGGUGUUUCACUAAUUCCAAGCUUUGUGGUGACCACAAAACAUCUGGAGGUAGCGUGUCACGUGACUCUGGUUCUGUGGGAAAUUGACAGUUGGCUCCUCUGCUCUCUUCUUCAGCCACCUCAGCUUGAGUCGGCAUGUCACGUGACUUUGGCUCCACGGAGGAUUGACCGUGGGCUUCUCUGCUCUGCUCUUGAGCCACCUCUCUGCUCUCUUCUUCAGCCACCUCAUCGAGUAACGACUGCAUUAGCGUUCUUACGUGACCUGGCACUUCUGUGCAAACGGAAUUCCCUUCAUUUGGGACUUUAAGCAAGUGACCUUUCACUCCUGUAAGGUCUCCAAAGAAUUCAUCCCUGCAGUAAUGACAACGCCAUUUGUUGUCCUCCAGUCUAUCGAUGAAUUUCCAGGCUAUAUCCUCUUUGUUACGAUCCUGCAAGCAAAUAGGGCGCAUCCCAUCAUAUAUUAUCCCCAUUUUUUAUAAAUCUUCUUAGCACGCAUAGCAUUAUUCUCUGGCAAAUAAUGUAGUUACCACAAGCGCUAAAGACACCUGAUUCUGUAACAAUUCCAUUAGCAUGCUUAUGUGCUCCGGCACUUUUUUGCAAGGAGCAAUGCCUUUGUUUGGAUGUUUAAGAAAGUGACUUUUCACUCUUGUAACUUUUCCAGCGUAUUCAGUCUCGCAGUAAGGACAACACCAUUUCUCGCCCUCCAGUCUAGUCACGAAUUUCCAGGCUAUGUCUUUAACUCGCGGCAUCUUGUCGUUUUGAUUAUCAACCUGCAGGCAAAGAGAGCACGCCCGAUUAUAUAACCUACCAAUCCUGUGUAUAUUUUCCUAAUGCACAUAGCAUUAUUCUUAAGCAAAUAAUAGCAUCCACAAGUACUAAAGCGGGAAAGCCAAACUGCAGAUUAAUAUUCAACGGACCCAAGAAUAAUCUGCUUUUUUUGAGACAAGAAAUACCCGAUCAACUCAAAAGACAACUCGACAAUUGCGGAUUACCUUCUCAAGAAGGUAAUGUGGGGAAUCAAAAUAUCCUUGGAUUUUGACCAAAUCGUUGCCGCAAAGCAAAAUCCAAAAUAGAUCCGGAUAUUAACUUUUAAAACAAAAAUCCCAAAUUCAUGAGAAAUAGAGCUAAAAAAAUCUUGUCUAGUGUUCGGAAAUGGAGAUUUCUAACGUAGCUCGACCCUUUCAACGGGCUGCAAUCCACUGUUGUCGAUCUUCCCCUCUCCCUUCUCGCCUCUUCUCACUCUAUUUCUUGGUCUCUCUUCGAGAAGUUUAUUGCAUCUCACAGUUAAGUCCACCCACCUACAUUCAGGUCAUUUAACCCUUUAUUUCGCAUAGAAUCCACCAGAUCUACUUGUCGAGUGCGCAUAUAUUUGAUCCAGGUUAAUAAGGAUGUUCAGUUGGAGAGUCUUUAUUUGAUUCUUACAAAAUGGAAAAUGGCAAAGAUGAGGACGAAGCAACAUACCGGUUAGGACAGAAAAAGAAGAUUCAGAUGCAUGCAAGUAGCAAAGAUGCACAAAAAGAAGUAGAACUAAGAAGCUGUUCUUGAGAAUCUGAAGCACCAGUCAACAUCCGAGAUCGAGCAAAGACUCUUCCUCUCGUUGAAGGCAGAAACCCAAUUCCUAGAGAAACAAGGGCACUCGCCUGCUGUUGGAAAUUGGAAUGAACAGAUUUUGGUGAAGAACCGAGAGGAACUCUGCCACAAGAGAAAACAGCAGAGUCGCUAAGAACGCACGAAGGAAACGUCCCGGUCGUUUACAAUUUCCUCGUGUUUUUCUAUGUAUGAGAGGAAGGGAGAGACCUGAACUUGUUCUAAAUCUUGAAUUCUCAUCAACGACACUGUUGAAAGUGACAGGCAUGCUUUAUUUUACCGCUAGAAAAAGCACGUAAAUCACUGCUCAAUACAGAAGACAUAAUUGCACUUUAUAUCAUCAUCCAACAACAGAGGUAACAACCAUAGUAAUAUCACAUCAAACUAUUGUUGGUAAUAUCACAUCAAACUAGUGUUGGUCUCCAUUGGACUACGGUUGGUCUCCACUUCAGUUAUCGUAGCACUUAUAUGGAGAUAAAUUUAUCAAAUAUAUUCAAAUCAUGAACAUACCAAUUCACAAGGCCUAAUCACCAGGGCGUUAAUCGUGUUCACUGUGGAUCAAUUUUCACUUUGCCACCGUCAAAUGCAUUGAAUCGAUGCCUCGAGAAAUCCCCAAUUUAUCGCGCUUCCACCUUUUCACCAACUCAAAAUCAUCCCUCAUGCAUUCCCCAGUCCGACGGGCCCCACCCCCUCCCCCGGGCCACCUGUCCCCCGCGGGCAUCGUAGUGUCGUACGGCCAAUCAAUAUGAUCACGUGGCAAGGCAUACGGCAACCGUACGGACGGAGGGGGGAGAUGUGGGGCCUUCUCCUUGUUGGUCCAAAAAGCCAUUUCAAAUAAAGUCGUGUUAGCAUCUCCAGGAACAUGAAUAGAAAACUCGGGUUCUACCGGGAGGCCUCCCGAAGUAAUGGCACAUUAGAUAGGUAUGAUCUAAGUGGUACUGACAUUAAUACAUCUACAACACGAUAUAUAGAUAUGUCAUUUCUAAAAAAAAAUAAAUUUUGAUACAUUAUAUAUUAAAUAUAUAUUUUUAUAUAUACAUAAUAAAUUAUCAUUUUUACAAUUAUUUCAAUCAAAUUAAUUUAAUUCAAAUUCAUAAAUAAAUAAAUAAUAAAAAAUCUUAUAAUGAAUUUAUACUAAAAAUAUUAAUUAACCAUUUAUUAAAAUCAUUUAUUAUUUUUAUUUGACAAAUUCAAUUCCAUUCUAAUAACCCAUAAAACUCGAAGAAAAACAAUAAGCAAUUUGCAUUCUAAACUUUUGUUUUAGACGUGUCGAAAAAGAAGAGAAAAAACUUGGAAAUGAAAGACUAUGUUUUCUUCUUUUUUAAUUAUUAUUAUUAUUAUUAUUGUUGUUGUUGUUGUUGUUGUUGUUGUUGUUAUUGUUGUUUUUUACAUAUAUACAUUUUGACCCCUUAUUUAUUAAAAAAAAUUAAAUUGACAUCAAGUAUUGCAAUCAUGUGUUGAAAACUUGUUUGUCAAAAUUCUGACUCGAGUGUCAGAGAGUAUUAAGAAAGUUAACUAGGUGUCGAAUUUUUAACGCAUAUUGAUCGAGUGUCGAAAAGUGUUCAAAAGUAUUAGAGAGUAUCGUAUACGUGUCAGAAUGUCUAACACGACACAAAAGCUCUAAAAGAGUAUUAGUGCUACCUAGGGUAUCGUCACAUGCUUUUACUCUCUUUUUUUAUAUUUUUUUUUUCGUUUUCAUUCUAUGCCAUAACCUAUUACUAGAAUAAAUAAAAAUGUUUUUUUUUCUCUUUAAUAUUUAAUUGCUUUUACUCCACCCUAGCAUGACUUUGACUUUUCUAUCUACUUUUCCUCCCUAGGUACUACGAAAUAAUAUAUUUUUAAUAUUUUAUUAAAUAGUUGGCAAUCCUAAUUAAACCCCAUAGGUGAAAAUUAGGAACAUCGGAAUAUAUUAUUUGCCUGGUCUUAUUAUUUCAAUAUAUUAAACUAAAUAUAGAAAAAUUGUUAGCCAAAUAACCUAGUAAUUUAAUGGAUCAUUGGCAGAUGCAUAGUUGAUGCUAAAACCUCACUACACAUUUAUCGUGAAUGAGUAACGUGUGUAUUUCGAGUUAUUUUUAUAAGUGAAUUCUUCUAUUUGUCAACUCUUAAUCAUGAAUGUGCAAACUAUUUUCCAUUUUGAUAAUAGAUCUAAUAAAAAUUUAAUUUAAUGUAAUGAUGGGAGUUGACAGGUGGCCUAUUAUAUUGCUGCCUCAUGCUUUCACUAUUUAUCUCUUUUUUUCUUUUUCAUUUCUAAACAGUAAUCUAUUACCCAACAAAUUGUCUAUUUAUAUGGAUGUGCCUCCACCUCGCGCAACUUUCACUUUUUCUUGAGAUUUCAAGUGGCCUCUUUUGGAAGCCACAAUUAGACCCCUUUCCCCUCUCAGUUUUAUUUUAACAACGGUGUCGGGUAAUUGUCUCCAGAGUCGUUGUCAUCAAAAGGAGUGCACGGUGAUACUCAAGCAAACGCGUUCAACUUCGAGGCAAUUUCAGCUUCAACAUCGAGGAAACUUACACGAACGUGCACCCAAGAAACUUUUGAGCCCACUUAUCUUUAUUUGUGCUCCCUGAAAUAGUACUAAGUACAUAAAGAUUUUUAAAAUCAGUGCACCGAAUGAGGUGGAAAUUUAUUAUGGAACGUUAAACUAUGGCUCAUUUAAGUGUCAAAUUCUUUAGACUUCCAAGGAAGAUGAAAAAUUAAAAACAAAAUUUACCUAAGAAGGCUACCACACUAUUUUCCUUGUCAUACUCUAUCCAUCUUAAUAUACAUAAAUGUCGUUCUCUUAUGUAUAGCAUUGCUCUUUUUUGCCUCUAGAAAUGAGUUGCAUUGUGUUAAUUAGUAAAAUCUUGGUGAGCACUGUAACUUAUUUACUUUGCAUAACUCCUGACUUGGAUUUAGAAUUUCACCUUUACUAAUUAAUUCACAAGACCAAUUUCAUAUAAAGUUUGGAUCUUUAAACCAAAAAUAAAAAGAAAUUCAAUGGAGGGAUGAUUUAAAGCGAAAUAAUUACUUACUAAUCUGCAAAAUUAAUUACUGUCGACACAUAAAUUUUCAUCCAAAGAUCUCAUUCGCAUUUUCAUGAAAUUUAACGAUUAGAUUCACCGAUAAUUUGAUCACUAAUAAAAAUACAUUCACAAUCCCACAUUCUCUAUCUCUCUCGCAUUCUUUCACAUUUAAAAUUGUGGACCUGAUUGGGAACUUUUGUGAACCAACCGCUACAUGAUCCGAUCCUAAAUUUUUUGCGGUGAAUUUAAAUGGGAAUUCUUAUGAAAGUCCUUUUCGCUCCCCCUUCUGGCUGACCGAAAUGGUCGGCCACUUUCUACACGGCAUUCCUGUGUGUGUGAAUGAAGGAAAUUUUGGGUCAAAAAAAGUGGCUCAGAGGUGGACACAGCAGAGAAAAGCCUGCAUCCACGUGAUCCACUCAUAAUGGAGCAUAUCUUCAGCAGAGAUUUAGUGUAAAAAGUAAGGACAUAAAAAGCAGGGAAAAGCCUGGCUGAAGGGAGGCUUUAGUCAAGCAUUCACACGGUCACAACUAGGUCAUUACGGAUGCGCAUGACAAAAUUUCUGUUUUUCGAUUUCUUUAUUUCUUUGUUUUCCGGAACAGAUUUGGAACAGAAAUCCGUUUGGUAACGCAAUUUAAUUUUUCUAUUUCUAAAACAGAUUUCUAUUUCAGAAAUAGAGAAAUUGAAGAAAUCAGAAGCUGAAAUUUUUAACUUCUCAGUUUCUGAAAUAGAAAUCAGAAACUGAAAUCAAACCAUAUAAAAGAACAUUGCGCUUUCUUGCUAACUUAAUUCACUCAUAACCGCAACUUCGCAAAUUAUUGAUAAUUUUCUUUUUCUUAUUUUGCUCGUGUUUUUUUUUUUGCAUUUAUUUUUCAAAUUUUUUUUGAUAACUUCCUCUUUAGGAUGAAAGACAAUCAAAUAGGUCCCCAAUUUUCAAAAACGACCAAAGUUCUUAAAUGCUUACUUAAAAACAAUAGGGCUAUUUUCUCCUAGGAAAGGCAUACGCAUGGUCAAUUGAAGAAAAAGUUCUUACGUAAUAGAUGAAUAAAAAACGUGGCUAGAAAUUUAAACUUAUUUUUUUACGGAUUCAAAAUUCUUGCAAAAUCAAAAUAAUUAGAUUAUUACACAAUCUUGAAUUUUAAUUUGAAGGCAAGAGAUUCAAGAGAAUCUCUCUCUUUGCUAUGUAAAGGCCAUAAAAGGUUGAUUGAGCAACAAUAAGGAAAUUAUGGAUGAGCAACUGAACUGAUUCAAUUCAAGAAUCAAAAUAAACUGACCUUCCCCCGAUUGGUUCCUAACCAUAAACGUUACUUUAAGGUAGAAUUCGCAUUAAUUUUAUUUUGUUGAUAAUCUUGUAUAAUACUAGUUUUUGAUAAAAUGAAAGGUUGUAUAGGUGCCAUUGAUGGCACCCAUAUUCAUGCUUCUGCAAUACUUGUCUGAACCUACACAGGAUGAACUUACAAACGAUACAUUGACUGAGGAGGGAAACCAAAUAAAUACUCUUAGGAAAAUAAUUGCUAAUAAAAUGGCAAUGGAUAAUAAUAUGCCGAAAAUUCCAUGAAAUUGUAUUUUCAACUUUUGUAAUGUAUUAGUAUUAUUUCGACUAUUAUUUUGUAUUUUAGGAUUUUCUAUGUUGUUAUAUAAUCAAUUUCUAUUCCUAGAAAUAUGAAUUUUGUUCUGUUAUCAAACGGAUUUCUGUUUCAGAAAUAAAAAUUUUGAGUCGUUAUCAAACGGGUUUCUUUGCUUAGAAACUUGUCCAAGGAAUAGAAAUUAAGAAAUUGAUUUCUAGCCAGAAAUCAAUUUCUGUUUCAGAAAUUUUGUCAUGCGCAGCCUACGUAUAGAGCUGGUGGGUGAGGAAAGAAAACAAAUCGAGAUACUAACUAGAAACACAUUACAUAUUUUUGUUAAUAAUUAAAAAUUAUUAAAAUUUCUGUUUUCCGCAAUGUUGAGUGAGACUCUAAUGUGAUUAUUCUAUAUUCUAAUGAGCAUUUUGAUUUAGUUUGAUUUUAUUUAUUCUAUCUAGUUAGAUUAUAUUUUGAUUUUUAUAUGGCUGAUAUAACAAUAAGUUAAAUUCUGUAAUAAAAUUUUAGUGAUUAUAUGAAAAGUAAUCUAAUUGAAUUAGUAAAAAAAAAGUAGAGAAAAAGUUUCAUUUGAUGAAUUAAAAAACGAAAUGGAGACUUGUAUUGUUGAAUUUAUAUUAAGAUUAAUUCAUAUUAGAGCAGUGCAAGAAAGAAAUCAUGAACAAAAACAAAUAGAAAAAAAUCGAAUAAGGUAUGGCCCAUUUAUAGUGAGCACAUCAAAAUCAAAUCCCUAUACUAUAUCGAGAUGGCGUUCAAAGUUGUUGUGUCGUGAUUGCCUUAGAGAGUAAUUAUUGAACUAACAUCAUUAAGAUGAUUCCAUUGCUGAUCACUUGGGUUUCCUUGUUGAGAGUGGUUCCAUUCUUAGAGCAGCGGUAUUGAAGUUUCUUUUUAGCGAGGCUUACUUAUGACCAAGUCCUAGAAAAUCAACGAGUUAUUGCAUGAGUUUUUCUUUUUCAUUUUCCUGCCACGUUGGUGCAGCCCCUGUUCAAACGAGAACGGUCAGUCCAUUGAUGACUGAUUUUAGCGAACUUGAUAGGUCGACGAUGGUGCUUAAUAAUGCUACACUUUGGAAAACUAAACACUGAUUAGUGGUCUCCAUUAAGGUUUUGGGGCAGAGACCCAAAAAAAAAAAAGCAAGAAAAGAAGAGAGAGUUGUGCGAAAGAAAAGGGGAGAGCCAGGGGACGAAAGAGAAAAGGCGCAUUAUGGUGAGGAUGCGGUUGAAAAAUGAAGAGAAAAAAAACAAAAGGAAACGAAAAUGAAGAGAUAAUCCGAAACAGCUGAGAGUAAAAAAAUAAUAAUAAUAAGAAAAAUUACUGUGGACACCUAAAUUUCUCCAUCAUCUUAAUAUAUAUAAAGGUUCAGUUUUCUUGUGUAUAGUAAUUCUCUUUUUGCUUCUAUAAAUGAAUUGCAAGGAAAACCCCUCGGACUCCUUAUUUACUUUGCACAAAUCUUGACUCAAUUUUAGAAUUUUACCUACACUAAUUAAUUCAUGAGACCAAUUUCAUAUGCAGUAUGCAUCAUUAGACUGAAAAGAAACAAAUUCAACAAAGAGACGAUUUAAAGAGAAAUAGUAACUUACCAACUUUUAAGAAAAAAUACUGUCGACAUCUAAAUCUUUGCUCAAAAAUCAAAAGUCGUAUAUGCAUUUUCAUAAAAAUCAGCUAUCAUAUUUAGGGGUGAGCGGUUCCAGGUUCCGGUUCGGUUCCGUCUGGAAUCUGAAACCUACCCUCGGGUACAGGUUCCUCAAAAUGAGGAACCUGGAACCUACCCGUCAGAACCGAGAACUUGGAACCUACCCUGUCACAGGUUCCAGGGUCGGUUCCAGGUUCCAACAGGUUCCGCGUUCCUUUUUUUUGUUUUUAUUUUUAUUUAUAGAUUUGAACUAUAACGUAUGCGCAUAUUACCAAAAAAAAAAAAAUUAUAACGUACGCGCACGUUACCAAAAAAAAAAAAUAACGUACACGCACAUUAUCAAAAAAAAUUAUAACGUACGAGCACGUUAUAAAAAAAAAUAUAACGUGCGCGCACGUUAUAAAAAAAAAAUAUAGCGUGCGCGCACGUUAUCAAAAAAAACUAUAACGUGCGCACACGUUAUAAAAAAAAAACUAUAACGUGGGUGCACGUUACCAAAAAAAAAUAUAACGUAUGCGCGUGUUACCAAAAAAAACUAUAACGUACGCGUAUACUAUACAGUAACUUCUCACAUCUUAGGAAACAUACCAAUGCCAACAGUUUUUUUUUUUUUUUCUAUUAUUCAUUUUUAGAGUUGAAUUAUAAUAUACGCACUCUAAAAAUGAAUAAAAAAAAUUAUAACAUACGUGCAUAUUAUCGGACUCUUCAGCACUGUCGCAAUAAUCCUCUAACAUCAAAAUCAUGCCAUAAAUAUACUUCCCGAGCUAUGAAAACAAUAAAACAAAACAUAGACUCUUUGACAACGAUGUUUUUCCAUGCAUUAAACUUAUCAAUGGUGAGAUCACAACAACCAUUUAAAGGCUCAUAAACUCUUUGACAAUAUAGUUAAAGCAGCACAAAGUCAAUAAAAAAACCUUGCUUGAAUUCUCUACCGCUAAAUCCAUUGCCGUUGCGAUACCACCAACUCUAUUUAUCAACAAUAAUCUCCGCAUUAAGGCCAACCAUAUCUGAAAAAAGAAAAAGAAGAGGUUAAAUAAAAUAUCCACUUAUCAAAUAUACAAAAAGAAUUAUAAUAUAUAAAGAUAUAAACAUUACUUACCUAAUUCAAAUUGUUCUGCGUUCUCAAUACACUCUUCAUCACCAAGCGGUACACGAGCGGCCCUCAACCAAUCUUGAGUGCAAAUCAAAGCUUCCACUACUUUAGGAGUUAAAGAACUUCGAAAGCCAUCAAGCACACGACCCGAUGUACUAAAAGUUGACUCUGAAGCAACGGUUGUUACAGGAAUGGACAAAAUAUCUCGAGCCAUCAAAGAAAGGAUCUUAUAUUUUGAACCAUUAGCCUUCCACCAAAUCAAAAUGUCAAGACCGAGAUCAUUUUCAUUUUUUUCUUGAAGAUACUCAUCAAGCUCGGACUUGUUAUCAUCGCGCCCUUAUUCAUUCGAGUAUAAAAACAUUUUCUUCCAAUCUUGAGCUUCAUGCAUCUUUAGUUCUUCAAUACCACUCGUAUCGGGUUGGGAGGUGGAACUACUACUACUUGCACCCAAAUUAUGGCCACCAAAAUCUUGAUAAUUUGAAAUAAGAGAAGAUUGCUCAUAAAAUUCAUACAAAUGCUCCAAUGUAUUCUUCACCUUGCAAUGCAUCUCUUCAAUCUUCAAUUCAUCAUCAUAAAUUUGUCCAUACAAGAAUCUCACAUAAUUUAACUUGGCUCUAGGAUCUAACACAACCGCAAUCAACACCAUAAUAUUCACUUUAUCCAAGCUUCUAUAAUAUUUGUCAAAUUUUUCUUUCAUUUUCAAACCCAUAGUUUGAAACUUAGGAUCCGAAGCAUUGACCGCAUCUUUCAAAUAUCUAUACAAAAUAGCUAUCCCUUCAAAAUAAUCAUUUGAAGUAACAUAUGAAGUCCCAGACAUCUUCUUGGUGGCAUCAUAGAAUGCUUUCAGAAAAUUCGAAAGAAUAAUAGCAUUUUCCCAAUCAUCAUCCCUAGGAGUUUCAUGAUCUAGUUCACUUACAAAAGAUGAAUAGUGAUCUUACAUCCUUUCGAAAGCUUUUCUGAACUUUAUGGCAGUGUUCAACAUGAGGUAAGUGGAGUUCCAUCUAGUGGCAACAUCAAAAACUACCGAACCCUUAUAAGUGAUAUUUUCUCUUUCAAUGCAAGAUUUAAAUCCUUGGGCUCUUGUGGGAGAACUCCUUACAUACCUAACCACAUUUCGGAUACGUGCAAUGGAGUCACGUACCGUAGUCAAGCCAUCUCUCACAAUCAAAUUUAAUAUAUGAGCUGUACAUCUCAUAUGCAAAACACUAACAUCUAAUAUCAACGACCUUUGUUUGGAAAGUUUAUCCCUCAAAUAGCCAAUUGCAACAUCAUUCGAGCUAGCAUUAUCCACGGUAAUUGUGGACACCUUUUUUCUAUUCCCCACUCCUCAAUGCAUGUCUCCACCAUUUUCCCAAUCUCCCUACCCCUGUGACUAUGCAUCACCACAAAAUUGAUGAUUCUUUUAUGCAACUUCCAAUUUUCAUCAAUAAAAUGUGCAGUGAGACACAAAUAAUUCAGAUUUUGAUUGGAACUCCAUUUAUCAGUCGUGAGUGCGAUCCUAGAAUUAAUCUUUCCAAAAUAAUUCUUCAAAGAAGUUCUUUCACAUAAAAACAACUUCAUACAAUCUUUUGCCACUAUGAAACGUGAUAUAUGUUUGAAGAGAGGUUGUAUAUCACUAACAUAUUCACGAAAUCCAACACGCUCAACCAAGGAAAAAGGUUGCUCAUCAAUGAUGAUAAACCGAGCAAGCAUGUGCCUAGCUCAUUCUUGAUUAAAUGACCAUGUCGAUAAGACGCUACCAGUACUAGAAUCUCCUCCUGCCUUACUAGCCGUGUUGACAUUACGUGGUACAAAAAAUUUCUNNNNNNNNNNNNNNNNNNNNNNNNNNNNNNNNNNNNNNNNNNNNNNNNNNNNNNNNNNNNNNNNNNNNNNNNNNNNNNNNNNNNNNNNNNNNNNNNNNNNGGUGGCAGAUUAAUAUAAAACAACGGAUACAAAAAAACAAGACAACGACGACAGAAUGCAAGACACGAAAAAACAUAUGCACAAUCACAAUUCUAAUAAGGAAUGCAAUACAAUUCUAAAGAGAAUUAUCUGUGCGCUGCUACAUCUUGUUGCAUGGACACUAACGACAGUUUGGAGUCUGUGUGAUUUAGACCUGCUCAGAAAAUGUAUGCUCAAACGUGCACAUCCCCUGUAUUAGAGAACAACCACUCAUCGAAAUUAGAAAGACAUUUAGCCACAUGUAUUCAGCACUAGUUCUCUCCAACACUAGAACGGUCAUGCAAGGUUUUCUUUGCCGUGUCAAUGUGUAAGAUCAAUUUUUAAAUCUAGGUCUGCUUACUCCAUAAUCUUGAAGACUGUUAUUAUAAGUUUGACAUAAAAAUGUUGAGUCAUGCUGGUAGUGCUUGAUGGGUCAUGUUAUUUGCUUGAUUAAACUGAAUAUCUAAUUCCGUUGAUGUAUGUUUCAUCUGCUUGGGUGCUUCAGGCAUGCCAGGUCUGUCUUACCCAUUCUGCCGAGACAGUCUCAAGAGAGUCGACUCUGGUGACCUGCGGAUAUAUAUGACUGGCGUCGAGAUCAUCGACCUGAAUUCCAUCGCCAGAGAGAACAUGAUUGUGCAUAUGUUUAUUCAUCACAUUGCUAGUUGCUACCCGUUUAGAAUUGUAUUGCAUUCUCUUUUCCAGAAGAACCCACAACGCAAAAACGGAGUUUCAGCUUCCAAUAAGGAAAAAAGCUUGCAUUACAAGGCGCAAACCCAGCCCCGCAGAGGUAGAACCCAGAAAUUCCGCAAGCACCCGAAGCGUUUCGGCAAUCAGAUAAACACCCACUUGCAAUCGAUUACGAAACAAUCGGUCCCACCAAGCAGUGCGCGCGAGCCGGAACUGAAGCGCAAUCACGAACGCAUGCUCAGUUGCACACAGAGAGAGAGAGAGAGAGAGAGAGAGAGAGAGAGAGAGAGAGAGAGAGAGAGAGAGAGAGAGAGAGAGAGAGGGAACCUAGUGCCCAACGGGAAUGGUGAAGCAGUGGCUUCUGGUUUGUUGCAGCAGCAGGGGCGUCGGGGCUUCUGGCGCGAGUGGCGUGGGUCACGAGCAGGGACGUUGGGCAACGGCCGGUCACGAGCAGGGACUUCUGGCAGUUCGCGAAUGCGGGCGUCGAGGGCUCGAGCGAAGUCGGGGGACUGGCGUCCCAGCGGCGUUCGGGCGACGGUGGCCUGCGCUGAGCAGAGCGACGGGUGUCGAGCGGCGUUCGGCGAUGGUGGCGGGCGCUGAUGAGUGAGCAGGGACGUCAGUCGGGUCUUCAGGGCAACGACUACUCAGUGUCGCGAAUGCGGGCGUCGAGCGACGUCGGGGACUGGCGUCCAGUCAAACCAGUGGCAUCCGACGGCGGUGGCCUUGAGGGCGAGCGCGUCCAGCUGAAUCGGAGGACUGAGUGAGGAAGAUACAGAGGACAGGAGGUUGGAGGCUUGGAGUUGGAGCGCCGAGCAGGGGGGGUUCCUUUUGGAACCCUAACCGGGUUCCGCGACCGGUUCCGGUUCCGCGCCGGUUCCCAGAAAAAUGGAACCGGGAACCGGAACCGGUCCUUUAAGAACCGGGAACCGGACCAAGGUUCCGGUUCCGGUUCUCCGGUUCCUGGUUCUACCCGCUACCCGUGCUCGCCCCUAAUCAUAUUCACCAAUAAUUUGUACAUUUGUAAUCCUCCAUUUUCGAUCUCUGUGGCAUUCUUUAGCAUUUAAAAUUGUGGACCCUGCGUAUUCUUGUGAGUCGCCCAGUUACACGAUUGGACCUGACUCUGAAUUUUCCGCGGUGAAUUUAAACGGGUGAAUUUAAACGGAAUUCGAAGUCCUCACGACUUACUGCUCCCUCCGGGGGACUGCAAUGGUCGUCUUGAGGCCCCUUUCCACACGGCAUUCCUACGCGUGAAUAAAAGCCGGAAAUCGGGGAAUUCCGGGUCAAAAAAGGAGGUCAAAAGUGGACACGGCGGAGAAAAUCCAGCACCCACUCAUAAUGUUAUAUUGAGCAAAGAUUUAGAGUAAAAAGUAAUAAGAACAUAGGAAAAUCCGGGCCGAAGGGAGGAGGCUUUAGUCAAGCAUUCACACGGUCGCACCCCGUUCGUCACGUAUAGAGCUAGUGGCCUAUUGGGUCAGAAAUGAAAACAAAUUAGGUAACUUUUAAGCAAAGAUUUAGCGGUAUGUUUGCAUAGAGCUAGUGCUCGGUCUAAGCGGUAUCUCCAACUUUGCAAAAUUUCAAGAAGUUUCUUUCUCGAUUGCACUUUAUAUCACUCAUAUCUUAAAUUUUCAGUAUGCAUAAGGCAAAAGAAAUCACUUUAUGCAUAGAAAAAAUAAUAAUACAAAGAAAACAUGUUUAUUCUAUAUUUAUGACCAUACUGCAUAUGGCUAUAAUGUGACUUUUGCAUUCUAGGCUAUUAGAUAGCAUGACGAUCUAACACAUGUUCUUAAGGUAAUGAGAGCGCACGCAAUCAUAUAGUAUAUGUGUUCUUAGGGCGGUAGAGCAUUACUUCCAAGCAAAUAAUAACAUCCACAACUAUUAAACCAGUUCAACUAUGAGAAAGUCAAUCUAUAGAUUGAUAUUCAAGACCCACGAAGUUAGUGAAAUGAUAUAGAAAGUUUGAUGUUUUUUGGAGACAAGAGAAAUCCAAUCUAACUCAAAGAUGGCUUGGAAAUUGCGAAGUACCUUCUUGAGAAAAUAAUUAAUUUUAGAGAAUGAUACCGUGCUAUACAAGGGCUUCUUUUCUCUAAGGAGGAUCUAUUACUUUUUAUUUAUCACCCGAGUAUGCGUAAUGUAUGCAUGAACAAAUGGUAUUUAAAAAAUUAAUUUAAUUCAUUUUGUUACAAGAUAUUUGAAUUAUUAAUUAUGAAAAGAAACUAUUGAUAAAAAUAAACAAUAAGAACUCUGUCAAUAUCCGUCAGUAAAAUUCUUAAGNNNNNNNNNNNNNNNNNNNNNNNNNNNNNNNNNNNNNNNNNNNNNNNNNNNNNNNNNNNNNNNNNNNNNNNNNNNNNNNNNNNNNNNNNNNNNNNNNNNNAAGCACAAGUGGAGAGAUACACUAGAUCUAGAUAGAGGAAGUUAAUAAAGGGAAAUUAAAUUAUACUAUAUAGAACAAAGAGGAAAUGAUCUGUUAUCUAAGUAGGAGAACAAACCUUGGAAGGGGAAUUUCAAGCAGCCCUUAAACGUUAAGCGUAGAUUCAGAGUUGCAUCAAGAGUAUAGGUUAAUUGUUGCCCAUGUUUUUGUCAUCAAAAGUAGUUGACAUUGUUACUCACAAAGACGCAUUCGCCUUUGAGCCAAUUAUAGUUUCCACCCUUGCAACGAUAUUAAUUAUAUCGACAUUUUGUGUGCUAAAUAACACGAAAUUGUUAAAUCCGGUUCACUUACUAAAGUCAAUUGGAGUCUUUUGCAUUAUUUAGUAUAUCAAUAUACCCAUGCAGUAACUAAGUAUCGCGCGUACAUGAGACAUGAGAGACUCCUACCUAAGCGAACAAAUAAGGGAAGGGAAAUUAUACAGAUAUAUGGCCCAUUGAAAUUUUGUAAAAUGAACAGCGUGAGGUUUUUUUUUUUUUUUUUUUCUUUUGGUUUGGACGAUGAGAUAUUUUUUACAAGAUUCAUCAACUAUUUGCAUUUCAUAGACACAAGAUGCGAAAUUAUUUCAGGAAAAGACAAAGAACCAUUAAGGCAAAAUCCGGCAAAAUAGCAUCAUCACUUGGGAGCAAAAUCAACAAUCAGCGUGGAUUCUCCUCUUGGAAGUCACAAAUCUUGGAUCAUUAUCAUUUACGUUUGUAGACCAUAAUUAUUUUUCUUGACUCACCGGAAGUUGGUGAUAGUGAUGAGGGCCACUCUGGUUGGACAAAUCUCAUGUAUUUGUUGAGAUCAACAACAUUGUUGAAGGAAGAAUCAAGAGCCUCCGAUACCCAUAACUUUGAUAAUUCUCCCUUCGCUUCCCCAAUCCUAAGACAUUGCAGGUGUGCCAAACCUGCCAAUGUUACCUUCACCAAAACCGGUGGAUUAUUUGUUUGUAUUAAUUGUAUAAAUUUUAGGAUUUGAAUAUAUUUUCAUAAUAAGUGUAGGAAUACUAUUACACUUUUACUUCUUUUCUUUUUCCUUUUUUGGCGGGUUUUCUUGCUUUGUAUUUUGCUGAUGUGGUGCUUUUUUGGAGCCACAUCAAUGCCAUUCAAUUUUGAUGAAUAAAUGCACUUCAUAAAAAAAUGUCUACGAUUGAAAUGCUCUUUUCAUUUUUACUAAUGGGCCUUGAUAAUCAAUAGUGAACUCAAGUUCUUAUUUAUUCAAUGAGGUGCUCACUUAUAGUUGCUCCAAUUGGGUUUUAGAGUGAUUUAUUUGAUAUAGGCAAAAUUACUAAAAAAAUCUCAAACAUAUUGCAAUUAUACCGAUUCGAUUAUAAACUUUUUUUUUUUUUGAUAAUUGAGCCCUAAACCUUUUCUAUUUGUAUCAGUUUAGUCCAUCCAAUCAAUUUUGGUAGGAAAUUGCCGAUAUGGAUGUCGACCAUCUUAUGUGGUACGGCCAACGUUGAUGUAGACAUUUUUAAAUAAAUUUUUAUAAUUUUUAUAAUCUUUUUUAUAUUUUCUUUUCUUUCCUUUUUCUGGUGAGGAGCCACGCACCCUCACACAAUGCCAGCGGGGGUGUCUUAGCCCUUGCUUGUGGAUGGCCCUAAGUCUAGGGAAAAGAAAAUAAAAGAACUAAAAGGAAAAAAGGAAAAAAUUAAAAAAGAUUAAAAAAUUAAAAAAUUAUUUAAAAUUGCCAUUGUCAUGCCACAUAAGACAACUGGCAUCUAAAUUAGUUAUUUCCAUCAAAAUUGGCUAAAUGAUUGAAUUGACACAAAUGUAAAAAGCUUUAGAAUUGAAUUAACAUAAUGGCUAUAGAUUUAUAACUUUUUCGGUAAUUCCCCCAUUUGGCACUUAUAUAUCUAAAUGAUUUAUAAAAUAACUUGGCAGAGUUUUAUUGAGUUUCAAGCAACUCUAUUGACUAAAAGAAACAUUUAGAAUCUAUUGUAUCAUUUUGUAUAGUAAUUUAUGACAUCAUUUUUUUUUUAUUUCUAGCGUUACUUGAAAAUUUAUUCCACCGUGCUCCAAAAAAAAAAAAAAAUUACUCUUUUAUUUUUUUUUGUCGAACAUUUCGUGUCAUGCUAAUGCAAACACUAUAUUGAUGUUCGGUUUGUUAAGGAAGAGAACAAACGAAUAAAGUGAUGGAGAAAAACACAAAUCCAUGGGAACAAACAAUAUAACCACAAAAUAGUUUACCUCCUACAAGGUAUAGAUACUCUUUCAGCUAUAGAUACUAACCUAAAUAAUUUUGAUUAGUAAAACUUAUGUCGUGUCGGGACGUUUCCGGAUUCGUUUGGGAUCGUUUAAUGGGCAAAUGGGCACUAAAUAGUAAAUCCUCGAUAUCUAGCUAGCUUCAAGGGCUGGACAACAAGCCAUGAGGUCUUAUUUGGACAUUUCAAGAGUUCCGGGCGGCCCCAAGGUGGUCUUAUAACAGUAUUGUCGUUAUCCCUAAGUCGGUCUUGCAUGUUUAUGUCAUAUCGUCGGCAAAUUUGCAUUAUCGUUGUUGGUUCAUGAAUGCUUGGGUGUGUUUAAUUAAAUACUGGUGUUAGGCUUGAAAGAUUCACUUUAGGAUUUGCACCACCUUGAAAAAUUUCUUGUGUAAAUGUGUUGUGUCACGCGCAUAUCAAUUUGAAAUUUUUAAUGAUUAAAAAAAAUUAAUUUGAGAUGAAUUUAUCACAUAUGUAGUAAUUUGGAUUUUUUGUGGUAUUAACCCUAUGGAUUUCCAUGUUAUACCAUGUCACCAUAUGUCAUCCACAUCAUCAAAUUCAAUGGUAAAAUUUAAGGGUGUUACAAGGGUACCAAUUUAAGGUUUUUUGUGACAAAAAGUUUAUUUGGGGUAAACUUCUCACUAGUAAAUCAUAUAAGAUUUUUCAUGAUAUUAAUUCAUUUUUCCAAUGACUUGAAAGUAAUGAACUAGAUCGAGUUUCUAUCUACCUACUAUAUUUUAUUUUCCUUGCCAACGGGAAUGUUCAGUCAUACCAUUAUUUAUAAUGCCAUGAAAGAAAAUAAUUAUCGCAAGGAGAUCAGAGUAUAUGCUGCGGUGGUUGGGUCAUGUAAUCUAUAGGAACUAAUUCCAAUAUUUUGAAGCAUGGAAUCUAACCACAUUAAAAUCAUCCUAGAACAUGUAAAAAGAAUUGUUUAAUAAAAAUUGCCGCAACUGAAUAUCUUAAUAUUAGGGCCGAGCAAAAUAGCCGAGUGCCCUGUAAUCCCGCAUCAGACCAACACGAUCUUUUUCUAGCUUCCUCAGGGGUCAAGGCCAUUCGGGCCUGUAAAAACGAAAGAAUUAUAUUAACGAAUGCCCUAGAGAACCAGUUAAUAUCAUUUUAAGGAAAGUUUGCGGUUUUCAAUUCAUCACUUUUUCUUAUUAUAAAUAAUUAAUGUAUGAAAGUUGGAGUACUUCCUUAUCAGGCUAAAGUCUAGUCUAUGCUUGAGGAAGUGUCAGAACAUUUUAAUAUUAAACAACACAUUCACAUAAUAAUUUCAACUUCUAAAAUGAUUGGUAUUGGUCCUAAAAAUCUCACAUUUUCUUAAGAUAUAAGAGAAAUGCAUAAAUUGUGCUCUCAACUUCACUAUAAGACGAAUUAUCUAUAAAAUCGAUCUCCUUUUCAUAUGUGGAUGCUUUGUUCAUCUUUUUUUUUUUUUUUUUUUUUGGGAAUAUUUUGCUGUGUCAGGUAAAAAGCAAGAAAGAAGAAAAGGAAAAAAAAAUUAGAAUUAGAUUAAAACCAACCCAAAGAAGUUGGAAAAGCAAAAGAAGAAUUUAGAAGAGAGGCCACAUAUUUCCCUUUCUGUUCAAUCCCCAUUUAUUUUAAGUAAUAUCAAAAGCAUCAAUAGUUUCUAGAGGGGCUAAGAUAUGGAAGAUCGCAUGGAUACAGGGGAGUCAAGCGAACUGUCAAAUUUAUACUGAUCACAUGCACAUAGCAUCAUCCAAUUGAGAACAUACAACAUAGGCAAAAUGCUCUUGGUUAUGUUAUUCGGAAGAGCUUCUCAAACCAUUGGCUUCUUUCUUGUGUUUAUGGUGUCUUAACUUUAUUGUCACCACAGGGAUGUUUGAUGUGGCGAAGUCCUGUGAAGGUGGCACGGUUAAAGUCCUAAAAGUCCAGCAAAGAAUUGUACUUCAUUUCCGUAUCUUUGGCACAAUUUGAAACAGUAGUCCUUGAGUUGGUACUAGCAAGGGAUCCCCAACGUAAUGAUCAUCUGAACAUAACUCCCACGAGUACAGAGUGACCAGAGAAUGGAUUGCAACGAGGGUUUCAAUCCUUACAAAUUCAUUUCCUGGGCAUAUGUGAGGCCCUCCUCCAAAAGGAAUAAAGCUGUAGGGUGGUAUUGACUUCUGCUUUUCAAAUCUACUAGGAUCAAACUUUGAUGGCUUCGGGAAUAUGCUCUCACCCAUAUGUGUCACGUUCGAUGCCCAGAAGACCUAAAUCAUGAAUCAAAUACCAAAUUUAUGCUAACAGACUGGUUUCACAGAUAGAGAAUAUAUAACAGAUAGUGCAAGCAAGCAUUUGAAGAGAUUGGAAAAGUUAUUUGCAUCCUUACCUGCCAGCCUCUAGGAAUGAGGUACCCACCAUACUCAAUAUCCCUUGAAGCUAACCUGAAGCCACCAAAAACAGGCGGAACCAUCCUUAAAGUUUCCAUCGCUACUCUCCGUGUGUACUUCAUCCUGGCAAGGUCUUCCUAAGUUAAAGGUUCUCCUGUAGUCUUGCUUUUUGCUAUCUCUUCUUCUUCUGCAAAAGCAAAACGAGCUUAUUAUUCUUUCGCAAUAAGGGGGGAGUAACAUGCUUCUGAGCUUUGUUAUUUAAGUUGACAUCUAGCCUUGGAAACUCAGACAAAUUCAUGUAUCGAGCUUUAUUACAUUUGUCAAGCCAUCCGGGAUCCAUCAGCAAGAUAGAGAUCGUCCAUGGUCCUUAUGCAGCUUGAGUCAUAGUUCGAGAGUGAACUAGGUUUGAACAAGUUCUUUGUUUUGUUUCGAUUUUCCUUCCUUUUUGUGCUGCAGGAAUCUCUAUGCAAAUUUGACAAAUUUAAAAAGAUGCUAGGAUUAGAGGAUGUUUACCUUGAAAAACUGCUUUACAAACAUCGGGAUUCUUACAUAGAAGACGCAGCAUAAAAGCUAUAAGUAUGGAUGAGGUAUCAUGUCCAGCAACCAUGACAAGCACGAUAUUAUGCAGAAUUUCCUUGUCAGUCACAACUUGUUCAUUUUCUUCAUUGUGCUUACUCAACAAGCACGUGAUUAAGUCUUGAUGAGGGGCUGCAGUUUGCUGCUCUAGUUUCACCUUCUUCUCUUGUACAAGUUCCUUCAACAUAUCUUGGAUCCUGGAGCUUGCAUGGAGGCUCCAAUCGUAGCGCAUGAAUGGCAGCUUUACUGGAAUUGACCACAUUCCCUAUCAUUUCUUGAAAUUUUUGCAAGAAUUUCCUCUUUCUGCUCUUUCCUCCAUACCAAAGGGAAGAGCGCUUAUGAUGUUGAAUGUAACAGUUUUCCAUCAGGGGCAAUGCCUAUAGGAAGAUCAAAACAUUAGUGUUAUUUACUCACUUUUCAUUUAUCGAAGAGAUUAUGCUCACUCCCAGUAUAUGCAUUCAUUCUCCCAGGCAAUACACACGGAGUGUCACACCCCAAAAGCUACAAAGAAUGGGGGUGACACGGCCGUCCUUCUUUACAAAGGACGCAGCCUCAAACACAACCAACAAACUGAUAUUAAUUUAUAUAUAUAAAUAUCAGAUAAACCUUCAAAUUGGUUGCAACAUCAGAGUUUCUAUAAUCCAUCAAAAAGAGAAAAGAUAUACUUCAAAACUUAGACAAUUCCACUAGUAAGGAUCAUUUGCACCACUUCCUUAAACCAUACCAAAAACAAAAUAGAACUCCCCAAAAGUUUCCCACGAUGGCGCACUCGCUCUAUUCGCCACUAGCUGAGGGACCUGAAAAGAUUAAAGGAGGAAUGGGAUGAGCAACCACAGCUCAGUGAGUAGUACAUAUCUUCUAAGCAGAUCGAACAACCACUAUGCAUGUAUACAAAACAAUACCAAACUUCGUAAGCCAACUCAAUAUAUAAAAUAAGUAUUGAAUCUUAUAAGAGUUAUUUCUUAUCAUCAAGAUUUAUAGUAAUAUGGAAAACUCAUUUGAAUCGCCAUCAAAAUUCAAGUAUCAAUGGUCGAAUCCAUUGAAUAAUCUCCAUCAAAAACACAUAUCAAUGGUCUAUCCAUUGAUCAAUCUUUUGCUCAAUAACUAACCAUGGUCACGACAUAACGCCCUGUGACAAGGCGACCAAGAUUCCCCCCUUGGCAAGGUCUCCACUUACAAAGCCAGUGGCUAGGCCCAGAAGGAUAUCCUAAACUUGGUAUGCAUACCCCAAAAACCCCUCACUGGGUUCAUAGUCAUAUUGAGCAUAAAUAACCAUUCUCCAAUACCAGAAAUCCAAUCCAAAAAUCAAUAUCUUAAACCAAACGAAUAAUAUUUUGCAACAUAGCCCAUCAUCCAUUUCAUAUCCGUUUCUCAAUUCAUCAUAAACCUUUUUAUAAAUCAGUCGCAAAGCAAUUUCAUAUAUGUUCCUCCACAAACCUUGUAUAAUGUGCUUUUCAAAGAUUCACAAUCAAUCAAAGGGUAGCAAUUGCUCGAUCUGGCUUUUAUGCAAUAAAAAUGCUCUUCUCAAUUCAAUAUAUAUACAUAUAUAUAUAUAUAUAUAUAUAUAUAUACAUACUUCAAGACAUGAUUUUUAUAAAACCAAAGAAGAUAUAGUACCACUCACCUUAUCGUCUACGACCAAACGACAAACGAUACUUGUAUCGUCGAACUCAAAGCCCUAUCAAAUAACCGAAGAAUAAUGUUAAAAUCUAAUAAAAUUCUAUCUCGACUACAAAAUGACUAAGUUACACCUUAACUCUAACAAAAGGACUUCUGCGUGCUAACAAAUCGCAUAACCAAAGCGAUUGUUUAAGCCAUUCGCAACAUGAAGUUUAAGUGCAAAACUUGAUCGAGACUUAACUUUCUCUUCCGAACCCUGAUCCGAAUGUACUUAUAUUCAACAGAGAGCCCUUGACACAUAUUAAAAGAAUCCCAAAUUGGUCAUCCCAAAAUCAAGCCGAAGAAAAUGACAAAAUACGGGCCCAAAGCUGCUGGACGCGUACCGUUCACUGUGCGCGGGAAAUUUUGAAAUUCUGUUUUGGAUAAACCAUAAGCUCAAAUCACGAUCCGUAAAAUCCCACGGCUCCACAACACCCUAAAUUACCAUUCUUGCAAAAAUACGCGGCUCAACGACUCCAAAAAUUAGACUUCGCCGCUCAGUUUUCCAAAAAUUUCGAAUUUAAGUCCUAAAUCCAAAAAUUACUUCAAUCGGACAAAUAAGGGGCUUGAUCUCUUACCGGGUUAUGGAAUCGAGUUGGCUUGGUAAGGCAUCCGAGGCGUGCAUGUGCCAAAACUUAUUUCCUUUCUUCCCUUUUCUCUUCUUCUUCUUCUCCUUCUUUUUCUUAUCUUUUUGGUCGAGGAAACUCUAAGUUUCUGUUUAACCGAACCCUCUCCCCUCUACUUUUGCUUUAAUGACUUUUCGGUUUCUUUUUCAGUUUCUUCUUUUGGGCAAUUUAAAACUUCUUUUUUUCCGUUUAUUCUUUUGGGGCCCACUAUCCUAAUGUUACAUUCUACCCACCUUAAAAAAAUUUCGUCCUCGAAAUUUACAUGUACUUCAAUCAUGAAACAAGUGAGGGUAUUUGUGUCUUGCCUCCUCCUCGAGUUCCCAAGUAGCCUCCCUCUCGGUAUGGUUUUGCCAUUGUAUUUUUACAUAAGGAAUGGUUCGUCGCCGCAACACUUGAUCCUUUUUAUCGACAAUGCGAAUAGGCUGCUCCUCAUAUGUCAAGUUCUCCGGUAAUCUCAAUGGAGUAAAGUCUAGCACAUGUUCAGGAUUUGGCACAUAUUUCCGCAACAAAGAGACAUGGAACACAUUAUGGACACCUGAUAGUGUCGGUGGCAAAGCCAAUUUAUAAGCGACUUCACCAAUUUUCUCUAAAAUCAAGAAUGGUCCCACGUACCUUGGACUUAACUUCCCACGUGUGUCAAAUCUCAUUACACCCUUCGUAGGAGAAACUUUUAAGAAUACGUGAUCCCCCACCUUAAAUUCUAACUUGCGUCUUUUCAAAUCCGCAUAACUUUUCUGACGACUUUGAGCAGUUUUGAGAUGUUCCCGAACCAACCUAACUUUCUCUUCUGACUGUUGAAUGAACUCAGGGCCAGUUAGUCUUUUCUCACCAACGUCGUCCCAACAAAUAGGACUUCUGCAUUUUCGGCCAUAUAAAGCUUCAAAGGGUGCCAUCUUAAUGCUAGAGUGAUAACUGUUGUUAUAAGAAAAUUCUGCCAAAUGUAGGUGUUCAUCCCAAGAACCGCUGAAGUCAAUGAUGCAUGAUCUCAACAUAUCCUCUAAUGUUUGGAUCGUUCUUUCUGACUGUCCAUCUGUUUGUGGAUGGAAAGCUGUACUCAAGUUGAGUUUAGUGCCCAAUGCUCCUUGUAAACUCUUCCAAAAAUUAGACACAAACCUAGGAUCCCUAUCAGAAACAAUGCUUACUGGAACUCCAUGAAGCUUCACUAUCUCAUUAACAUAUCGCUUUGCCAUAUCUUCCAUUGAAAGGCCAAAUCGAUAUGACAAAAAGUGAGCAGACUUAGUCAAUCGAUCAACAAUCACCCAUACAGCAUUCUUACCACUUGGCGUCUUUGGUAGACCAACUACAAAGUCCAUGGCAAUAUGCUCCCACUUCCAUUUAGGUAUCUCUAGAGGUUGCAACUGUCCACCUGGUUUCUGAUGCUCAAUUUUCACUUGCUGGCAAACUAAACAUUGAUCGACAAAUUUUACAAUAUCCUUUUUCAUGUUGAUCCACCAAAAGUUUUCUCUCAAGUCCCUAUACAUUUUAGUGCUUCCCGGAUGAAUUGAAAAUCUAGUACUGUGAGCUUCUUGCAGGAUCUCCCUUUUUAGCUUUGAGUCCUCAGGAACACAUAGUCGACCACGAAACCUCAAGGAUCCAUCUACAUGUAAACUAAAAUCCACUUGUCUUCCAGCUUCCAUACCUUCUCUAAUUUUUUGUAAUUGUGGAUCUUCAUUCUGUUUCGCCUUAAUUCUAUCAAUCAACAUAGGUUGUACUUGAAGAUUAGCUAAUUGAGCACCAAGCCGCUGCACCAACACCUCCAAGUCUAACUUUCUCAUAUCUUCAAGAAUAGGUUCUUGAGAAGUGAGCAAAGCUGCUAUAUUUCCAAAUGAUUUACGACUCAAAGCAUUUGCUACUACAUUAGCUGUACCCGGAUGGUAAUUAAUGGACAAGUCAUAAUCCUUCAAAAGUUCUAGCCAUCUUCUUUGCCUCAUGUUUAGUUCUUUCUGAGUAAAGAUAUACUUCAGACUCUUGUGAUCGGUAAAGACUUCACAUUUUUCACCAUACAAAUAGUGCCGCCAUAUCUUCAAGGCAAACACAACCGCCGCUAACUCCAAAUCAUGAGUGGGGUAAUUUUUCUCAUGUAAUUUCAAUUGUCUAGAAGCGUAGGCAACAACUUUGCUAUCUUGCAUAAGAACACAACCCAAACCUUCUUUGGAUGCAUCGCAGUAAAUUACGAAGCUGCCACUUCCGGAAGGUAGAGUUAGAAUAGGAGCCGACACCAGCCGUCUUUUCAACUCUUGAAAACUGCGUUCACAUUGGUCUGACCAUUCAAAUUUAACUUUCUUCUGAGUUAGACGGGUAAGUGGACCAGCAAUCUUUGAAAACCCCUCUACAAAUCGCCUAUAAUAGCCGGCUAGCCCAAGAAAACUUCUCACUUCUGUAACAUUUGUUGGACGAUUCCACUUAACAACUGCUUCAACCUUCUUUGGGUCCACUAAUAUGCCAUCUUUCGAGAUCACAUGACCCAAGAAUUCUAUGUGAUCAAGCCAGAAGUCACACUUACUAAAUUUGGCAUACAACUUCUUUUCAUGCAAAGUUUGCAAGACAAACCUCAAGUGUUGUUCGUGUUCCUCUAAACUCUUCGAAUAUACUAGGAUGUCAUCAAUGAACACCGCAAUAAAUUUGUCUAGAUAUUCCCUGAACACCCUGUUCAUCAAGUCCAUGAAGGCAACAGGUGCAUUUGUUAAUCCAAAAGGCAUGACGAGAAAUUCAUAAUGGCCAUACCUUGUUCUGAAAGCAGUUUUAGGUACAUCAUCUAUCUUUAUCUUCAAUUGAUGAUACCCAGAACGAAGGUCAAUCUUGGAAAAUACCUGAGCUCCCUGAAGUUGAUCAAAUAAAUCCUCAAUCCGGGGCAAAGGAUAUUUGUUUUUGACCGUUACCUUGUUAAGCUCUCGAUAAUCUAUGCAAAGCCGCAUACUACCAUCCUUCUUUUUCACAAAUAGAACAGGAGCUCCCCAAGGUGAAACACUAGGUCUGAUGAAACCCUUAUCCAAAAGCUCUUGUAGCUGCGUUUUCAAUUCUUUCAAUUCAGUGGGUGCCAUCCGAUAUGGUGCCUUAGAGAUUGGUGCUGUACCGGGCAUCAAUUCAAUACCAAACUCAAUUUCUCUAUCAAGAGGCAAGCCUGGUAAAUCCUCAGGAAAUACACGUGGAAACUCUCUAACAACAGGAACAUCUUCCAACUUUACUAUGACCUUACUUGUGUCUUUUACACAAGCCAAAUAACCAUAGCAACCUUUUCUCAAAAGUUUCCUUGCUUGCAAAGCCGAGAUCAACCUUGGAGAAGUGUUUUGACAACUUCCCGAAAAAGAGAAUUCGGGUUGAUUCGAAAGUCUAAAUAUCACUUUCUUUGAAAAACAGUCAACAAUAGCAUGAUAGGUAGACAACCAAUCCAUCCCUAUAAUAACAUCGAAAUCUCGAAUAUUUAACUCCACUAGAUCCACAGGCAUUUCAACAUUGUUAAUCCGAAUCACACAUCUCUUGAACACAUGAUGACCAACUAAGAAAUUGCCAGUGGGAGUAUCAACACACAAUCCACAUUCAAGAGGGUCAGGCAACACAUUAAGCUUCUUUGCAAAUUCAGUUGAAAUGAAGGAGUGUGUAGCACCAGGGUCAAAUAAUGCAUAAGCACAAUGCGAGGCAAUAGAAAUAUUACCUGCAACAACUGCGUUAGAUGCUGCCGCAUCCUCCUUCGUCAUUGCAAAAACUUUCCCACAUGUACUUUGCCUUUGUUGGUUCUCUUGGGGCCUACUAACGAAAGGGGUAUUCCUCCUCCUGAAACAUUGGUGUGCCAGGUGUCCUUGUCGCCCACAUAGAUUACAUGAUCUAUUGCCAAUAGGAGGAUUCCUUCGUGUAGGACAAUCUCACAGCAUGUGUCCCGCUUUCCCACAUGAGAAGCAUACUCCAAUUUUCCGAUAACACUCACCGUGAUGAUAAUUUCCACAUGUAUUACAAGGGCCUUGGUUACUUGGAUUUUUGAACUGUCCUGGCCGGCUGAAACCUCUUCGCCUUCCACUACCAUCAGUAUGGCUACCUUGCACAUUUGUGGGCUUAAACCUUUUGGGUUGAGGUGCUCCUUGUGUGCCGUGCUUUAGAAUGCUUUGUUCCACCUUGAUUGCUCGUUCUAGCACAUCCUUAUAAGUUGUUAAUACAAAAGGUGCAAGUGCGGAAUUAAUCUCAGGUCGGAGCCCUCCUAGGAAAUGGUCGGCCUUAUCUUCUUCAUUUGCUACCAAGUGCUCUGCAAAUCUACUCAACUGAUUAAAGCGGACUGAAUACUCCAAAACAGUGGAGUCACCUUGAGAUACAUGUACAAAGUCACCCUUCAUCUUUGCCUGGAAUGACUUUGGGAAGAAUUGAGCAUUGAACGUCUUUUUAAAGUCCUCCCAGGAUAUAAUAACAUCCCUACCUCCAAGACUUGGCUUCAUUCCAUCCCACCAAAACUCUGCUUCACCUUCCAGGUAUUGGGUGGCAAAUUUAACUUUCCGAUCCUCUGGAACCUCUUCAGCUUCAAAGAUCCCAUCAAUCUUUUUAAUCCAACGCUCAUCCGCGAGAGGAUCAGCUUUCCCAUCAAAAGUGGGUGGUUUCGCCUUUCUAAAAUGGGCAAAAGUGCCUGAACCAGUUGCUCCAUCUCUAGUUAAUUCCUUUGCUUGGCGAUACCAAUGGAUCAUUGCUUGUUCAAAUUCAGUUGAACGGGUUGGCUCUUGAUCCUUUUCUCUAACUUCGUGCAAGUCAGGACUCCUAUCAUAGUGGUCCUCAAGUCUCCUUCUCAAAGACGCACCUCGAGAAGCUUGAGGCAUGUCUCUAGCCUCAGGGGUAGCGACUCGCUUGCCUUUGCGACCCCUAUGAAGCGAGGCAAGUGUCUCAGAGUCGGUACUCAUGAUCACCUGAACCAAGAAUGAAACUACAUCUUAGAAUCUAAAAGACUAACGCAAAAAUAAAAUCUAUCACACAACCUCACAACNNNNNNNNNNNNNNNNNNNNNNNNNNNNNNNNNNNNNNNNNNNNNNNNNNNNNNNNNNNNNNNNNNNNNNNNNNNNNNNNNNNNNNNNNNNNNNNNNNNNNNNNNNNNNNNNNNNNNNNNNNNNNNNNNNNNNNNNNNNNNNNNNNNNNNNNNNNNNNNNNNNNNNNNNNNNNNNNNNNNNNNNNUGCAACAUCAGAGUUUCUAUAAUCCAUCAAAAAGAGAAAAGAUAUACUUCAAAACUUAGACAAUUCCACUAGUAAGGAUCAUUUGCACCACUUCCUUAAACCAUACCAAAAACAAAAUAGAACUCCCCAAAAGUUUCCCACGAUGGCGCACUCGCUCUAUUCGCCACUAGCUGAGGGACCUGAAAAGAUUAAAGGAGGAAUGGGAUGAGCAACCACAGCUCAGUGAGUAGUACAUAUCUUCUAAGCAGAUCGAACAACCACUAUGCAUGUAUACAAAACAAUACCAAACUUCGUAAGCCAACUCAAUAUAUAAAAUAAGUAUUGAAUCUUAUAAGAGUUAUUUCUUAUCAUCAAGAUUUAUAGUAAUAUGGAAAACUCAUUUGAAUCGCCAUCAAAAUUCAAGUAUCAAUGGUCGAAUCCAUUGAAUAAUCUCCAUCAAAAACACAUAUCAAUGGUCUAUCCAUUGAUCAAUCUUUUGCUCAAUAACUAACCAUGGUCACGACAUAACGCCCUGUGACAAGGCGACCAAGAUUCCCCCCUUGGCAAGGUCUCCACUUACAAAGCCAGUGGCUAGGCCCAGAAGGAUAUCCUAAACUUGGUAUGCAUACCCCAAAAACCCCUCACUGGGUUCAUAGUCAUAUUGAGCAUAAAUAACCAUUCUCCAAUACCAGAAAUCCAAUCCAAAAAUCAAUAUCUUAAACCAAACGAAUAAUAUUUUGCAACAUAGCCCAUCAUCCAUUUCAUAUCCGUUUCUCAAUUCAUCAUAAACCUUUUUAUAAAUCAGUCGCAAAGCAAUUUCAUAUAUGUUCCUCCACAAACCUUGUAUAAUGUGCUUUUCAAAUAUUCACAAUCAAUCAAAGGGUAGCAAGUGCUCGAUCUGGUUUUUAUGCAAUAAAAAUGAUCUUCUCAAUUCAAUAUAUAUACAUAUAUAUAUAUAUAUAUAUAUAUAUAUAUACAUACUUCAAGACAUGAUUUUUAUAAAACCAAAGAAGAUAUAGUACCACUCACCUUAUCGUCUACGACCAAACGACAAACGAUACUUGUAUCGUCGAACUCAAAGCCCUAUCAAAUAACCGAAGAAUAAUGUUAAAAUCUAAUAAAAUUCUAUCUCGACUACAAAAUGACUAAGUUACACUUAACUCUAACAAAAGGACUUCUGCGUGCUAACAAAUCGCAUAACCAAAGCGAUUGUUUAAGCCAUUCGCAACAUGAAGUUUAAGUGCAAAACUUGAUCGAGACUUAACUUUCUCUUCCGAACCCUGAUCCGAACGUACUUAUAUUCAACAGAGAGCCCUUGACACAUAUUACAAGAAUCCCAAAUUGGUCAUCCCAAAAUCAAGCCGAAGAAAAUGACAAAAUACGGGCCCAAAGCUGCUGGACGCGUACCGUUCACUGUGCGCGGGAAACUUUGAAAUUCUGUUUUGGAUAAACCAUAAGCUCAAAUCACGAUCCGUAAAAUCCCACGGCUACACAACACCCUAAAUUACCAUUCUUGCAAAAAUACGCGGCUCAACGACUCCAAAAAUUAGACUUCGCCGCUCAGUUUUCCAAAAAUUUCGAAUUUAAGUCCUAAAUCCAAAAAUUACUUCAAUCGGACAAAUAAGGGGCUUGAUCUCUUACCGGGUUAUGGAAUCGAGUUGGCUUGGUAAGGCAUCCGAGGCGUGCAUGUGCCAAAACUUAUUUCCUUUCUUCCCUUUUCUCUUCUUCUUCUUCUCCUUCUUUUUCUUAUCUUUUUGGUCGAGGAAACUCUAAGUUUCUGUUUAACCGAACCCUCUCCCCUCUACUUUUGCUUUAAUGACUUUUCGGUUUCUUUUUCAGUUUCUUCUUUUGGGCAAUUUAAAACUUCUUUUUUUCCGUUUAUUCUUUUGGGGCCCACUAUCCUAAUGUUACACGGAGGCCAUACGAGUGUGAACCAGUCUUAUGUGAGUAUGAGUGCAUACAUAAUGUGUACCUUAAAAUUUAAUAUUUUUUCAACAUAUCUCGAACAGAUCAAAGAAACAGAGAGAGUGUAUAGAAGUUCAACAUACCGUAACUUUUUCCAUGCCCUGCCAGUGCGACUCGAUGGGCUUUCUGACUUCCCCAUCUAUUUUCCCCACGUACUGCUUCAGGGACUCUGGUAUCAAGAACAACAUAAGAGUCUCUCACGUGUUUUUGAUCUUGGCCACUGAGUUCCACCAGAUUGCGGUCUAAUGGAAUCGCGUGGAUGGAUGAUGGUUGCUUGUUGGCGAGCAUGCUGCUGUCUCCGUAGAAUACAAACUUGUUUGUUGCUUGUCUGUAAAUGAACACUGUCGGUUUACCGAAGAAAGUGAGCUUCGAGAUUGGUCCAUACUUCCUCACUCUUUCUUGGAUCCGUUUUUCUCCCGUGUUCGUCCUCAUGGCUCGGAGCAUGGCAAUGCUUGGGCCUAUGUGAGAUUCCCAGUGGAUCCCGGAGGUAACUUUCUUGAUGAUCUCUCUUCUCCUGCUUACAGAAGAGACUGUAGUAGAAAGAGAAGAUCAAAUGUUCAUUGUUGCAGCAUGGGUUUNNNNNNNNNNNNNNNNNNNNNNNNNNNNNNNNNNNNNNNNNNNNNNNNNNNNNNNNNNNNNNNNNNNNNNNNNNNNNNNNNNNNNNNNNNNNNNNNNNNNNNNNNNNNNNNNNNNNNNNNNNNNNNNNNNNNNNNNNNNNNNNNNNNNNNNNNNNNNNNNNNNNNNNNNNNNNNNNNNNNNNNNNNNNNNNNNNNNNNNNNNNNNNNNNNNNNNNNNNNNNNNNNNNNNNNNNNNNNNNNNNNNNNNNNNNNNNNNNNNNNNNNNNNNNNNNNNNNNNNNNNNNNNNNNNNNNNNNNNNNNNNNNNNNNNNNNNNNNNNNNNNNNNNNNNNNNNNNNNNNNNNNNNNNNNNNNNNNNNNNNNNNNNNNNNNNNNNNNNNNNNNNNNNNNNNNNNNNNNNNNNNNNNNNNNNNNNNNNNNNNNNNNNNNNNNNNNNNNNNNNNNNNNNNNNNNNNNNNNNNNNNNNNNNNNNNNNNNNNNNNNNNNNNNNNNNNNNNNNNNNNNNNNNNNNNNNNNNNNNNNNNNNNNNNNNNNNNNNNNNNNNNNNNNNNNNNNNNNNNNNNNNNNNNNNNNNNNNNNNNNNNNNNNNNNNNNNNNNNNNNNNNNNNNNNNNNNNNNNNNNNNNNNNNNNNNNNNNNNNNNNNNNNNNNNNNNNNNNNNNNNNNNNNNNNNNNNNNNNNNNNNNNNNNNNNNNNNNNNNNNNNNNNNNNNNNNNNNNNNNNNNNNNNNNNNNNNNNNNNNNNNNNNNNNNNNNNNNNNNNNNNNNNNNNNNNNNNNNNNNNNNNNNNNNNNNNNNNNNNNNNNNNNNNNNNNNNNNNNNNNNNNNNNNNNNNNNNNNNNNNNNNNNNNNNNNNNNNNNNNNNNNNNNNNNNNNNNNNNNNNNNNNNNNNNNNNNNNNNNNNNNNNNNNNNNNNNNNNNNNNNNNNNNNNNNNNNNNNNNNNNNNNNNNNNNNNNNNNNNNNNNNNNNNNNNNNNNNNNNNNNNNNNNNNNNNNNNNNNNNNNNNNNNNNNNNNNNNNNNNNNNNNNNNNNNNNNNNNNNNNNNNNNNNNNNNNNNNNNNNNNNNNNNNNNNNNNNNNNNNNNNNNNNNNNNNNNNNNNNNNNNNNNNNNNNNNNNNNNNNNNNNNNNNNNNNNNNNNNNNNNNNNNNNNNNNNNNNNNNNNNNNNNNNNNNNNNNNNNNNNNNNNNNNNNNNNNNNNNNNNNNNNNNNNNNNNNNNNNNNNNNNNNNNNNNNNNNNNNNNNNNNNNNNNNNNNNNNNNNNNNNNNNNNNNNNNNNNNNNNNNNNNNNNNNNNNNNNNNNNNNNNNNNNNNNNNNNNNNNNNNNNNNNNNNNNNNNNNNNNNNNNNNNNNNNNNNNNNNNNNNNNNNNNNNNNNNNNNNNNNNNNNNNNNNNNNNNNNNNNNNNNNNNNNNNNNNNNNNNNNNNNNNNNNNNNNNNNNNNNNNNNNNNNNNNNNNNNNNNNNNNNNNNNNNNNNNNNNNNNNNNNNNNNNNNNNNNNNNNNNNNNNNNNNNNNNNNNNNNNNNNNNNNNNNNNNNNNNNNNNNNNNNNNNNNNNNNNNNNNNNNNNNNNNNNNNNNNNNNNNNNNNNNNNNNNNNNNNNNNNNNNNNNNNNNNNNNNNNNNNNNNNNNNNNNNNNNNNNNNNNNNNNNNNNNNNNNNNNNNNNNNNNNNNNNNNNNNNNNNNNNNNNNNNNNNNNNNNNNNNNNNNNNNNNNNNNNNNNNNNNNNNNNNNNNNNNNNNNNNNNNNNNNNNNNNNNNNNNNNNNNNNNNNNNNNNNNNNNNNNNNNNNNNNNNNNNNNNNNNNNNNNNNNNNNNNNNNNNNNNNNNNNNNNNNNNNNNNNNNNNNNNNNNNNNNNNNNNNNNNNNNNNNNNNNNNNNNNNNNNNNNNNNNNNNNNNNNNNNNNNNNNNNNNNNNNNNNNNNNNNNNNNNNNNNNNNNNNNNNNNNNNNNNNNNNNNNNNNNNNNNNNNNNNNNNNNNNNNNNNNNNNNNNNNNNNNNNNNNNNNNNNNNNNNNNNNNNNNNNNNNNNNNNNNNNNNNNNNNNNNNNNNNNNNNNNNNNNNNNNNNNNNNNNNNNNNNNNNNNNNNNNNNNNNNNNNNNNNNNNNNNNNNNNNNNNNNNNNNNNNNNNNNNNNNNNNNNNNNNNNNNNNNNNNNNNNNNNNNNNNNNNNNNNNNNNNNNNNNNNNNNNNNNNNNNNNNNNNNNNNNNNNNNNNNNNNNNNNNNNNNNNNNNNNNNNNNNNNNNNNNNNNNNNNNNNNNNNNNNNNNNNNNNNNNNNNNNNNNNNNNNNNNNNNNNNNNNNNNNNNNNNNNNNNNNNNNNNNNNNNNNNNNNNNNNNNNNNNNNNNNNNNNNNNNNNNNNNNNNNNNNNNNNNNNNNNNNNNNNNNNNNNNNNNNNNNNNNNNNNNNNNNNNNNNNNNNNNNNNNNNNNNNNNNNNNNNNNNNNNNNNNNNNNNNNNNNNNNNNNNNNNNNNNNNNNNNNNNNNNNNNNNNNNNNNNNNNNNNNNNNNNNNNNNNNNNNNNNNNNNNNNNNNNNNNNNNNNNNNNNNNNNNNNNNNNNNNNNNNNNNNNNNNNNUAAUGAUGAACGAUGUUAGUGUUUGCUCUGGGACUUUAUGCCAUGUACCUUCUACAUUUUAAACCCGCGCUUCCUCGACCAAUUUGUCUUAAUUCCUGCCAGCAUUCUCAAUUCUCGUCUUGUUAUAUUUUGGCGGAGGUGGAUAUGCAACCUUGAAUCUGUUUGCUGUAAAAGACUCAUUUCCUGUUUCCAAGUCUACAACAGCAAAUGAGUCGGUCUCAUGAAAACGGUGAUGAGUGGGAAAGCGAGAGUUAUAUUUAGCUCUAUCUUUGUCAGUUCCUGAACUUUUAUUUUCGGUGGUAGAUUCUUUCUGGAACGAGUGGAUCAAUUUUGACACAAAUCCUACUAAGAAAAAAGAUGCUGCCCCUUUAUACAGGGUCACCAGGUGCCUUACUGAAGAUUGCAAAUGAGAUCAAACAAAUAGCAUUAGAUUCUGCCAAUUUUAACAACGGGAGUUGAGCCCGGAUGUGUAUUACUUUGUACUUGUUUCAGUCACCAAAUUAAUUCAACAGAAGAGUAACAAAAUCUAGUUUCAAAAAUUGUAUUUGUAUUUCUCAAAAAAUUCCAAGGAAAAAAACCCAUCAACGAAAAAUCCAGCAAAAUCGCAUCAUCCCACAUGAUAAAACAAGAAAGAGGGCAAGAGAAGAAGAACAAUGCAAAGAAAAUGUGAUGGGAGUGGAGGUGGGAUUCUAGGAAAAUGCACUGAAAAUUAUUCCAACAGAAGUCUUGAUUUUUUUAACCAGAAAGGAAAGGAAAGCUAAUCCUUAGGUUAAUAAGUGAAGAAAUCUUAUUACUGGCAAAAGCUGGAACAGUGAGUAGUUCCUAUGCGGUUGGGAUAUUCCAAAUGAUGCAAAAUUCUUACCUUACUGCACCAUAACUAUAAUUCCAUCCUAGUGUCUGCUUCUUUACACCAAAUGUGGCCUUACGUCAUGUUUGGUUGCAUUUGGACCUCUGUUUGGUUGCAUAGUUUUUGAGUUGAUGGACUGGAAUGGCAUUCUAACAAUCGGGAUAAACUUAUCUUUGUCUAAGUAUCACCUAUAUUGCUAGAAAUGCAUUUAAUAUUUUUUCUUCAAUAAACUAUACAUAUUCCACGCACUUGCACUAUCUAACAGCAUACUUGGUCGUGUAAACUCCCCCACGAAGAAGGGAAGGUUGGUACUUCUAUUUCCUACUCAUAAUGGGCUUGGCAUUGAUGAACUUAGAGGCGGCUGAGUUCGAAGUGAUGAACAUUGAUUGUGCUGGGAUGGAAGGUGGAUGAAAGCAAAGAGAAAGUUACAGUGAGGAUCCAUGGGUGAAAUUGUUGCCUCAUUUGAAGGAAAAUUUUUAGAUGAACACGGAUCAUGUGAGCGCGGCUUAGAUCCACCGUUAGAUGAGGUGGGAUCUAUGUGAUCUAAGGGUACAUGUGAGCAUGAUCCCGAUGCAGGCAAUAAUUGCUUCAUUUGAAGUUGGAGUUGGGAGCAACAACCAUCUAUGGAGAAGUUUGAAGUCAACCUUGACAAAUAAUGUUUCAGGCAUUGGCAGAGUACUGAGCAUUACCUUUAACAUAGCCGCACCCAGCAUUAAAUAAUAACCCUUGGACAGAAACUAAAGACACAGCAUAUUACCAAAGGUAAUAAGCAUGACCCACACUUCCCACAGAAAGCAAUGGAAUGUGUUGAUUCUUAAGGAAUUCAAAACCUUGAUAAUAGUCAACUUUACAAUAAGGUAAAUCAACAAGGGCUACUGAGUAUGCAAUUCUCCACAUGUAAGCAAAGAGGUCGUGAUCCAAGCUGUUCAAUCAAGUAGGAGACACCCCACAAGACACGUACCUCACAAGAGAUGUGCUAAACUUUUUUAAUGAUUAGUCUGCACUAUUAGAUGACCAAAAGCAAAUACAAAGUGCAUUAUGGAAAAUGAAAAGCCUUUUGAAGGGGAAAUGAUUGUUCGAAUCGCGUCUAAAAGUAAAAGGGUAUUGCUGAAAAAUGCAUAGCAGAGACUGUGAUGACAGAUGAAUGGCAGAAAACAGAAGUACCUUGGACAUCAGGCAGAAGUCAAGCAGAAUGAGAUCACAACGAAGACAAAAGAAUCCAACAUAUGCAGAGCUGCAUUGUUUUUGUUCCAAGAGAAGACUCAACUUCAGUAUAAUGUGCCUGCUGCAGAAUUCAAAGUAACUAAUUAGUAUUACUAUUGGAAAAGGAAAGGAGGGAAAAAGAAAAGAUGAAGAUGGACUAGCAUAACGACUUACAUUAUGCUGGAAUUAACUGAAGAAUUAAAAAACGACAAAGGGUCGAAGCAGAGACUUGACAUGAGGAGGACCCCACUCCAGCGACUCCCAACUUGCCUCAUCAUCUACUACUAUCUCCCUAAGAGAAGGGAAGCUGUUAUUUAGUAUGGGCAGAUGCAAAGGAAUCCUCUUCAGCUUCGGACAAUCCAAUAAUCCAAUAUUUUGGAUGGAAUCACAAUUUAUUGUCCCAUCAUAUAUGCCCUCCAGUUCUGGUAGUGUAAUUAGAUUCAAGAAGUUUAACUUUGGCAAGGAGGAAUGGAUGGAACUGAUGUUUAUACAGCUGACUUCAUCUCCUAGUUGUCGCUGCUGUCCUUCACAGCCAAUUAUCUCCUCCAUCCUUUUGCAGUCAUGCACUAGAAUGCCUUGGAUAUUAGGGAGGUGGAGCAGCAAUUCAUGAGUAAGAAGCUUCUGCAUGUUGGGGCAUCGCUCUAUCCAAAUAUACGUAAGAAGAGAAAGGGCACCAGGUGGCAUAGCUUGGGGAGCCCUUCCAAUUAUCUCCUCCAUUUUCUCACAAUGCUGUACUGUAAACUCUCUCAGGUUAGGAAGGUGAGGCAGCAACUCAGAUUCCACCACGCUCUUCAUGUUGGCACAACGCUCUAUCACAAUCUUUUCUAGGUUAGGGAAGGCAGGGAGUGGCGUUGCAAAUAUUGCUCCUGCUGCAGUUAUCCCUUGUAAUUCCUCACAGUUUUUUAUCACAAUCUGUUGUAGAUGCGGAAGCGUAACUUUAGAAUGAUUCCCAAAGAGAUACUUCAGUUUGGGACAUCUCUCGACAGUCAGCAUCUUAAGACUAGGGAAUAGGAGAGGGAAGUCAUGAUUGUCGAUUACUUCAUCCACUCCUCCACAAAGCAUCUGUAAGUUUACCCAUUCUUCCAUUAUUAGCACCUUGAGGCUUUCAAGUGGACCGAUGUUGGACAAAUUUGUCAUGCCUCCACAUUUUCUCCCCACCAAUCUCUGCACGUCUGGCGCAAUCAAAAUAGAAUCCUCAUUGCUUUCCCCUCCUGCCCUGACAAUAUCAUAAUUGCAACAACAAUGUACAUUUUCCUCUCCGAAGUCCCAAAUCUUGGAUCAUCAUAUACACUCACAAACCACAAUGAUUUUUCUUGAUUCACCACAAGUUGGUAAUAGUGAUGAGGGCCACUCUGUUGGAGAAAUCUCAUGUAUUUAUUGAAAUCAACGACGUUCUGGAAAGAAGAAUCAAGAGUCUCCAAUGCCCAUAACUUUGUCACGUCUUCUCCCUUCACUUCCACAAUCUUUAGAUAUUGCAAGUUUGCCAAACCUGCCAAAUUCCCUUCCACUAAUAUUUCUAUACCUGAUUUGGAUAAGUCGAGGUAUCUCAAGUUUACCAACAUUUCCAAGCCCUCCACUGCUUUCAAAUAUCUACAUCCAUGAACAUCCAACUUCCUCAAUGAACUCAGCUUUCCUAAAUAAGGAAUACGACACAAUUCCCGACACUCCCUCAACAACAAUGCCCUUAAGUUUACCAAAUCUAAGAUGGAAUUGGGAAGCUCUCUGAUCCCACAUCCACUCAGGUUUAGAACCUUCAACCCCUCCAAUCACUUGAAGAAAGAGUUAGGGAUUAGUACAUUCCCCCAUAAGCUACCAUUUAAUAGCAAAGUCGCCAGUUUAGGACAGUUUGGUGACAUGUUCGAUGGAAUAACCCUAAUGUAAUUCUCCAUGAAAGAAACUUCUCUACACCAUCCAUCCAGCAUUCCUCACUCAGAAGCCUUGUCAAACCCUUGCCCGCUUUAAUCAUGGAAGUCGCACUCAUGACAUGCAAAGCCAUAUCUCUGAUCAAAUCAUGCAUCUUGACCAUACCCCGAUCAUUUUCCAACAAGCAAACAUUUUCAAGUUUGUUCAGUAUGGUAAGACCUCUAUCAUAAAAUUUCUCCCUCUUAUCCAAUCCACCAAUCAAUCCUUCAUCAAUAAAAAAUUCUAUCAGCUCAAACUUAUGAAUUAGUCGGUCUUCUGGAUAAAGUGCGCAGCAUAAGAAACAUUGUUGGACUUCAUGAUUACUCAGGCGACUGUAACUUAAUUUUAAAUUUGUUAAGACCUUCUUUUCCAUAUCCAUUUGCCCCAUGUUAGAUUCUUUCAAUCUCUCUAAGAUAUCCUUCCUUUCAAACAGAUCACUUACUCCUCUCAUGGUUCUUGCCAUCGUGAUGAUUCCUAGUGGUAGACCAGCACAUUCUUCUACAAUUAGCUUCAUAACGGCUUCAAUUUUCAAACUAAGAGCUUCAGGUCCAAGUUCCUUCAAAAAUAGGCUUUGUGCCUCAUUAGGAGACAAAGGUUCGAUUUUUAUCUUCUCCUGACAAUGCAUCUGGCGGCAUACUUCAAAGGACUGAGUUGUUACCACCAACUUAAGUCCAUCAGCUUCGACAGGGAUACCCACCUCAUCAAGAUCAAAAUGUUCCCAUACAUCGUCAAGGAUAAGUACAGACUUCCCUCUUUUACUUAAUUGAUGAAACAACAUUGCCGCUCGUUUCAUCAUAUCCUCUUCUUUUAGACCACCUAAUUUUAGCGCCUUCCAAAUGUCACCUUGCAGCUUAUGUAUGCUGAGAUCUUGUGACACAGCAAUCCAUAAUACAUUAAUAUGAUUUCCUUUUUUUAGGAGCCUAUUAUGUAUGUGCACCAUAAUGGUUGUUUUCCUGACACCCCCCAUACCAUAAAUACCUAAUCGUGAUAUGUGAUCCUCUGUUAGGCACCGCAAGAUCUUCUUAGUAUUUGUCUCAAAUACCUUACCUGCCUGCAACUUUCGUUCUAAUAAUAUAUUGACUUUGGCAUCUCCCACCUCAAACAGUCCUUCUGGAAAUUUGCCUUUUAUGUUAAGGUCUUCUGCUUCUUUCAUCAACAAAUCCACCUGUUGUUGUGGUGGCAAAUUUUCUAUGCUCACUGGUUCAAGACUUUGGAAAUUUUUCCUCAGCUUUUCCACGUUCAUCUACCAAUUCACAACUUCUAUUCUCCGCUUCUUCAGAGAUAGAGAUGCAGCAAAUUCUAACUCAUUCUUUAUGUCAGCUUCUCUAUUGUAGAGUCGUUCUACCUUUCUUUUCAAAUCUCCAUUAUUUUCAAAGUUGCCAGUGUUUGGAUGACUCGUGAUUGGCAUACCUGUAUAAAUAGCUAAUUGUGAAUCAAGAAUUCUAUGUGUUAGAUCCUAAUGUAACCAUUCAUCCUUCUCCCUAACUAAGUAAGAUCAGAAUACAUAAGGAUCAAUUUAGAUGAAUAAACAUGUACCUUGCGAUGAUGAUGGACUACUCACAUCUGUGUCCAUUGGAGCUUGUGGGAUACAUGUAAUCAAGAACUGGUUAUUCUGUGAUGAUGAUGAGGAGACACUUGGGUGAUGCUCUGUGUUCAUUGUCUCCAGAUUAAGAGGUUGAUCUGGAAGACUUUGACAUGGAGGGUGCCUGGAAGCUGGUUGAAAAAGUAAAGCAGAUUAAUUCAUCAUUAACAAUCCUGAUCAAUCAACCAUUGAAUUUUCAAAACAAGCCACGAGCCUAAGUAGAGUCAAAAUCUAGACUUAAUCCCAUAAAACAUCUACACUGAAACUAACAUUUACAUCUGUUUGAUAUUCUCAUAUAACAGUCAUCAUUAAAAAAUGAGAGGAAGUACAUAUAUGAAACAUUCAAGGAUAUGCCUGUAAUUAGGAAAAUGCAGGAGAUGUUAAAUAAGGAGACAAUUAGUAGAAAAGAGAAGUGAAGGAUCACUUCAAGGCAUACAUUGUAAUGACAAUGGGCCUUCUGUGUUAGUUCCGCCCCCUGGAACUUGGGAAUCUAUGUCCAGUUUCUCAAAAGAGUGAGGACCAGUGGAAGGCUGUGAUGCACGUGGCGAAGAUAUGUCCAUUAAAGCUUGUAAGGGAAAGGAACUAGUCUCAUUUUCGCAUUCUUCAUCACCUAGCAGAAGUGGCUGUUGACUAAAAUGCUCAAUGGCAUUGGUUACACUUGUGGCAUUGGACAGCGGAACUACUUUGGCAAUAGGGAUUUGAUUGCAGUCUUGCAAACAAUUUGAAGUGCCUACAUGAAGGGAUUGAUCAUUUUGUGAUGAUGAUGGACCCGUUCGAUUCUGCAGGUUGUUGACACCUAAUUUUUGCCCAAAAAUAUUUCAUUCCGACAUAUAGAUUAUCUAGGUGUUUAAUAUCGUGUUUUAAAUGAAAGAUGUUUUCCCUAUAAAAAAAAAAAAUAAUUUAAAAAAAAAGAAAAAAAAGAGAAGAAAUCGCAAAAAAAAAAAAAAAAAGAGAGAGCAAGUUGGGGCCAACGAUCUAAAUGUGACUAGCCAAGCCUAGGAGGUCAGAUUGGAAUUCAAAUGACAAUUUGGGGCCAAAAUGCAAUUUCCAAAAGUCGAGGGACCAAUUCGCAAAUUUUGCAAAAUUUGUGCCCGAGCCCUUAAAUCAUCAUCUUGGUCAUCAAUUAAGUUGAAAUUGAAUUUGGGCCAAGUAGAAUCAAUCAAAUUGAGCCAAAAAGACCACAUUUGUAUUGAAUUGGGUAUUUUCGAAUAAGAAAAUGGCCAACUUUGAGGGACUUUUUGGCAAAAUUGGGUGGGCACAAUUGCGAAAAAUGGUCAAGACCUUAAACUACUAUACAUGAUCUUUCUAAUUGAUCAAAAAACGCAGCCAAAUUAGUGGAUUAAAGCACUCAAAUUAGCAGCCAAAACUCAGUCCACGAGUUGGUCUUAAUCCGGAGUUGCUGAGUAAGCAAUUUGGUGGCCCCACCAUAUCCUCCUCAGCUGCCUAACCAGCCCGAUCUUUGCACGUGAUGGAAGACCGUAUAUAGUAGUGCAAGUGGACGAAAAUUGGCCAGGGAUAAGCUUCUGACAGCACCGGAAAUUCGCAGCAAAGUCCGCACACUCAACAGCUGCAGAACUUAAAAAAUUGGCUAAGUCAGAAGAGUAGGUGAAGUAGCCCUGUUGACAGGCUUGGUAGGUGGACAAAAGGCUGACCAAAAAUCCCUUAAUUCGGGGGAUAAGAUCACUAAAGCAAGGUAUUUGAAGGGAUGAGAGAGAGGAGAUGAGAGGGAGAGGAGAGAGCUCGGAAUCGCCCCCCAAAGAGGCCUUCAGAAGCAACUCCAGGAAAGCAAACCCAGAAAUUCCAGAUCAACCUCCAGAGAGAAAAGGGAAAUUUUCGCAAACUUGCAACCAAAAUUAGCCAAAAUCUUAAACUAGAGAGUGAAACUUCACUCAAAGAUCUUUCCAUCCAUAGGUCGCACGUCCAAAAUGAAGAUCAGGAAGGCCUCCUAAAGCCCCCCGAAACAGUGCCCUCCUGGCGGGCCAAAGAAAGUCCGAAAAUUUUUCUAAGUGUUGAGCCCGGUUGAUCACGAGUGAGAGAAAUCGAGUGUUUUUGAGAAAUUUGAGAGACAAAUGAGGAAAACCAUGAGUUCAAACCAAAACUAGAAUACAUAUAGUUUGGAUUGGUGUCAAGUUUUUCAACAAAAGACAUUUGAAGUCUAAUUUUGGAGGUGAGCUAAAACCUUCGUUGUCAGUUCAUUUUUUUUGCAGAUCUCAUUUCCAGUUGAAGAAGCCAAUUUCCAUAGGCCCCCGAGGAUAAUUUGUCGGUUUCAUCGGCCAAUAACCACUUGAAAAGGAUACUAGGAAGUAAGGUAAGCAUCUUAGAUAAAUUUAUUUUCGAGUUUGAGCAUGUUUUGAUCAUGAAAAUCAAGAGGAAAACCAGCCCGGAAAACUGAUUUAUGAGGCUGAAAUUUUUUUAAGUGUUUGAAAUCUCUUCAAGAGUUUUGCAUGUGUGCUUCUUGGAGAGGUUGUUUUGAUGUUUUUCAGUGAGUCAUUCUCUAUGAUGUUUGUUGCAUUUGAAAGCCCAUGUUACCUAAUUUCACGUGGAUAAAGUAGCAUUUCCCUUAGAUCUCGUAUGUGAUGAGUGUUGGGGGUUGAAUAUGGGCAUGUAACAUGUUUGCUUGACUUGGGUUCAAACCCAGAUUUGCAAAAUCAGCUCAUUUGAGGACGAUUUUAGCUUGGUUCUAGUGUGUUUUUAGCUAUGAUUUCUAUCUAAUCUUGUUCUUUGCAUGUGGUAGUAUAAUCUUGAUACUUUAGUUCCACAUGAGAUUGCUUAUGAGUGAAGAUUGAAGGUUGCAAACAUGGCUCGAGGAGGCUAUUGGGGCUAGUUUAAUGCACACCAAGUGUUCGAUAAAAUGUCCAAACUAAGCUUCGAUCUUGAAACGGUCGAUUUGAGCUUGAUUAUUGUGAUAUUUGUGUGCUGUGUUACUCCAUGUUAGCAUAGAUCGGCUUAAAGAAUUUAUUUUUUUUAAAUAAUUAAAAAAAAGAGAAAAAAUAUUAAAUUUUCAAAAAUAUCAAAAAAUGUUAGAUAGCAUCAAAUUAGGAUAGAAAUGACAUAUAUAAAAUUUUCCUAUUUUUAAAAGGUCAUUUUCCUAAUUUAAUGCUAUUUUUUUGGUAUUUUAUAACCAUUUUUGUAAAUAAUCCAUUUUGCGUAGAUUAAAACUAUUUAAAGUAAUUUCAUGCACAUAGAGCAAUUUCAUGCAUAUUUGAAUUCUCAUUUUGCUCAUGGGGGUCCUGUCCCGGGAUGUGAUAACAAGGCCAUGUAAUAUUAUUUGCCCGACUUGUAUCGGGUUUACCUUUUCCGCGUUUAUUUUCAAGUCAUUUCAAUUUCUUGGCUGUUUACUUACGCGCCGCCUUUCAUUAAUUUGAGUGUAAAUUUCUCUUCUAAAUUAUGUUAGGAUUAGUCUAGACAUUAAAAAAAAAAACUAGAAAAACAUUUGCAUGUAUACUUAGUGGUUCCAUAAAGAUUAUAAUUUGGUAAUCAGAUUGUGUGGCCNNNNNNNNNNNNNNNNNNNNNNNNNNNNNNNNNNNNNNNNNNNNNNNNNNNNNNNNNNNNNNNNNNNNNNNNNNNNNNNNNNNNNNNNNNNNNNNNNNNNUUUAGAUAAACAACCUUCCAAGUUAGUGGUACCGCAAGGGCGCUAAUAGAAACAUUGGCGUAAACAAGUCCCCCUUCCUAGAAAUCUCUGGUUGCGUAGGAAUUGAGACACCACUCCCGUGUCUUGAUUGGUUUCUAGCCGGCCCCAAUAAGCUAGUGGCGACUCCUAGAAAUAUUUAGGUUGUUAAUAAUUGAAAUAUGAAAUCCAACGUCGCGCGAGGUAUGGGCUUGGGAGAGCCCGCGCCUAAUUUAGGGCCAUUGGUCUACUACUUUAGGCAAAUACCCCUAAACCUUCUUCAUUUUCCCCCAUACGAAAAAAAGAGGUCGUGACACAGGUCACUCAUUUGCAUUUCCUCAGCAUAACGAGAUGGAAUGGAAUACUGUGGCUGAUAGGGCUUAUCAAGAGGAUAAGAUGCCCACUCUACUGAAUAUAUUUGCAGACAUGAAGCACUUUCACCUCUCCAUUGCUCAUCAAAGCCAGAAUGUGUUUGAUUGGGAUGCCGGGGAGUGCCAAUUGUACUUGUGUCACUGAGACGGGGACAAGGCACAGCAACACCAGGUCUAGUUGGCUGAUGCAACCCAUUUGUCACGCUGUUAUUAAGGGAUUGAUGACUUUGCAAUGGUGAUGGCCCUCUACUAUUCUGUUGUUCAUACCUUGGCUCGAGAUCAAUUAACUGAUCAAAAAGCUCUGGUAGUUGACUCGGAUCAAGAAAGAUCGAAGCCGCUGGAUCAGUUGAAGGUUGCUGGAGUGAUGAAGUUUUUUCGUUUCCAUGUUCAUCAUUCAAGCGUUGAAUUGGCCCAUUGGGUUGUGGCGCCAUUUCUGUAUCACCUGCAAGCAUGUCAGCGAGACACAAGGACUCUUGACACUGACAAUCUACUGAAGCUGCACCAUCAACACUUCCAUUCUGCCAAGGGCAAGAUGGUUGCUCUGGGACGUUUUGAUUCAAGCUCUGCAUGUCAUGGGGACUUGAAGAAUGGUCACUACCAAGGACUACAAUUUGGCCCAUACCAUCACUUCUUCGUCCCAUUACCUCAAUAGAUGCGCCCCCCCUGUUGGUUGCAUCCGCCACACUUUUACCUUUCAUUGCUUUCAAAGCUUGGGAUCUCACAUGAUCAUCAACUCUCUCGCAUGGUUUUAUACCGUAGCCCGGAACCCCCGUGAGGUGUGCCCUGAUCCUUGUAGCACUUCCACCAGAAUCCUUGCCACAAAACUUACACUUCUACUUUUUCGCCACAACCUCCACAUGCCUCCGAAAUGGAUCAACCUCUCUAGGCAUCUCUUAUUCUGAGCUACAAAAGAGGGGACAACUUCGAACUAACUAGAAAAGAAUGAAGUCAGACAAGAUCUACAUGUAUAAAAAGAAACCAUACUAAGCCCUUUCCCAAUCACCCAGUAAGCAUCCAACCCAAAAAAAAUAAAUCACCCAGUACGAAGAACCACAUGAGGAUCCCACAGAGUGAGUAAAUAGCAUAUAUAGAAAAGAACCGACAAAAUUGGAAAUUUUAAAGUAGCAAACACAGAUGAAAAUGAAGGACCAAAGCUGCUCUGGCAAUCUGAAACUCGGAAAGGGAUUAGCAUCAGGAAUUCAAGAAGGUUAUGAGUCUAAGUUUUCAGGAGUUAGGGAUUCGUCAGGUUUUGGGGGUACUCGGACAAGAUCAAGAGUCGGGCAUUUUAUGAAAUGGAAAAACAGAGUCAACAGCAGUCAGCGGGACGAAAUUUCUUACAUACAGUGAGGAAAGAACUUUUUGCAUUAUCGGACCGAACAGCACGAAAGAUUACACGUGGUAAGUGACACUGGGAAAUCAUUAAAAAAAAUUAAUAUCACAAAAAUUUUCAAAUUAAUGCACAUAUGAUAAAUUUAUUCGAAGUUAAUUUUUUAAACCCCAAAUCGGUACUAACCAAAAAAAAAAAAACUCAAAACUGGUAAUACUCCCGAGAACAUGUAUUUCUGUUCUUUUAUUCUCGAGAGCAGAAAUAGAAUAAAAAUGCAUUUGGUAAGUUUUUUGUUCUCAGGAACAAAUUUAUUCUCGGUAAUAAAUUUGGAAAAGAAAUAAGAAAUUAAAAAAUAUAUUUUUUAUUUCUAGAAACAACUCCAAAAAAAAAUUUCUAACGUUUGUCGAUACACUGUUCACAUUUGCUCUCUAGGUGGGCGAUUUUGCACUAUUCCUACAUUUCUGGUGUGGAGCUGAUUCCCAAAGCUUUAACCGGUGGUUGAGGCUGAUUUUUGGAAGAGAUGAUUGUUUGACAGCCCCCUACAAACCCUCAAGAGUGUUUGCCCUGGUAUGUACUCUCUAUGCUGCGAUGCUCCUGUUAGGCUAGGGUUUUGCGGGUCUUUUAUGGGUUUCUGCUUGUCCCAGAUUCUUUGAUGCGAUGGCUGGCAAAGUCAUGUUGGCCAACAACAUUGGGGAUAGUCCUAUUGGUCGAAGCCCUUCCCCUCCCAUCCAAGCCCAUCCGCCUUUAGCUGGUGGGGAAAAGGUAGACUCGCGAGGAACAAGUCCGUCUCCAUCUCUCUCGAAGGAAGACCAGUGGGGGACCCUUAAGCCCCUGCAUGCCCCCGCUGGGCCUCGAGGUCAAAGCCAUGCUAGGUGAAACUCCAAAUGCCCUCAACCAAGAGAUUAGCAAAGAAAGGACUCGAAAACCCCUCUCACCAGUUCCUGGGCUAGUGUUACAAAAGUGGUAGUGAAGGGUUAUGACCUGGAGUACAUUCCCCCAUCCUCUGUGAAUAAUAAGCCUAUUAUUGAAUCGUCUGCUGAUAUUAGGAAGCUACGGAUCCUAAGUGGCAUGAAUGCCUUGUGGGGUAUUUUAUUGGGAGGAAGCUACCUUUCAAACUAACCAAAACAACCCUCAAGAAUGCUUGGGGUCCGAAACUGGUGAAUGUGAUGGCGGAUGACCAGGGAUUCUAUUAUUUUCAUGUUCCCAAUGGUGAUUUCUGUAGGAAGGUCUUGGAAGGAGGGCCACUUAUGGUUGCAAGAGUACCCUUAAUCUUGCAACAAUGGAAACCUAUGCUAGAACUCAAGAAAGAUAGUCACUUUGCUAUCCCAAUGUGGAUUAGGCUGAGGAAUUUUCCUUUUGCUUUCUGGUCUUCAUAGGGGAUUAGUGCUGUUGCUAAUGCGGUGAGCAAACCGCUUUACGUCAACUUACGUACCGAACAAAUGAAGAUGCUCGCUUUUGCCAAGGUAUGUGUAGAAAUCUCAACUAAGUAACCAAAGUGUGAGGCUGUUGAAGUUGUCCUUAAUGGUGACUCUUGCACAGUGGUUGUGGAGUAUGAGUGGAGGCCAAUUGCUUGCCCAAGCUAUGGCACCUUCGGCCACAAGUGUGCAGCGCCUCCCACCCAAUCAAUAGCUGAAGUAGUUGCCCAGCAGGUUCCGGUUGGUGAUUCCCCUACUCCUCAAGACCCUCCCUUGGCCCCUGCUCAAGUUACAGUUGAAGCUCCUGGAUUUGUGGAUGCUGAGCGGAGUCAAGUUGUGCCUGAAGCUUCUACGGGUGUUGAAUGUAAUCAAAUUGUUGGUAAAAGGUAAAAACAACCCCUACUUCCCAAGGAGGGGUCAUCCUCUGCCCGGUAGUCCCAUGCGAAACUAGCUAGAUCCUUAAAUUGAAGGACGCCUCUCCAAGGGGUGGAAAGAAGGCCACUUCCUCCCGGGCAAUCUAGUUUCAACAGGAGGAGCAGGCACCAUUGGAAGACCUCUCCACUACUCCUGCUAUUGCAUCUAGAGUAAGGCCAGCGGGCGCUACUGCUUAUUCAGCUCCGUCUUCUUAUAUGGAUGAGUUGGAUGACUUUGUUAGCCAGGUCAGUAGCUUGAAAGAGGAUUUGUUGGACUUCCUUUGCCCUCCUGAUCCAAAAGCCACUUCUACAAGUAGGAUUGUUAAGCCCAAGUAGGAGAUGAUCCAGACUCCCUGCCCAGUUUCGCCUCCUGCUGAUCCGCCAAGGCCGACGUAUUCUCAACAGCGGUCGAGCAAUAAGAGGUAGGCCUGUCCUUCAUAUAUAUACUUAUAUAUGUGGCAUAUGUUUUUUGGUUUUUGGAACAUUAGGGGCCUUGUUGACCCCAUUAGGCAGGCGGAGGUUCGUAACUUAGUCUCUUUGAAUCAGUUGUGUUUGGUUGGUUUAUUAGAAACAAAAGUUUCACAUUCUCGCUUCACCUCCCUGUCUAAGCGACUACUGAGGGAUUGGAGAUGGGCUACAAAUUACGAGUACUCCCCUAGAGGGAGGAUUUGGGUUGGGUGGAAUCCCCUCCUUGUUAAUUUUGAAGUCUCCUCGAUGAGUGACCAAGUGAUCCAUGGGAACUUAAGGUCUUUGGACUCAGAUGUGGUUUGUUGUGUUUCAGUUAUCUACGGCCAACACACCUUCCUGACACGGAGACCUCUUUGGAAGGACAUUACUCUUAAGAGCACUGCUUUGCAGAAUUCGACUUGGCUAGUGGCGAGUGACUUUAACACUAUAAAAGACCCGCGGACAUAUUAGGUUGGUCAGACACUUGGAUUCUGUAUUUUGAUGAAUUCGGUCAAUGCUUAGAUCAAUUAGAGUUAGAUGAUUUGAGGUACGUUGGCUUUCGGUUCACUUGGACAACCUCUUUUGGAGCUUCUCGGAAGUCUAGGAAGAUUGACAGGGUUCUCAUGAAUUCCAAAUGGAGCCAAGACUUCUCCUAUUCGGAAGCUUCCUUCCUUGCUCCAGAUAUUUAUGAUCAUUCCCCUAUGGUAGUCAAAGUCUUGAACCUUGCUCUUUGGAGGAAGCCAUUUAAGUUCUUUGAUUAUUGGAUGAACCAUCCGAAUUUCAACACAAUCGUUAACCAAGUUUGAGAGGAGCCGGAGGAAUGUGUACCCAUGUACAGACUUGUGUGUAAACUAAAGUCCCUUAAAGCCUGCCUUAAGCAACUCAAUAGAGAGUCUUUCUUUAACAUUUCUGCCAAGACAACAAAGGCGAGGGAAUCAUUAAGGAUUACCUAGGUGGGCCUCUAGCAGGACCUGUCCAAUGUUGAACUUGCAGAUUUGGAGAAAACUCAUCGUUGGACCUUCUCGGACCUUCGGUGUCAAGAAGAGUCUUUCUAUAAGCAAAAGUCCAGGAUUAUGUGACUUAAGGAUGGAAACCGAAAUACUAAGUUUUUCCAUCAUUAUGUCAACAAAAGACAGAUGAGAAAUAGAGUUCUCUCAGUCAUGGAUACCUCUGGAAAUCAAAUUACCGACCCAGUCGUGGUUCAGCAGCAUUUCACCAACCAUUUCCAAGACCUCUUGACGCCAUGGGUUGUUCUUGGAGGGCCAUCGAUUUGGGAGAUAUAGGAUGCUAUUCAGACUCCCUUAAAUGACAACCAUGUUAGUUUUCUUGCUCGUCCCGUCUCCAAGUUGGAGAUUCGAAAUAUUAUUUUUUCUUUAGCUCAGGGUAAAGCCCUUGGCCCUGAUGGUUUUAUUGUUGAAUUCUUUAAGCACAACUGUGAUACGAUAGGAUAGUUGGUUAUGGCUGCGGUGAAGGACUUCUUUAGCACGGGUAGGCUCUUGAGGGAGAUUAACAAUACCAUUUUGGUAUUGGUGCCAAAAGUCCCUAAUGCGACUACUGUGGAUGAUUACAGGCCCAUUGUCUGUUGUAAUAUCAUUUACAAAUGCAUUACUAAAGUCUUGGCCAAUAGGGUGGCUGUAGUUCUUCAGGAUGUGACUAACCCCUUUCAAAGUGCUUUUAUUAAGAGUAGGCGAAUCAGGGAUAAUAUUCUCUUAGCUUAGGAACUGUUUGCUAGUUGACACCUCGACCCUUACUCACCUAAGUGUGUAGUUAAGGUGGACUUCUGAAAAGCCUAUGACAUGGUGGACUGGGAUUUCCUUAAGCUUGUCCUCCUAGCUUUUGGUUUUUUGGAGCAUGUGACUCAGCUCAUCAUGACUUGUGUGUGAACACCUAAAUUUUCUAUUGCCUUAAAUGGGGAGUUACAUGAUUUCUUUGCCAGUGGUUGAGGUCUAAGGCAAAGGGACCCCAUAUCUCCCUAUUUGUUUACCUUGGUUAUGGAAGUAUUAUUUGGAAUUCUUUUUGGUCAUUCGAUGAAGCUAGACUUCAAGUUUUAUUGGAGAUGCAAAGCAACGAAUCUAUCCCACUUUUUCUUUGUAGACGACGUCUUCUUAUUAUGUGAAGCUGAUAUGCCUUCAGUGGCUCUCCUUAAGGAAGGCUUGGACACCUUCUCGGCUUAGAGUGGUUUGUACCCAAAUUCAAGCAAAAGUGAGAUUUUUCUUGCAGGAGGUUUGCUAUCUACAAGGAAUCAAAUUCUUAGUGCCCUGGGUUUCCAUGAAGGGAGCUUGCUGGUCCGCUAUUUGGGGGUGCCCAUCAUCACUUCGAGGCUUGGUAAGGCGGAUUGCUGCGCUCUCAUCAACUACAUUACAGCAAGAGUACAAUCUGAGACCCAUCGCUUUCUGUCAUAGGCCGGCCAUCUUCAAUUGAUCAGGUCGGUCCUUUGUGCGAUUUAAGCCUAUUGGGCUAGUGUAUUCAUAUUACCCAUAACCGUUUUGGACUUGAUCGAACAAAUCCUGAGGCAAUUUCUAUGGAAAGGCCCAGACUUGGGCAGGGGUGGAGCGAAAGUUUCCUGGGAUGAUGUUUGUCUCCCUAAGGAAGAGGAAGAUCUUAGUAUCCGGAGACUUCGUGAUUGUAAUAGGGCAGCCAUGCUCAAACACAUAUGGCUCAUGUUCUCCGACAAGGAGUCGUUGUGGUGUAAGUGGAUCCGUUCGACCUUUUUAAAAAGGAAGAACUUUUGGGUCACUAAGAAACCUACCUAUUGCUCGUAGGCCUAGAAGAAAAUCCUACAAUUCAAGAGGGAAUUUCGUAAUUCAUUCUUUUGGAGGAUAGGGGACGGCCUUUCAGUGCCUUUCUAGUUUGACAAUUGACACCCUAGAGAUCCUUUGAACCUAAUUUUCUCGAACUCUCUCAUCUAUAGCUCUGGGUUACCCAGGCAUGUGACAGUGGCUGAUCUUUUCUCCACUUCUGGCCAUGUUAUCAACACUGUCUUCAAUUCGUGGGAGCACCCUCUCCUAGUCCUUUCGCAGAACUCGCACCACUUUUGCUGGGUGGAGAGUUCUUCUAGGCUGUUCACGGUAGCCUCGGUGUGGGAGACCAUUAGGUGGAAGAAGGCUCGAGUUCUUUGGCAUGCGUUCAUUUGGAACAACUUGAUUACACCACGGUACCAACUUAAUCUUUGGCUUAUGGCCAAGCGUAGACUUCCAACCCAAGCUUUAUUAUUAUCUUAUCGUAGAAUUGAUAGUGGUGCGUGUGCUUUCUGCAAUGCCAUGCUGGACUCCAUCAAUCACUUAUUUUUGGAAUGUCAUGUCACUGCUGGCAUUGCUUUCUUUUGGGCCACUGGAUGCAACCUUCCAUGGCGCAACAGGUCAUGGGAGGAGAAUCUAUGUUGGGUCGUAACCUUGCUAUCGGACAAAGAUUUUCAUAAAUGCAUAGCUCGGUUUUCUUUUGGUGCUCUUUGCCAUAUUAUCUAGAAAAACAGGAAUAACAUUCUUUUCAGGGAGCAGUCUCUUACGACUCCGGCCGUGAAGAACCAUUUGAUCAAGGUAGUCAGAGACAAAGCUGUCACCUUCAGGAAUGUUGAGGAUACUACGCAAAAUAGGAGGCUCCAGCGCAGCUGGGGUAUUGAUCUGAUUAUCUUCUCUUCGAGGGAGAUUGAUCCGCCACCUCUUCAACCUAAUUGAUCUCAGUUUUGUGGUUGGCGAGUCAUCCGCUGCCGUGCUGGUUAUGGCUUUGCCUAUUUUUGGCUACUGCUUUGGCUCCCCUGUUUCGGGUGCUGGCUGGCUUUUGUUGAUGCUCUAGGGUUGCUGCGAUUCUCCUUGGUGGCUCCUCCCUUUUGACGGUGGGCUGGUUGGUGCUUUAGUGCUAGCGAUUGCGGUGUUGCUGCGGUUGCUUGCUCGUGGGUCUUCUCUUGCCUUGUUGUUGCCUUAGCUACCGGUCUGUUUGUUGUUUGUUUGUGCCUACUGUUUAGGCUUUUCUUGCUUCUGUUUGGCUCUCUGCCGCUUUGUUUGCGGUCUUCCUUGUUUUCUUUCGACUUCCUUCCACUCGUUCUGCCUUGUUGUCAUUAUGAGUGUAAGUUUUUGGCACCGAACCCUCUUAUAUAGUUUGGUUAAAGCUCAAUUUAUUCUUACCUUUACCCAAAAAAAAAAAAAAAACAACAACUCCCCAAAAACAAACUUUUUAACUUUUUUUUUCUUUUUCUUUUCUUCCUUUUCUUUUUUUGCUUUCUCUUCCUCUUUUCUUCCCCUAGCCCCAUUUUUGGCGCCCCCCAAAUCAUAGGUUUAGAUAAAGGCCCAACAACUUCAUUAGAGUCUCGCCGGCCCUCGAAAAGGUCACCCUAAGCCUCGCCCAGCCACAACAAGGCUCGACCUUGCCGGUGGCCAGGCAAAGCUUGGCAUUCCCGGAUCUAGGUGAGCCUCGCCUGGCCGUGGGCCAUGUUGAGCCUCACCGAUGGUCGAGGUUGCCUCACCCAGUCACGGCAAGGCUCUCUAGAGGUUGCUGGGUUGAGGAAGGAGAAGAAAAAUAAAAUAAAAAAAGAAAAAAUGUCAUAAAAUUAUUAAUAAAUUAAAAUAAAUUAUAAAUCACGAAAAUAUAUGGGGUCAUACUAAACAUAUUUUUCUCAUGAGAAAAAAAAAUUGUAUAGUUACCAAACACGUUCCAAUGCUAACCAAUUAUUCCCGAGCAUAAAAACAUAAAAAAAAAGUGUUUCUAAAAAAAAGUGUUCCCCAAAAUAGAAACGUUACCAAAUGUAUCAUUUGAUCUGCAUUGUUUAAAGGCGCUUUGUUUCUGCAGUAGCUUUGAAUGCGGGGUCCCACCCUAAAGACUACCAUUUUGACAUCCCUAGCAAACUGAGGAAGAACAUGAUUAUGAAAAACUCCCAUCCUAUCCCCCAAAUAUGGUAGAUGGCACCAUUCCAUGUUAGUUUCAAUAUGAUUUUAGUCAAAGACCUUCCUCCGGCAAUUCCAAGAACCAACUUUGCACAAAUCUUUAUCAUUCCCACAAACUCCAACCAACUCCAUUAGAGAUCUCCAUCCAUGAGAAGGCACCAUCAGAAAGCAAAGGUUUCCUAGACUUAGGAAGAAGAGCAUAAGACACAUAUGUCAUCAAUGGAGGACCCCCUUUUUAUCAUGACAAAGGUUUCCAGCUCAUUCAAAUAGCAAGCCAAGCUACAAAGCUGAAUUUAGGCAAAUUUGGAUUAAACAAGAUGACUUGAUGCCAAGAGAUCUUGUGCUUUCUUUCCCUUACCUACUUCUCCAAGCAUCAGUCUGAGUGAAGCAUCUAGAGGAAUUUCCUUUGAAAAUUGUUCUACCCUCAAGAGUAGAGCAGGGAAAAGAUCGUUCCACAUAUGACUGCUUGAAUAUGCACCAACAAAUAUGAUCUUGCUAGAGGCCAAACCCACUCAUCUCCAUAUAUGACACCGACAACUAGAGAGGUCAGAGCCAGUGCAACAUUAUAAAUAAGUUUUUUAGGAUAAACAUCCAAACAACACCCCAUGAGGAUGCCAAGGAUCAUUCUGUAAGAAACUAUGAUGUUCAUUACCAUUUACCAAUAAUUUAUCUGACAUGUGGCUUAUGGAUGGAACAUGCCUCGAGAAGCUUUCUCUGAAUACAAGUGUUGUCAUUCUUGGGGUAAACAGACCCAAAAAGAAAUAUGUCCUUUAGCUUUUCUUUGUUAAUGAAAUUAAGUUCCUCCAUAAUUCAUGACUAGUGACAGCAUUAACUUGCUAACGUGGUAUGAACCGGAUACAAGACCAGCCCCUUCUCUUUCUCUCUGCCUUCAACAUUUCUUUCAUUUCUUUUGACAUAGGCACUAUAAAUUCUUAAACUUAUCAUGAAAAUAAAAUCGAGUUAUAAACUAAUUUUACUAGGAAGAUCAAGUUAUUAGAUGCAUUCAAUUUAAGUGAAGGAAAAUGCAAAUAUGACCUUUAAAAAAAAAAUUGAGAACGCAUGGUACCGACGUGACAUCUCAAAGAAAAUGAUUUUUUUUUUUUAAAAAAGGCAAAGACCACCCAAAAAAAAAACAAAAUAAUAGGAAAAUGGAACCAAAGAGAGGAGUUGUGGCCCCUCUGUCAUGCCCCAAUCCUCGGGUACGCACACAUCCUUCUACUUGGUCGAUUUUAUAAUGCGAUAUUCCAGGACUAAGUAUCGCCGACCCUUUCAUUUAUUAAGCACAUACGGAAGCAGUUAUAAAUCCCCAAACAAUAAAACAAUGGGAUGAAAAAGUAAGGCCAUAUUUUUCAUAUUGAAAUCCAUAACUAAACCUUUAUACAACCACACCUCGAAGUACUUCACAAAACUUUUCAUAACUUUCUAGUCUCACACUAUUCACAUUUAGACAGGAUUCACAAAGAGGAUGAGAUCAUAGCCCUCAUUCGGGUCGUACUCGGAUCAUCAUCGGGGUUCUCCUCCAGGUACUCCUCUUCGGUUUCUUUCUCCUCAGGCUCCUCAUCAAAGUCUUGAAAUGUUGUCCCACAACCGGGAUGAUACUACGUCUCAGCAAGUUCUACCCCACUAAGACUCAAUUAGGAAACCAAUAUGCUAAUCGGGCUGCCUAUACACCGCACGGGUUAGAGGGCUUACUUUAGCCUCAGAUUCCACUUGCAUAUUAGCACAAUUCAAUAGGCACCCUAGCAAUCACAUCACAGAUCGAUAUCUGAUCAAUCGACUUAAUCGAUUACAUGUCAAUUGGACCAUUCAAGGUCACUUCCACUCAAUCAGUCAAUUCACGACAACGGAUUAAAUCAUUGAUCAAUCGACCUAGUCGAUUACAUGUCAAUCGGAUCAUUUCCAGGUCAAAUCAUUUCUCAAUAUAAAACCUCCCAUUUGCACUCUCAGUCAUAGAGCUACAGUAAUGCUCUCAGGCGUCAUUUUUGCCAAGAUGACAUAUAUACUGGACAUCACUCGUGCAUUUUUUAAGGCGCCGUUUUCACCAGUGAUAUUCUUAAUCACCGAACCACGUAUGUCCGUAAUGAGGCAUGCAGUAGACAGCAAUUGUGCGUUUUUUAAGGCGUCGUUUUCACUAGUGAUUUUCUUAUCACCGAACCACGUAUGUCUAUACUGAUGCAGGUAAUAGACAGCACUCGUGCAUUCUUUAAGGCUCCAUUUUUACCAGUGAUUUCAUUAUUACCCAACCACGUAUGUCUAUACCUCGUAUCUGAUUGAUCUCAGCCAAAAUUAUUCUCAGUUCAGCCUCACGAUUUUCUCUACUUUACAACUCAUCAAAACAUUGUAAAUGCUAAAUAACCACACUUGGUCAUCCACCAAUCAAUCAUUCAAUUUCACUCAAUUUCAAUCAAUUAAGGAAUAAUUCAUCAAAUUGCACAAUUAAUCCGAUUCAGCACAACGUAGAGCUUAAAUAAAUAAAUGGACUGCGCCACGACAAUCAGCACGAAAUUUCGGUCGUCGGCUAUCCUUGCCUAAUUUUCAAAAAAUAAAUAAUUAAAUAAAUAAUUUCGAAAAGUAAUAAAUAAAUACUAAAAAUUCAAUUUAGGACCAUAAUGCCUAAUUGAAGCCCGAUAAGGGUCGGGAAAAAUCCUGAGAUGCAUCAAUAAAUAUUAGAAACUCUCUACUUGCUAAUGACUAGGUCUAACCACCUAACAUGCAUCAUUAAGUCACUAAUUUAAUUGUCCUAAACUAAUCUAACCACCUAAUUGCACUUAAUUAAAUCUAAUCAAUCCUUAGGCAUAAUUAGCAAACUAAGAAAGUAUUAGUGAGCAAAACUCACUUGAUUAAAAGCAGGGAUCGGGACACCAUGACGGCAGCCGAAAUCGGACUUUUGACAACACCGGCGGCUUGGACCGGGCCUUGAACUUGGCCCAACAAAUCUCAACCCAACUGAGAUUUAUUCUUGCUUUUGGGCUGGACCCAAAUUGAGCUGGGCCUGCUGAAGAUGGGCUUCAAGUUGUGGACUGGACUUCAAUUGCUUUGCUGCAAAUUGGGCCUCAAAAUUUCAGUUGAUGGGCUGCUGGAUUGGGCUUGACCAAAUAACUCACUUCGACUGGACUGGGCUUAAAGACUUGCUGCUAAAGGUUGGGCCGUGAAAUGCAUGAGUUGCUGAGGGUUUUGCUGGGCCGAAGAUCUGAAGAUGCUGGGCUGAAGAGGCCGAACUUUGGGCUGUUUCACACGGGCUGGAUGGACGCUGGCGCACGGAGGAAGCUGCUGCGUGUGAGCUGCUGCACGGAGGAAAAUGGAGGGCGAUGCACGCGGCUUUGUUGGUCUUCGGUUGCUUCGUGCGCGGCAGCUGGAAGACUCGGUGGUCUUCAAAUUGCUGAAGACGAGGGAGCAAGGGCAUUGAUGCCGCGAGGAAACGUGGCAGCUUCGGUCUCCAAUGGGCUCCGAUGGACGCACGAAGAAGCUGCCGGAAUUUCACUCGGUGGUCAACAAAGUGGUAGGAAAUCUGUUGCUGUUGACCUAAGAACCAAAUAUCAGUGGAGAAGGGGCGGCUGUUUAUUGGCUAAAUUCGGUGGAACAUGGGUUGGAUCCGUGAAGUAGUUGGCGCGAAACGAUGGGGAUGGCAGAAGCGGCAGUUCGGUGAAUGUUGCAGCUUGAGGUGUCGCAUGGAUGGCAGGCGGCUUCGAGUGGUGCUGGCGGGGAGGAAGAGAGAAGCUGGCGUGCACGAGGGAAAAUUGAAGUCACUGGCUUUCCGUGGGAAUCUUCGCGUGAAGAAGACUGAGGAUGGAGCGCACGUAAAGGAGAAGCCAGCUAAGAGGGAGCAAAAGUCUUAAAUCUUAGCCAAUACAUUAAAUGUUUUGGCCCCACAAGCCCACAAUGCAAUCUCUUUAUCCCCCAUCACUUUCAAGCUUAUUAACUCACAAAUAAACUAAUUUAAAGUCCAAAAUUGCAGCCCUCAUCCUAUCAUGCGAAUUUCACAAUUUAAGCUUCAAAUCUUCAUCAAGUUUUCCAAAUUUGAUGUCCAUUGUCAUAGAAAAAAAUGGCCAUACUAUUUUCUGCAAGUGUCCAUCGCCAAAUGGCUCAGCUUGGAAGUCAAAACUCGCUUAAAUUCGGUCCGUACGAAUUUCCGUUAAUUUCUGCGACGUCCGAAUCGAUUUUCCGUAAAAAUCUCGAAAUUUCCGAAAAAUCUUCUGAGAUUGAGUCAAUGUUCCUAAAAUAGCUCAUAACACCACAGAACUUUCAAUCUCUAAAAUCGAGUUUGAAUUCACGGUUAAUUUACAUUCGACGCGUUUUUAGCGUGACCUAGACUACGGGUAACUUUCAGAACUUUUCAGUGCAAAUGACCCGUGGUUGAUUUUCUUCGAGCCACAAUGAACCCACUCGACUCAAUGACGACUCUCGAUUGUCAUGAAAAUCUCGAGGAUUCAAAUACGGACACAGGGUACCAAAACGAUAAGAAAAUCAGUCUAGUGUUGGUCGACAAGAAUUUUUCAAUUUAGUGGUGUCACCCACGAUUAGCUACACAUCUCCGUCGAACCAACCUAUCUCUGAUCUCGAAUCAAAUUAUAUCUGUACCAUAAUGACCUCUAAAGACGAACACAGUCAAGUAGCCAAUUCUCAGUCGAAUGCUCAAGUCUAUUUGCUUUAAAAUUCUUAGUGGUUUCCCCAAAUAGUCUUGUUAUCUCUAGAAUGAUCAGUUCUGAGAACAGGCCUAUAGACACGUCAAUGAAAUGUCUGAUUUAUUCAAUUGAAAACAUGACUGAAAAUCUGGGAUGUCACACCCUCUCUCUUCAGGGGAGUGUCGAAGUGGCUGCUCAAGGGUUGUCGGUGCUCAUCAACACCUCGGCGUUGGCCCUCUCUCUCUCUUUGGUAAAAUAAUAAUUGAAGAAAAGGAAUAUAAGGUAAUUAGGGUACUAGGCUGACAAGUCAGUUUUAGGACAUUGUGUGAAGUACAGGCUGACCCAGUAGGAACCCUUACAAGUUCCACUAUCUUACCCAAGUGUGGGAGGCUAUUAUACCUACCCACCCAGUAGUAGUGUGACAUUUGGAAUUUCCGUAUUUAUAAUUGUAUAAUAUUCGGAAAUUCGUGUUAUGAUAAUGAUACUUAGAUUUUGAGCUAAGUAUUAUUUUCCUUAAUGUUCGAACAAGUACAUAGAGACUUUAAUCAUAUUCAUAACUUUUGUGGGAUGCAGCUAGUAAUUUUCGUGAACGUAAAUCAUUUCAAGUUCGACGUAUGAAUCAAAUUAUGUGCGUGCUAAUAAUAGAAUGGUAUUAAUUAAAUUACUAUAGUUUUACUAAUUAAUGGUUGUUAUUAAUCGUGUAAGUUUUAGUUAUUUGAUAAUAAUAUUGUUGAAAAUUUUUUGUUAAUAAUGCUAGAAGAAGGAGUACGUUAUGCUUGCUACAUUUUUCAUUGAAAAAAUUUAUUAGUUAAAAUUAGAAGUGUCACAUGUUCUUGAACAAAACUUUGCAUGGCCAUGUGUCUUACAAAGUAAGAUUUUGUGGCUAAAUUCCUCCUACAUCUAAAUUAAGUGAUAAUUAUUCAAAGAUGAUUCAUUUUUUUUCAUGCAUUCCUCUUGGCCACGUGCAAUGGCCUUGCUUUGCAUCAUUGCUGCAUCAAUCUGAAGAUUUACAUGCAAAUUUACAUCUAGCAUUGCAAGAAAUCAAAUUAUUAUUAUCAAUUUUGACAAAACUCAUUUUACCUUGCCAAAGACCCAUUUUUCGUCCCUUUUAAAACUCAAACAGAAGCUGCAUGUGUUAGUUUUGCUUUUCAAUCCAAGAAUUUAGAGAGCAAAGUUUCGUACUCAAGGGCAAUUAAGGUGAUAAAAACACUCGGUGAUUCGUGAUUUGCGUUUACUCAAAGCAAGUGAAAUUUCUAGUGUUAAGUUAGCUUAAAUCUACUUAGUUACUUCUAUCUUGGUUGGUUGGAUGAGAGGUGAAUUAUUGAUGUGAGUAUGGUGGUUAUUAAAUGGUUUGAUAAUUUCUUGCAAGUUCGUUUUGGUUUGUUUUGGUUCGUUUUGUGUGAUUUUGGGUAGUCAAAACGCGUUCAUUUUACUAUAUUUUUUUAAAUAAUUCAUUGCAUAUUGGCUCUGCUUCUUUCUACCUCAUUCUGGGUAGUUAGAAUCUGGUCAUUAUGCUGUAUUUGUCAUGAUAAUCCAUUGCAUAUCCAUUUUGCCUCAUGCUAGGUAGUUAGACUUUGGCGAUUCUACCAUCUUUGUCAUGAUGACUUAUUUCAUGCUCAUUCUACUUCUUUCGGCCUCAUUCUGGGUGAUUAGAAUCUAACAAUUCUACCAUUGUUGUCUUGAUGACUUAUUGCAUGCUCAUUUUGCUUCUUUCUACCUCAUUCUAGGUAGUUAGAAUUUGGCCAUUCUGCCAUAUUUGUCUUGGUAACCCAUUGUAUGUUCGUUUUACUUAUUUUUGCUUCAUUUUGAAUAUUUAGAAUUUGGCAAUUUUGCCAUCUUUGUCUUGAUGAUUUAUUUCAUGUUUAUUGUGCUUCAUUUUAAGUAGCUAGAAUUCGAUUGUUAAGCCAUAGCUAUCUUGAUGACCCAUUGCAUAUUUGUUCUGCUUCAUUCUAUUGGAAUUCUACUAGUCAAAAUCUAUUUGUUUCAUUUGUUUCUGCUGGAAUUUCCUAAGACAGAAUAUGUCCAUUUGUGAGUUUGCUCGAAUUUGUUCAUUGGUGAGUUUAUUCGCUUGCUGAAUAUGCUAACUUGUGAAUCUGUUUGUUGAAUAGUCUAUUUAUUAGUUCAAGUAGACUUUGUUGAAUAUGAAUCUACUUCUCAUUGGAUUCGUUCAUUGCUAAAUAUGUUCAUUUGAGAGUCGGUUCAUUAUUAGAGCUACUCUUUUGGUCUAUAAGCUUUUAUCAAGCCAAAACUUAACUUUUUAAUUUUCUAGACUUUACGAUCAGAGGGUACUCAUUCAUCGAGACUUAGAACACAUCAAUUUGAUUUACUAGAUUUUGAUAUCCACAACCUACUCAAUGUUUAGAAUCAAAAUAUAUCCAUUUGAUUUACUAGAUUUUAAUGUCCAAAACCUACUCAAUGUUCAGACUUAGAACAUAUCUAUUUGAUUUACCAAAUUUUGAUGUACAGAACCUGCUCAAUGUUUAGACUCAGAACAUAUCCAUUUGAUUUAUUAGAUUUUGAUGUCCAAAACUUACUUGAUGUCCAGACCUAGAAUGUACUCAUUUAAAUGUCCAGACUUUAAUAAACAAAAUAUGUCUAUGUGUUAUUUCACAUGUGGUUAUUUGAUAAACGCAUUAAAUUGAGUUGCGAUAUGUGUAUCAUACUUGAGAGUACGCAUAUAUCAUGGCUUGAAUGAGAUUAAUGUGAUUUUGUCACCCGUAUAGCAGUGAGUGACGAUGUCCCAUGUGUCGGGAUGCCCCAGGGAGUGUUUCGAGAUGCCUCGAGAAUCGAGAUGCCCCAUGGGUUGAGAUGCCCUGUGGUGGAAGUUUGCAAGAUGCCUCGGAGUUGAGAUGCCCCAUGUGUUUGGAUGCCCUGAAAGUGUUCAGGAGGAUGAAGUAUUAAUGAAUAAUAUGUAUUAUUAUGUGUAGAACCAAAUCAUUGUGUGAAACAUGGUGUGCACAUGCAUAAGUCUAGAUGAACGUUCUGUUAGUUAAUAAUUUCUGUGGUAGAUGAACAUGAAAGGUAAAGACUGUUUAUAUUUGUAUCUUACUUAUCAGAUAAUUAUGCCUUCAUUUUGUGUAUACCAGGUGAAGUGAUAAGAUUAUUUUUCUAACUUAAAACUAGAUGUUUCAUUUAAUGGGUUUCGACUCAUCCCUUUUAUUUUUCAGACGUGUAGAAUGGACACCCCUUAACCCUUGCACUAUGGAGUCCCUAUGUAUAAUAAAACUUUUUUUAUGAAAGUGUGCUUGAAUCAGAGUCUAGAAAAAAAUAUACCAAGUGUAGUUCUACGAUAUGGGUUGAUAUAGGAGGCUUUGCGGAGUGGGUUCCUCUCUAAUUUGUUGCUUGGUACCGGAAUCUUGAUGGAGAGUUAAUCUAUUUAUUGAGUAGCUUUGAUGUGGACGUUGGAGAUGCAGCAGAGGGAGAAGUUAUCAAUCCGUGACUCGGUCUGAAACGUUUAUAUAGGCAGACUUUUGAAAGUAUAGUAUAGUCUAGUGAUAGGUCUCCCUAUCCCUACUCAUACUUCCGUUUUUUGCUUGAAAUGUAAUGAAGUUGUGAACUCAAUGUGAUAUAAAUAAAUGAAGCAGAAGUAUGUUUGUUAUAAUUGUGAAGCUCUAAUCAUUAAAAGAAUAUUUGUAAAUGUUUGUUUUCGUUUCCAUACAUUAAAAGAAAGCAAUAAUAUAAUAACAUGUGUCAGGUGACGUCUCGGGAUGUCACAAGUCGCCCCCUCCGAAGAAGAGAUAGCCCUCUAUUCUUGGGCAAACAUUUUUCUUCCUGAAUUUUACAUGUUAGAGUUCAAACAAAGUGAUUUAAGGACAUACUCAAGUACGUGCCUCCUCCCCCCCUCUCUAUCUGGUAAAAUAAUAAUUAAAGAAAAGGGAAAUAAGAGAUAAAUGGAGGGUAAAGUUGGAAAUAUAAAUUAGAAGCAUCACUUGCAUAAUGCAUUAGGUUGACAAAAGCCGGUUUUUAUUUGCUUUAUUAUCCAAUUCUUUGGUCACGCAUAUUGCUAUCUCGUUGGCGUCUCCUAUAAUUAUUGAAUUAAACAUACAUUCAAGAUUUUAAAUUACAGCUAAUGCCGCUAUCUAAAUUAGUUCCACUCUAAAGAUACAUGUUCUUAAUAAAUAGACUAUUGCUAACUAAAGCAUACUCAUUUUAUCCGAGUAACCCCAUUGAGUGCAUUAAAAAAGUUUCAUUGAACAAAUAAAUUUGCUUUGUUUGAGAAUAUAGACAAAUUUUGAGAGAUUAUAGCAUAGUUAUUGCACAAAUAUAUUGAAUUCAUUUCUUUUAAGUAUGAGUAAAUUGAAUUGAAUAAAAAUUAUAUUACUUUAUUAUUACAGAAAAUAAUACUUGAACUUGAAAAUAAAAUAUACAAAGAUUUUACAAGAUUGCAACUUUUUACUAAAAAAGAGCAUUUAUAUUUUUUUAGUUUAUUAACUAUUUCAUCUAUGAAAUUACUUUUAGAUAUAGCUUCCAUAAUUGCUUGCUAAAAAGUGCUUUUUCUAUGUAUGUUUAAAUUGCUUAAGAAACAUAGUAUGGGAACGUCUUUUCCGUCUCAUAUCAAUCUUAGGUCCCCUUAAAUUAUGAUAUUCUUCUAAAAAGCUAUAGAUAUAAUUACCAGAGGGAUAAGAACACUUCAAGUGCCAAAAGUUGGCACAAAGGGACACUUAAGUGCUAAAAGUUACGAAAGUGGCACUUAAGUGCCACUUUGUAAGAAAAGUGGGAUACCUGAGUGCCACCUCCGGCGAAGGCAACCGGAAAUCAUAUAUGGCAAUUAAAUAUGAUUAUUUCUCGUCGAGGUGGCUCGUUGGAGAGUUGAGUUAGCUUUAAUUCACCCAAAAUGACGUCGUCUCCUCAAGUUGGCCAAAAUAGAGUCCUUAAAUCAGCCAAAACGACAUCAUCUCCCCCAUUGCCCCAAAUCUAAAACCCUAAAUCAAGCAAAUUGCCAUUGAAGCGUUAGAGCCAUAAUCCUGAACCAUAACUCGAUUUGCCCCAAAUUCUACGGUCGGAUAUUAGGAAUGGAGAGCAGGACUUUCAGUAGCGACUCAAAUUUCUCUCGUCAAAGCGAAGGAGAAGGCGAGCGUUUCUGUUUUUGUGGUUACCAAGUCCAAGAAGAACAUCAUGGACUCAAAGGAAUCAUGGGAGAAGAUUCUAAGGAUGUGCUCGAUACAGAGAAGAGUCGAAGUGCAAAUAUUUCGAAUGGGUUGAUGCGAAAUUCUCUCAUCGAGCCAUAGAGGUGAUAUUGGACCUACUUGAUGGAUGUCAUCAACCUUCAUCUACACCUGUGGACGACUUGGACGAGGUUGACUCAAUGCAAGCUUAGGCAUCUUCUGCUAACCAUUUGAAGAAUGAAGUUUUAAAGAUGAAUAUUGAACGGAAGUGUUACCGAGCGUUUAUUGUGUUGCUAUUUUUUUGUCUAUCCUACUUUAUGAUGAAAUAUAAAGUAUUGGAAAAUGAGAAGAAGUUUCUCCAACUGCCAUAGUUGUAAAUGAGGUCAAGGAAAGGGAAUGAAUGAAUGCAUGAAUGAGAUGUUGUUUGAAUGAAUGAGAUGCUAUUUGUACUAUAUUUUUGCUUAUUCUCGAAUAUAAAUCGGUGAUGAUGGAAUGUAUAUUGGGUGGAUGUGUUGUGGUGACUUCUUUUCUUCAACUGAAUGUAAACCAGUAGUAAUGAAUCGAAUGGAGUUGGCAUAAGUUGAACAUUUGUAUAUAUAAACCAGCAGCUUCUCUGGUUUGCUGCAAAUCACCAUUUACAUAGGACAGACAUGAGUGAUUACUCGAGUCCUAUAAGUUAGUGCCAAUCGUGAUUAAAAAAAAAAGUCAUUUAAGUGUCAAGUUAGUAUCAAAAGUGAUCACUUAAGUGCCAUUUGUGAUUAAAAGUGAAUACUUAAGUGCUGAGUUUUUUAGAAUGUGAUCAGUUAAGUGUCAAUGUUAUUUGUAUGUUUCAUCUAUAAAUUGCACCAGCCAUCAACUACUAUCAGCCACCACGACUACCCACCACUGGGCCACCAUCGGCCUCCAGCCAUCACCACCAGUCACAUCAAGCAUUCCAAGCAUCCACUUGAGCCACCAUUAUGCUGCUGGGAUUCUGCAGCGCAAAAGUUCCUAAUGCCUUACACCCACUUGCACCACACUACUUGGUGCAAGAUGUGGAUAUUGCACACUUAUAUCUUGCACCAAGUGCAGCACAAACCCCCAACCCCCAACCCUUAUAAUAGACCCACCAGCCUAUCAGUAGGCAUCAACACCAACAUCUCAGCUACCACACCAGCACAUAGCCACCACCAUAAACCCACCAUUAGCAGCCACUGUUAGUGGUGGGUCGUGGGUCUGUUGCAAAAGGGGUUCAUGCAAACUAUACUAGUUGCAGCAAAAGGCCCCAACCCAAUCCACAUAGUGGACCCACCACCAUCAGGCUUCACCAACCGCCACCACCAGCCACACAAACACCCUAGUCACCACCACAGAUCCACCACUAGAAGCAGAAAGCAGUAAGUAAAAGUAAAAACAAAAUACAAAAAAUGAAAAAGACACUAAAUGAUGACAAGCAACAAGAUCAUUUCAUUGAUAUUGAAAUGAAGUCUCAUAAAGUUGAUGACAAAUUAUUUAAAAGAAAACAUCCAUAGUAAAACAAUUGACUCCUCAGCCCCACAAACCAUAUCCCAUCCGAUUUCAUUAAUCAAUAUGCACAAUGCCUCAUGUUCGUGCUCCUUUCACUUGAUUCAUAAUCUUUGUGCUUUUUCUAACUGGACGUGAGGUUUCUUUUUCAACUGUCUCAGGAUGCGUUGAUUAUGAUGGAGGUGCAAUUGUCCUAGGUUGAAUUGAUUGAGAAGGAAUUGGAGCUGUAACUGUCGUAGGCCGAACUGAUUCAGAUGGACCUGUAAUUGGGUUUUUCUUACUCUUUUUUCUUGUUGGUGCAGCCAAUGUCUUCUUCUUCUUUGUUGGCGCAGCCGUUGAUUCUUGAGUUGGGUCUUGAGAGAUAAGAACCUCUGAACUUCUCCCAGGCUUCAAAAAGAAAACUCAAUUAUUAACAAAAGUUUGCACCAUAAAUUAAAUUAAAUACAGCUUAGUAAGCUUAUAAAACUUAUAUUAAGAAUAACUGUUCUAAAACGCUCAUCUGUAUAAAGCCCAUAACCAUAUUGUUUUAGCCUCUUUCCAAGAGCUCCUCUUGUUCGAAGGGGAACGUUAGUUUCAAGUACUUGUGAUUGGUUAGCCCUUCUUCUUACAUAUGAUUUCUUGGGCUCUUGUUGUGGCUGUUUAACUACAGCAGGGGCUUCUUCUGGGCAUUCGAAUGCUAGACGUCUUGUAGAUGGCCUUCUUGUAGGUGGCUCAUGAUUUGGCUUUCUUUUGGUUGUUUUUCUAUUGAGCUCUUCAGCUUCAAUGACACAUUCUGUUGGCUUUUGUGGUGGCUAUGAUGACCCUUCUAGUGGCCUUUAUGGUGACCUUGGUGAUGGAUCUUGUGGUGACCCUUCAGUUGGGCCCUUUGUUGACAACUGAGCUCUAGCUUGCCUUCUUCGAACCUGAGAAAAAGACAAAGGACAUCAUAAAUAUAACAUCAGGCCACUGUAAAGGAAAACUAAACACAAAUUAUUUAAGUUACCGGGUAUUUUUUUCUCUGCUUCUACUAAAGAACGGUCGACUUAACUGGCCCUCCAGUUGCUUCGGCCAAUCCUUGAGCUGGCUGUCUACCUGACCUUGUUUGAACAAACCCUUCAGUUUCAGGUACAGCAGGGGCUUCGACCAAUUCUUCACAUGUCAUUCUCCUAACCUGACAAAGACAAAAACAUUAUGUCAAUUAGCUGUACAUAUCUGUUUAUACAAACCAUAAAACAACAUAAAUACAAUUGUCAUGACUUACUGGGUUUAUUGUUGUCGACUGAAGAACAGACGACUUACUUCACAUUUCUGUUUGUCCUUCUCCAAUUGUCCCUUCACUAGGCCCUUCGACUGGCCUCAAGUGUUCCCGCUGCUUCCUUAAUUGACAGCCUUUAGUAUUGUGCCCCACUAUGUGGCAAAAAGAGCACUUCAUCUUUACACCUAUCCUACUCAUCCUACGCUGACUUGAGACUUCUCCCUCCAUCAUUCUUCGUUUUCGCUUUGGUCUUCUCAUUGUCUUCUUUAGUGGCAAAGGUUGAGGUGCUUCGUGAUCUGUUGGCUCCCAGAACUUGGUACCUCUGAUUGGCUGCAACAUGCAUUGGUACGAAGCAAGAUAUCUUGGUUUCUUGUACCAAUCAUCAAGGUAGUCUUCUGUAUUGUGGCCCGUCAAUUGAAUGGCACAUAUGGCAUGUGCACAAGGAAUUUCACUUACUUGCCAUGCUCUACAUGAACACUUCCUCGUACCUAAAUGGACAACAUAUUUAUCAAAGCCCUUCAUUAUCCCAUAUCCUUCAUCCCUAUUCCAAAUGAGAUGACAAUAUCUACUCGUAGCCAAGUUCUCAUUCAAUUUUUUAGCAAUCCUAGGACCACAUUGCCUAGUCCAGUUUGCAACCUCAUCCCUUUGUUUGUGCAGCCGAGUCAUAACCAUAACCUUAUGUCUUCAAGCAUCGAGAUAAUUGAUUUGCAUCUGGCAUCUAUUAUCCUCCCAUUGAAUGCUUCGCAGAUGUUGUUAUUUAUGUUAUCGCACUUGAAUUCCUCGCUGAAGAACGCCCUACACCAAUACUUCGGUUCUGUUUGGAAUAGUGCAUCAUAACCUUCCCUUGUCAAUUGAAGUAGUUAUUCUUUGGCCAUCCUAAAAUCAGCUAUAUUUGUGCUAUUUGCUAGCUGCCAAAAUUUGAACUGCAGCUUCUCCCCUUUAUAGUUCUUUGCCCAAUUUGUGUAUAUGUGCUGCGCACACAUUCGAUGCUCGGCAUAAGGCAACAACUCAGCUAUUACCGGAACCAGUCCCUGCAAUAAUUCAAAAAAAGAAAAGAAAUGUAAGCAAGCGACAUGUUGAUAUCAACAAGCAAACAAUUGACCAAAUCUUUCAAAGAGUACCUUCUGUUGGUCACUUAUGAACGCCCAUCCUACACCAUUUGUUAUCUCCAAAUCAGCUAUCAAAUUUUUUAGGAACCAGGACCAAUUGUCCUUGUUCUCUACCUUCACAACAGCCCAAGCCAGUGGAAAUAUCCGGUUGUUUGCAUUUAUUCCAAUUGCAGCCAGCAAUUCUCCCUUGCACAAGCCCUUCAAAAAACACCCGUCCAAUCCUAUAAUCCGUCUACAACCAGAUAAAAAUUCUCGUUUGCAUGCAUCAAAGCAAACAUAGAACUUAUCAAACUUGGUCCCAAUAUCAGGAAGUGGUCUCUCCACAACCUCUACAUACACUGUACUUGAAAGAUUUUGCAGCCUACACUCCCAAGCAUAAUCCCACACCUGUCCAUAUUCGCUGUUGUAUUGAUCAAUGAGUAUCUUCAUCACCUUUUGCUUCGUUCUUUUGCAUUGAUUCCUGCUUAUAUUGAUGCCAACCUGCUCCUUCACCAGCAACCUAAACUGGGUACUGUUCAUCUGAGGCAUCAUCUUAAUCAAAUCAAAGAAGUGCUUGGACAACCAUGCACUUGUUACCCUUUUUAUUUUUCAAAAUUAAUGGAACAGUAUGUUCCUCUUCAUACGCUCUAAUCUAGAAAGAUCCACUUCUCCUAACUAAAUGCGCCAUAUAUCUCCAUGGACAAUUUUGCUGCGAACACUUAGCUCUUACAAAAGGCCUUAGUGUUCUAAUGAAGUCAAUGUUCCUCUGUGCAGCAAUGGAGUUCUUCAGUAUAGCUUCCCUAAAUUGUUUUGCAUCUUGAAAUUUCAUACCUACUGACAAAGUAGGAGAGGCAACGGAUGGAUCAUAAGAAUGAAACUUACUUUUCCUUCUCCUUGUAUGCACAGCUCCUUCAUCUUCUUCAAGCUCAUCUUGGGAAGUAACAUUCUCAAGGCUUUCUUCAUAAUCAAUCUCCUCACCGACGUCAACAGCAUCUACAGGGCCUUCGGCCCUAUUUGGAACUUCAUCAGCUACCAGCAAAGCUGCAAAUUUAUCUGUCAAAAAAUCCCUUUGCCUUUUUCUUGACUGUACAAGCUCCUCGUCGUCGUUAUCACUUGUGAAAUUUGUAGUAGGCAACCCUUCAUCAUCAUCAUCAUCAUCACUUGAUUCAGCUACUUCCCAAUCUAAUCCAAUGAUUGUGACAUCACCUAUGUCAUCAUCACUAUGGUGAACUGCAUCUGCGCUCCUCUCCUCUCCAUCGUGCCUAUCCUGCCUUUCUUCAACCCUAACCUCGGUACUGCCUUGAAUACCAUUUCCUUCUUGUUCUAUUUGGGCGUUUUCUUCAUCAUCAUCUUCAUCCUCACUUUCAUUGUACUUAACAUAUAUUUUUACCUCUCCACCAUGAAGAUAAUGGUAUAGAAUAUCCCUAAAACCGUUAUCGUUUUCUAAGGUUUGCAAACCAUCUCUUAAGCCUUUCCUAGGAAUACAAUACAGCAACUUUUGAACUUUACAAGGCAAAUAAGUUAGUAUAUCCCUAACAAAUCCUAUAUAAGAUGCCUUCUUAAUGUCGACAAAAAUGGUGCCCUCAUUUCCACCCUCAUACCCCCACUCAUCCUCGCCAAUUACGAAUUCCCCACCAUAGCAAACUAUAACAGCGACAUAAUUCUUGGCAUGAGUCAUUUCUGCACCAACAAGAAGACAAAGAAUAAUUAGUUUUUGGGACUACAUCCACAAAGAACAAUAGAUAAUCGCACAAGGGAGUCCCCCGACUCUCAUGGACUUUAUUAAACAGGUCCCCACAGUGACAAUAUGCCCAUAUAUGACAGCCAAAAAAGAGGUUGACACUUUAAUAAUUUACCUUCCCUUCCCCUACAAUAUUAAUAAAAAAAUAGAGGCCCCCACACUGAGAAUAUGCCCUUACAUGACAGCCAAGAGGUCGCCACUUUAAUUAUUUGCCUUGCCUUGCCUUGCCUUGCCUUCCCUUAACAUAUAAACCAAAAACAGAGGUCCCCACAACAAGCACAGCUCAAGCAAUUUUGUCUACUAUCUUUUGCUGAACUAAACCUGUGAUGUGAGAAUGUACAUCCACUUAAUCAAAUCUAUUUUUCCUGUGAAAACACAUAUAGAAUUUCAUUAAGGCAAGCUUGAUNNNNNNNNNNNNNNNNNNNNNNNNNNNNNNNNNNNNNNNNNNNNNNNNNNNNNNNNNNNNNNNNNNNNNNNNNNNNNNNNNNNNNNNNNNNNNNNNNNNNNNNNNNNNNNNNNNNNNNNNNNNNNNNNNNNNNNNNNNNNNNNNNNNNNNNNNNNNNNNNNNNNNNNNNNNNNNNNNAAACUUUAAAAUGAGGUACCUUACAUGUGGUUUCAAAUUUGUCCCUUUCAGGUAAAUGAACUUAUAUAAAGUAUCAAAACAAAUUUUGCACUCCUCAAUGCCCUGCAUAUAUGUUGACUAUCUGAUUAGAAACAACAAUCAGAAAAGAAGACUAAAAGAACGAAAAGAUUAGAAUCAAAGGAACAAAAGCAGAUUGAUAGCAAAGUUGCGUGCUCUUUGCAGAGCACUUAAGGGCCAUUAUUCCAGCCACCUGAUUCAAUAACUUUUCACUCAAACACACUAGUUCCUAGUUACACAUUAGUCAAUAUUUCGUUACACAAUCGAGCCUCGACUGCAUAAAUCAUCAACCGAGGCGAGCAUCUCCACACAAGGGAGUAACCAAACAGAGCGUGUGCAUUUCAACAGAAUUUCCAUCGGAGCCUUAAUAAAAUAAUCGAGCGAGCCCUAAUAAAAUAAUCGAGCCCUAAUUUUAUCACGAGGGAGGGGGAGAAGGGGCCCAACCUGGAGGAGCGACGAUGGUGAGCGGGGAUGACGACCAACGAUGUUGAGUGGUGAUGACAACCAACAACGGCGACUGAUGACCACCUAUGGGCGUAAACGGCGACGGAGAGAAGGGCGGCGACGACGUGAACGGCGAUGGAGAGAAGGGCAGCGACGACUAAGAUCUAAUGUGAACGCAGAUGGGAAGGAAUGGCGACGGCCAGGUGUGCUUAAGCCAAAAUGACCUAAACGACGUCGUUUAACACCAACAAAAAAUGACGUCGUUUAGGUCUGCUCACUCAGUGUGGAUGGACGACGUCGUUUGUCAUCCAUAUGGGUUUUUUUUUCUUUAAACGUUUGCCACCUCAGUAAAAGAAGUCGCCGGAAAACGCCACGUAUGCAAUUUGGCCGGAUUUUGGCUGAAUUGGCACUCAAGUGAUCCAUUUUGCUCCGAUUUUGGCACUUAAGUGUACCUUUCGUAACUUUUGGCACUUAAGUGUUCCUUUGUGCCAACUUUUGGCACUUUAGGGGUCCGCGUCCCAAUUACCAGAAAAGACUCAUCUCUUCUCUUGCAAUUACAUCUCAUCCUAGUACCGUCACUAACUAUUCAAACAUAGACGUACUCACGCGGGCCAAGUCAUGUGUUUUAAUUAUUUCGUGGCCAAAUAUGCAGAUAGGUGUUUACUCACUCUUUGAGAUUCACUCAAGCCGCUUGCCUAAGUGGCACAAGGAGGGGGACAGCGUCGAGCUUCCGUUCGGUCACCCAUCAUUCAAGGCCAUUCAGUGACAUACUUUGUCUUGUUUGUUUCGUAGAAAUGGGCUAUUUUCCCUCAGAUGAGAAGAAGUAACGGCCAAUUAAGACUUUUAGUUAAAUUCUUGUUGCUAUAAUGUGAAGAUGUGGCAAGGACAAGAGUGAUUCCCUUGACACUUAUUUUAAAAAUAACUAGUAGUGGUUUUACAAAGUCUCACACAAUAUUAAAGUAAGAAGGUUAUAAGUUCAAAUCUUUAGACAUAGGCCAAAGUUCAGCUUAUGCAUGAGGAGAGUGUUAGAAUAUUUAAAUAUUAAACCACAUUUUCAUCAAAUAUUUUAAAUCUCACAAUUUCAUAUAAUUAAAGAGAAGUUGCAUAAAUUGUGCUCUCAACUUCACUAUAAGAUGAAUUUUCUAUAAAAUCGAAUCUCCUUUCCAUGAGUUGACGCUCACUUCAUUUUUCUUUUUUUUUGUUGGAAUAUUAUGCUGUCUUAGGUAAAACUAAAAGGCGAGAAAGAAGAAAAGGAAAAAAAAAUUAGAAUUAGAUUCAAACCGACCCAAAGAAGUUCAACAAGCAGAUGAAGAACUUAGGAGAGAGGCCAAUUCCAUUUAUUUUAAGUAAUAUAGAAAGCAUUGAUAGUUUUGGAAGGGCUAAGAUAAGGAAGAUUGCAUGGAUACAAGGGAGUCAAGCGAAUUGUCAAAUUUGUACAUGCAUAUAGCAUCAUGCAAAUUGAAAACAUACACCAUAGGCAGAAUGCUCUUGGUUGUGUUAUUCGGAAGAGCUUCUCAAACCAGUGGCUUCUUUCUCGGGUUCAUGGUGUCUUAAAUUUAAUGUCGCCAUGGGGAUGUUUGAUGUAGCUAAGUGCUGUGAAGGUGGCACCGUGAUAGUCCUGGAUAGUCCUUCAUUCCCGUAUCUUUGGCACAAUCCGGAGCAAUAGUGCUUGAGUUGGUAUCGGCAAGGGGUCCCUAAUGUAAUGAUCAUCUGAACAUAACUCCCAAGAGAACUGAAUCACCAUUGCAACUAGGGUUUUGAACCUCGCAAUUUGUUUCCUGAGCAUACCCAAGGCUCUCCUCCAAAAGGAAUAGAGCUGUAGGGCGGUACUCACUUAUGUUUUUCAAAUCUAGCAGGAUCAAACUUUGAUGGCUCAGGGAAUAUGCUCUCAUCCACGUGUGUCAUGUUUGAUGCCCAGAAGACCUAAGUCACGCUUCAAAUACCAAAUGUAUGUUAACGGACCGGUUUCCCAGAUAGAGAGAAUGAGUAACAGAUAGCGCAAGUAAGCAUUUGAAAAGAUUGGAAAAGUUAUUUGCAUCCUUACCUAUCAGCCUUGAGGAAUGAGGUACCCAGCAUAGUCAAUAUCCCUUAAAGCUACGCUGAAGCCACCGAAAACAGGCGAAACCAUCCUUAGAGUUUCCAUUGCUACUCUCCAUGUGUAUUUCAUCCUGGCAAGGUCUUCCCAAGUUAAAGGUUCUCUCGAAGUCUUGCUUCUUGCUAUCUCUUCUUGUUUAGCAAUAGCAAAACACGCUUAUUAUUUGUCUCAAUAAGGGGGAAGGAUCAUGUUUGAGCUUUGUUAUUAAAGUUGACAUCCGGCUUUGGAAGCUCAGACAAAUUUAUGUGUUGAUUUUUCUUACAUUUAUCAAGCCAUUUGUUAUCCCUCAGCAAAUAGAGAUCAUUCAUUAUCCUUACGUAGCAUGGGUCAUAGUUCAAGAGUGAACUAGAUUUGAACAAGUCAAGAGUGAACUCGAUUUGAACAAGUCCUUCAUUUUGUUUAAAUCUUCCUUCCUUUUUGGGCUGCAGGAAUCUCUAUGCAGAUUUAACAAAUCUAAAAAGAUGCCGGGAUUAGAGGAUGUUUACCUUGAAGAACUGCUUUAUAAACACACAGGAUUCUUAUAUAGAAGACAUAGCACAAAAGUUAUAAGUAUGGAUGAGGCAUCAUGUCCAGCAAUUAUGACAAGCGUGAUAUUGUGCAUAAUUACAUUGUCAGUCACAACUCGUUCAUUUUCUUCAUUGUGCUUACUUAACAAGCACGUGAUUAAGUCUUGAUGAGGGGUUGCAGUGUGCUGCUCUAGUUUCACUUUCUUCUCUUGUGCAAGUUCCCUCAAUAUAUCUUGGACCCUAGAGCUUGCACGGAGGCUCCGAUUGUAGUGCGUGAAUGGCAAGUUCACUGGUAUGGACCACAUUCCCCCUACCAUUUCUUGAAAGUUUUUCAAGAAUUUCUCUCUUUUAACUCCUUCCUCCAUACCAAAGAGAAGAGAGCAUAUGAUGUUGAAUGUAAGGAUUUUCAUCAGGGGCAAUGCCAAUAGGAAGAUCAAAAUAUUAUCGUUAUUCACUCUUCUUUUGAUUAUUGAAGAGAUUAUGCACACUCCCAGUUUAUGCAUUCAUUCUCCCAGUCGAUACAUGCGGAGGCAAUACAAGUGUGAACCUAGUCAUACGAGACUAUUGUGUGCAUACACCAUGUACAUCUUAAAAUCUAUUAAGUCUCGAUAUAUCUAAACAGAUCAAAGCAACAAUGAGAGUCUACAGAAUAUUGACAUACCGCAACUUUUUCCUUUCCCUGCCAGUGCAACUUGAUGUGCUUCCUGACUUCUUCAUCUAUUUUUCCCAUGUACUGCUUCAGCGAUUCUAAAAUAGCUAGUAUGCGCACCUAGAGGGGGGGUGAAUAGGUAUAUAAAAAUUUUCUUGAAGAUUGCACAAUACUUAGACAGUUGAAGGAUUUGCAAUAAUUAAAAAUCAAUCGUAAGACUGAGUAAGGGAAAGAGAGAAUUGAACACGUGGUUUAUAGUGGUUCGGCUUGAUUCAAACCUACGUCCACUCUUCUGCACUGACAGCCAAUUGGCUGGAUUCCACUAUGAACGAAGAGAUGUUACAAUGUUGAUCUUCCUUGAUUUCUAGGUGUAGAUGAUCUACCACACUCACUCAAGGUGUCACCAAGUAUAAACACUCUCUGUGUAUACAAUUUCGCUCGAACUGUAUCGACUAACAAUCAAGGUUCUUUAGACUCUGGAAUUUUUCUAUCGAUCACUCUUCUAAAACAACUAGAACGUCUUCCUUUUAUACUCCUUUAUGCCAUCAUAGCCGUUGGCACUUACCAAAGGAAUUCCUCCAAUCUACCAGUUGGACGGAAUCAAUCAAGAAGAUCAUCCGAGCUAUUUAAGGAAUCUGAUGAUAGCCCAUCAAUCCUGUUCGCCCAUACAAUCAGGAUCUUGGUUUCCAAGAAUAGAACAUUCCAAGAAUACUUCGUCGACCAACGGAUCUUCAAUCGAUCUAGAUAACAAUAAAAGAAUCCAAAAUACUUAUCCAACUAAAGAAUCUUUUCCAAAGGAUAGGAUCGAAUCCUCAACCAUAUACUUCGGCUUUGGAUUUCCUUCGUCACUGGAUUAGAAAGACUGUCAGUGAGAAUAGACUUGAGUCUUGAGUCUCGAGUCUUGAGUCUUGAGUCUUGAGUCUUGAGUCUUGAGAAUGCAAAGUCUUCAGACUUUAAACUGUCGAUCUUCAAAUAUCCAGACUAGACUGAUAGAAAUGUUUUGUCAGCUUCAAAAUAUUCUGGAAAGAUUUCUCCAACAAUCUCCCCAUUUUUUAUGGUGACAAAACUUUCUUGUAGAUUUGAACAACUUUGACCUGCAAAAACAUUUCUCAAGCAAUAUGGCUAACUCAAAAAGAUUAAUAAAGCAACCAGACUCUGCAUCCACAGAAAAUUGGUUAGUCUUUCAUGAGUAAUACCAUAUAACAACACUUGAUAUAAAUGCAACCAGUCAAGCAUCAAAAUCCACAGCCAAUUCAGUCAAAUUUAAAUUCACACCCAAGUUCAAGUUCUCAAGUCAUACUCAGAAAUAAACAUAACCACAAAAGUCAAAGUUUUAAAGAGUUCAAUCAAAUUGAUUCUCCUCCUUUUUGUCAUCAUUAAAAAGGGUGAGAAAGGAGUCAUGUCUGCUUGGGAAUGCGCACUAUCUGGAAAUCUCCCAUAGACUGGACUACACCUUCUAGCCUCUUCAAGUCCUCCCUUAGUUGAGCUACCUCCUCUCCUUUGGCAUUGGCUUGAAGUUGCAGAGCAAGGUCUUUCCUUUGGCAUUGGCAAUGGCUCUGAUACCAUUUGUAAGGACUCAGGCCCCACUGUGUAAUAUUGUCCUCCAGGGUGACUGAAGAUGCUUGUCCAGCAUUCUUCAUGGCUUGGAUUUCACAGUCUAUAGCAUAUAUCUGGCCACGCAUUUCCAGAAGAAUAUCCAUGAUGCGACAAAAAUCUGCAGAAUCGUCCGUCUGUGUACUGGCAUGAGCUUUCUCUGAUGGAGUAAAUGCAGAUGAUGGCGCUUCUGUACAGUCUGGCAGAUUUGGUGUCAACGUAUCACCUUCUUCAGGCAAUUGAGAAGCCUGUAAUUCUUCUGGGUCUGCUGGAGAUUGUCUUGGACCUUCACUAUCAGCAGCAUGAGGUGAGCACCUUUCUUGCUCGCCAACUCCCCCUGUCUCUAGGACAUCGAAAGGGGAAGAGUGAUGAUCAUGCUCUUGAUUUCCCUUCUCUCCAGAUUCAGCAGACUUUUCUUUCUCUCCUUCUCUUUCUUCUUCAGCUUCUUUCUCCUUCUCUCUCUGCUCUUCUUCUUCUCUGUUCUUCUGAAGUUCUGUCGGUUGAGGCACAGAGCCUCUGGUUCUUGUCAGUGCUUGGAUAGUGGGAUCUUCAUCUUCUUCAUCUUCAUCUUCAUCCUCUAGGAUGAGAGUUCUUUUCGUCUUUUUCGAUGGGGCACCAAUGGCCUCCUUUCCUUUCCUUUUUGAACCAGACUGAACUGGAGAUUUUACUCUGAAUUUCUCCAUUGCCUUGGACAGUUCUUGCAGACGCAUCUUCGUUAACAUCUUCAAACCUACCACCAUCUUAUCACACGGUCGAACACAAAAUGUUUGUGGCGGUUCAAUGUUCAUGUGUCUAAAGAUCUUGGUCACCAGACCAGGAUAAGGCAAUUGUCCUUUGUCUUUCGACAUUGCUCUGUACAUAUGGAAGAGAAUAGUGUGCGGGAGAGAGAACUUCCGUCCUGAGUUGAUCGCGUACAUCAACUUUGCUUUAGAAAGAGACACGGAAGUCUUUGACGUAGACUUCGGUCUGAGACAGUUGAUCACAAUCUUAUGAAGCACAAUGUUGAUGGCAUUCAUCCUGGAAUAGGUAAUUUUCUUCUCUACAUCCCUAUCUUUGACAAGUUCCAGAGUAGUACGAGCAGGUGAGACUUUGAUUGGUAGAUAACAUCCUCGUUCAACUCCAACUAUGUCCGCCAACAUAUUCACAUCUACCACGUAGACUUGGUCUCGUACACUGAAUGAAAUUCUAUUCGCAUCCAAAAAGCUAAGAUUUGAAUAGAAAUAAGCGGUCAGUUGAGCAUACCCGUCCGUAGAGUCAGAGCAAAAAGUCUCAAGUUGAAGCAAAUUCAACUUCUCUCUUAAGUUCAUGUUGAUGGCAUCCAGGAAGUCAAAAUCAACACUUCUAGGGUUUAUCACCCCUCUUUUCAACAGCCUGAAAUACACAUUUUCCUGAUCCUUGGAUUUGAACAAAUCCAUCUGAUUUCCUUUCACCUUUGCUGCCACUCCCAUUCUCGGUUGGAAUUCAAGGAACAUUCUGUCAUCAUCGUUCCCUUCAAUUAAAUUUUGUCCUGGCAUACGAGGAUCACUUGGAAUGUUCACAAGUGCCUCCUCUACCCUUCCUUUCGGAGCAACUCCCAAUUCCUCCAUUUUCCGCAGAAAAAGAUACUCAUUCCCAUAAUUUUUGUCCUUAAGGAAUUCAUCUAUAUAUUUUAAUGAAGUACCAGUGCUUUUCAACGCACGAUAAAUCUUAUAGAUAAAGGAGGGUCUUUGGACUUUUACUGGGUCGGCAUCCUCGAUUAUCUCUUCUUCCAGAUGUUGACUCGCACCUUGUGGGGCAGGAGGUGUUGAAUGACGUGGAGGAGAGCGAAUCGGACUUUGUCGCUAACUUGAUAAGUCUUCUUCCUCAGUAAGAUCGAAGUGAGUCGGUCCCUUCUCCAUUCUUUGUGGUCCCCUGCUUGCGAUUCUUGAUGAUGUCCUCGAAGAAGACAUCUUUCUUUGUCGAUUGGAAGAUUCCUUCACUUGCUUUCCCAAGAAAAGAUGACCACUUUCUCGAAGAUGAACAGGAAAUAGAAACAGGAUCGGGAGGAGAGUUCUUUUUAGGGUUUUGAAGAUUUGGGCGAAGAAAAAACUGUAUAUAUAUAACUCAAUUUUGAAAAGGGAAGUUCAAUCGGUACAAGGAAAGCGUACAAACACUUCUUUUCAAGAUCAAUAACUACCAAAAUUAAUCCUUUUUUAAAAAGACAAGAUUUCGAAUUUCACACGGAUUAUAGAAUAACCGAAUGAAAGAUCGUACCUUUUCGAGUUUAGAUAACUAAACGAGAAUUCGUACCUUUUAGAUAAAAUAGCAACUUACAGUCUAUAGCCAUGAAAGUCUGAGUCUGAGGAUUUAAAGUCUGAGAGAUUAGAGUCUUAGAGUUGGUGAGUCUCUAGACUUUAACUUCUUCAAGCUUCAAAAUGUUGAGUCUUGAACGGAUAAAGUCAAAUUGAUUUUUCUCCAAAGGCUUUGUGAAUAUAUCCGCUAGUUGACUUUUUGAAUCAACAAAUUGAAUCGAGAUUUCUCCAUUUUGAAUGUGAUCUUUAAUGAAGUGAUGUCGAAUCUCAAUAUGCUUUGCUCUUGAAUGAAGAAUUGGAUUUUUGGUGAGAUUGAUCGCACUGGUGUUGUCACAUCUGAUUUCUAUGCAUGAGUCUUCAAUCCCAAAGUCUUGUAGCUGUUGUUUUAUCCAUAGAAUUUGCGAACAGUAGCUUCCAAGAGCUACAUACUCUACUUCUGUCGUUGAGAGAGCUACAGUGUUUUGCUUCCUCGGAAACCAAGAUACUGUCCUGUUUCCAAGCAGUUGACAAGUUCCAGAAGUGCUCUUUCUAUCGACUCUGCAACCGGCCAGAUCUGCAUCUGAGUAUCCUAGAAGAUUAAAGUCUCCCUUCUUGGGAUACCAGAGACCGAUGUUUGAAGAUGAGGCAAUGUAUUUGAUAACACGUUUUGUAGCACUGAGAUGGGAUUCUCUAGGAUCUGAUUGAAACCUAGCACAGAUGCAAACACUCAACAAAAUAUCAGGUCUAGAAGCAGUAAGAUAAAGAAGUGAACCGAUCAUGCUCCUGUACAGCUUUUGAUCUACUUUCUUCCCUUCUUCAUCCUUGUCUAUCUUCUGAGAACAUGACAUUGGUAUGUCGGUCUUUUUGCACUUUUCCAAUCCAAACCUUUUGACAAGAUCAUUUGCAUAUUUUUCUUGAUGAAUAAAAGUUUCUUCCUUCAUUUGUUUCACUUGAAGUCCAAGAAAGAAUGUUAAUUCUCCCAUCAUACUCAUUUCAAACUCAUCCUGCAUAGACUUAGAAAAUUUCUUGCAUAGACUUUCAUUAGGUGAUCUAAAAAUAAUAUCGUCCACAUAUAUUUGAACAAGUAAAAAGCUUUUGUUUUCCUUUUUGAUAAACAAAGUAGUAUCUACUUUACCUUUGACAAAACCAUUCUAUAAUAAAAACUUACUUAGUCUGUCGUACCAAGCUCGAGGUGCUUGCUUUAAACCAUACAAUGCCUUUUUCAGUCUGAAGACUGAGUCUGGCUUCUUUGGGUCUUCAAACUCAGGUGGUUGUUCCACAUAAACUUCCUCAUGGAUAAAUCCAUUUAGGAACGCACUUUUGACGUCCAUUUGGAAUAACCUGAAAUUUUUAUAACAAGCAAACGCAAGUAAUAGUCGAAUAGCUUCUAACCUUGCAACUGGUGCGUAAGUCUCAUCAUAGUCUAUUCCUUCUUCUUGCGUAUAUCCUUUGGCCACGAGUCUUGCUUUGUUUCGUACGACUUUUCCUUCUUCAUUCAUCUUGUUCCUGAAUACCCAUUUGGCUCCAAUAACAGUUUUACCUUUUGGUUUAGAUGUCAAUUCCCAGACAUCAUUGAUGUUGAACUGUCUGAGUUCUUCUUGCAUAGCUUCGAUCCAACUUUCAUCAGAUAAAGCUUCUUCUAUGCUUUUUGGUUCAAUUUCAGAAAUGAGAGCCACAGCACUAGAUUCUUCACGCCUUUUUGAUCUGGUGCAGAUUCCUUCAUUGAUUUCGCCAAUAAUGAGAUCUUUGGGAUGACUGGAUUUAUGCUUCCAGUUACUAGUUGAUUUGCCUGGUUGAUGAUCUCUUUCUUUAUUUGAAUCUUUAUGAGCAUCUUGAUGUUGGACUUCCAGAGUCUAAGACGCUUCUUGAGUUGUAGACAUUGGAAGGUCUAGAGCGGGUUCAGACUCUUCAUACUGAGUCUGGCUGGAUUCAUCUUGCGCUGAGUCUUGGACUUUGACAUUCAUUGAUUCCUCCAUAGACUGGCUUUUCUUGUUAUAGACUCUAUAGGCUUUGCUUGAUGUAGAAUAUCCAAGGAAUAUGCCUUCAUCUGAUCUUUCUUCAAACUUACCAACUCGAUCAUUUGCAUUUUUCAAAAUAAAGCAUUUGCAACCAAACACAUGAAAGUAUGAAACAAUAGGCUUCUUACCUUUAAAUAAUUCAUAGGGGGUUUUCUCUAAAAUAGGUCUUAGAAAGACUCUAUUUAUUAUAUAGCAUGCUGUUGAAACAGCUUCAGCCCAAAAACGUGAAGAAAUUUUACUUUCAAUUAAAAGUGUUCUAGCCAUUUCUUGAAGAGAUCUAUUCUUUCUUUCCACAACUCCAUUUUGCUCUGGAGUAUAUGGAGAGGAAAACAAAUGAUUAAAACCAGAUUUAUCACAAAAUUUCGUAAAAUCUUGAUUCUCAAAUUCACUUCCAUGAUCUGUUCUUAUACUUGAGAUUGCACAUCCUUUUUCAUUUUGAACCUUUUUAGCAAACUUCUCAAAGUAUGAAAAGGUUUCUGACUUACUUGCAAGAAAAUAUACCCAGGUAAAGUGAGAGUAAUCGUCUACAAUUACUAGACAAUAUUUCUUACCUCCAAUGCUCUGGGUUCUUGUUGGUCCAAAGAGAUCCAUAUGAAACAACUGUUUUCCCAGAAUGCAUGGAGUGCAUAAGUCAGACUUUUGGUAUGGCAAUUUAGGUAGACCUCGAACAAGCUUCUUUGAUUUUGGCUAAUUGCUUCAUGUUGACAUGGCCAAGUUUUCUGUGCCAUAGGACUGCUUCAUCUUGAAUUGAGAUUAGGCAUUGUUCUUCAUUUGGUUUUACAUCAAGGAGGUAGAUAUUUCCAUGCCUUCGACCCAUGAAAGACUGAGUUGAGUCUUUGCUAAUUCCAGAACAUAUGCCUUCUUGAAAGGAGAUCUUGAAACCAGUAUCACACAAUUGGCUAAUGCUGAGAAGAUUAUAGUUGAGUCCUUCCACCAGAGAGACAUUGCUUAUUGUGAGAUUUCCAAUUUUCACGGUUCCAAAUCCCACAAUGCUUCCUUUGCUGUUUCCUCCAAAUGAAACUUUUCCACUAUUCACUUGAAUAAGCUUUAUGAAGCAAUUUGAGUCUCCUGUCAUGUGUCUUGAGCAUCCGCUGUCAAGAUACCACUUUACCUUCUUUUUGACAGAGACCUGCAUUCAAAAGAGAGUCUCAAGCUUUCUUUGGUAUCCAAAUUUUCUUGGGUCCUUUAGCGUUAGUAGAAUGAACAUUAUUAGGCCAUACUUUCUUAACAGGCUUCCAAACCAUAGGACACUCUUUUUCAAAAUGAUCUUGAUUGUUACACUUUGAACACCUUAAAGCAUUUCGACCUACAGACUUUACAAAAACUUUCUUGAAAUGAUUUUUGUAAGCCUCUCUCGACGGUCUUUUCUUAAUUCUUUCUUUUACUUUCGGAAAAUCAAUCAAGGGGAUCGUUUCUGCUGUCAUACCUAGACCAGACUUAUUGAAGUAAGGUCUUUGGAUUGAAAGAACUUUUUCAAGUUUUUCGGACCCUAUUGAAAAUUUCUUUGAAAUAUUUGAUAAGUCAGUUUUUAAGAAAGCAUUUUCUUUUGAAAGUUUAUCUUCAUUCUCUUUAAGAGUAGAAACAUUCAAGUCUAAACUUUUCACUUUUUCUUCUAAAAUAUUUUCCUUUUGUUUUAAAAUUGAGUUUUCCUUUUUAAGUUCGGAAAUCUUUUUGAGAGAAGUCUUAAGACUAAAACAUAAUUCAUCAAUGUAUUUAGAGACUUUGACAGGGAUUUUAUAAUCACUUACCUCAAAUUCACUGUCUGAGUCUGAUCCAGAGUCUGAGUCUGAUUGCGCCAUCAGACACAGGUUGGCAUAUUCCUCAUCACUUUCUUCACACUCUGUAUCGCUCCAGGUUUUGGCUUUAAGAGCUUUUCGAGACUUCUCAGACUUUCCUCUUUUCUUCUUCAGAAAAGGACAGUUGGGUCUGAUGUGUCCCUUUUUCUUACACUGGAAGCGAACUACAUCUUUGUUUGGUUCUUCAUUAUCAACAAACUUGGUUUGCUGUUUUUGAAAACUUUGUUUCUUAGAGUUGAACCUUCUUCCUUUUCUAUUAAGCUUUAUGAACCUUCUAAUCAUAAGAGCAAGCUCCUCCUCGUCCAGAUCUUCUUCAGAAUCUGUAUCAUCAGAAUCAUCAUUAGAUUUUAAUGCAAUGGAUUUCUUACCUCUUGGAUCUUCGUCUUCAUUAAUUCGUUCCACUUCGUAAGACUGAAGAGUUCCAAUCAGCUCGUCUAUAGAUAAUGGCAUGAUUCUUUGUGUCUCUCUUAUUGAAGUCUUUAUAUGAUUCCAAUCCUUGGAGAGUCCACGCAGUAGCUUGUUCACCUUCAUAGGAUCAGAAAUUUUCUGUCCUUGAUUCUCAAGACCAUUGACAAUAUCUGUAAAACGGCUAAACAUGUCAGUUAUAGAUUCUCCUGGUUUCAUUUUGAAGGCUUCAUAUUGACCAAGGAGAAUGUUAAUUCUGGUCUCCUUCACUCGGUCUGUCCCUUCAUAAGUGAUAUGUAAUCUGUCCCAGACUUCUUUUGCUGUAACACAAGAAGAUAUUCUGUUAUAUUCAGUUGGUGACAAAGCACAAUAUAAAGAGUAAAUUGCUUUAGCAUCGAGUGCUUGUCUCUUGUUUAUUUCUUCUUGAGAUAUUCCGCUGGCUUCAACAGUUUCUUUCCCUCUUUCAGAUAUUGAUGCAGCAGUAGGAGUGAUUCCUUUUUCCACCACAUCCCAUUCCAGAGGAUCCUUUGACCGUAGAAAAGCUUUCAUCUUGUUUUUCCAGAUGUUGUAAUCAUUUCCAUCAAAGUAGGGUGGUCUAGUAUUGCUUUGCCCUUCCACCAGCCCUGGUGCUAGCAUACUAGCCAUGGAUCUUUUACUUUGAAGUAAAACACUUCAAAUAAAGUAAGAACACGAGCUCUGAUACCAAUUGAAAUAGCUAGUACGCGCACCUAGAGGGGAGUGAAUAGGUAUAUAAAAAUUUUCUUGAAGAUUGCACAAUACUUAGACAGUUGAAGGAUUUGCAAUAAUUAAAAAUCAAUCGUAAGACUGAGUAAGGGAAAGAGAGAAUUGAACACGCGGUUUAUAGUGGUUCGGCUUGAUUCAAGCCUACGUCCACUCUUCUGCACUGACAGCCAAUUGGCUGGAUUCCACUAUGAACGAAGAGAUGUUACAGUGUUGAUCUUCCUUGAUUUCUAGGUGUAGAUGAUCUACCACACUCACUCAAGGUGUCACCAAGUAUAAACACUCUCUGUGUAUACAAUUUCGCUCGAACUGUAUCGACUAACAAUCAAGGUUCUUUUCACCAAAAAAAAAAAACAAUCAAGGUUCUUUAGACUCUGGAAUUUUUCUAUCGAUCACUCUUCUAAAACAACUAUAACGUCUUCCUUUUAUACUCCUUUAUGCCAUCAUAGCCGUUGGCACUUACCAAAGGAAUUCCUCCAAUCUACCCGUUGGACGGAAUCAAUCAAGAAGAUCAUCCGAGCUAUUUAAGGAAUCUGAUGAUAGCCCAUCAAUCCUGUUCGCUCAUACAAUCAGGAUCUUGGUUUCCAAGAAUAGAACAUUCCAAGAAUACUUCGUCGACCAACGGAUCUUCAAUCGAUCUAGAUAACAAUAAAAGAAUCCGAAAUACUUAUCCAACCAAAGAAUCUUUUCUAGAGGAUAGGAUCGAAUCCUCAACCAUAUACUUCGGCUUUGGAUUUCCUUCGUCACUGGAUUAGAAAGACUGUCGAUGAGAAUAGACUUGAGUUUUGAGUCUCGAGUCUUGAGUCUUGAGUCUUGAGUCUUAAGUCUUGAGUCUUGAGAAUACAAAGUCUUCAGACUUUAAACUGUCGAUCUUCAAAUAUCCAGACUAGACUCAUAGAAAUGUUUUGUCAGCUUCAAAAUAUUAUGGAAAGAUUUCUCCAACAGAUUCUGAUCUCGAGAACGACAAUGGGAGACUCUCUCACAUGUCUACGAUCUUGGCCACUAAGUUCAAACAGAUUGCAGUCUCCCAGAAUCACGCAGAUGGAUGAUAGCUACUUGUUGGCAAGCAUGCUGCCAUCUCCAUGGAAUAUAAAAUUGUUUGCUGCUGGUCCGUGAAUGAACACCGUUGGUUUGCCAAAGAGAGUGAGCUUCAAGAUUGGUCCAUACUUCCUCACCCUUUCUCGGAGGCAUUCUUCUCCUCUGUUCGUCCUCAUGGCUUGGAGCAUGCCAAUGCUUUGGCCUAUUAUGGGGAUUCCCAAUUAUCCCGGAGGUAGCUUUCUUGAUGAUCCUGUUCUUCUCUAGCUUAAUAGAAAGAGAAUUGGCAGAAGAAAGAGAAGAAGAGUGAUCAAAAUGUUCAUUGUCAUGGGUGUAAGUAUGUGUGUGUGGGUGUGGGUGUGGGUGUGGCUGCGUGUGAUGAGGGGAAAGCAAGAGAGUUAUAUAGCUCUUAGGUUUCUUGUCAGUUUCUAAUCUAGUAUUUUAGGUGGUUCAUUCCUUCUGGAACGUCGGAUGAAGAUUACUAAGCAGAAAACGCAUCAACUUUGAUACAAGUCCAGCUUUGUAUAGUGCACCAGAUGUUGUAUCGAAAAAUUGCGGUUGAGAUAAAACAAAUAGCACAUGGUUGACCUACGGAGGAACAUGUUUUAUCCCAAGGGUGUUUAGCUGAAGGGAAUAAUUUGGGAACAGCGGAGAUGGAGAUGUAAAGGAUGUGACCUCUUGUUUGGUUUCAACAACAGGGUUGAGCCCGGAUGUGUAUUACUUUGUAUUUGUUUUAGUCACCAUCAUAACUCAACCAAAGGAUAACGAAAUAUAGUCUUGAAAAAUGUGAAUCCGGCAAAAUGGAAUCGUCCAUCUGGAUCAAAACCAACUAUUAAUACUUUGUGCAAGAUCCAAUAAAACUUGUUGUUUGACAAAUGAACUAUGAUUGUCGGAGUUUGAAGACCAGAAGAUCAGUUUCUGGACCAUGACUCUAAUUAUUGUCAGCAAAAUCUGGAACAGUAUAGUUCCUGAGCAAUUGGGAUACUCGUAGUGAUGUAAAGAUGUAAUUUCUCUGCACAGCAAAUCUUAAGGUGUCUGAUUUUGUACCCCAAACGUGGCCGUAUGUUAUGUCUGGUUAAAUUUGUAUUUCUGUCUGGUUGCAUAGAUUUUGAGUGGAUGAAAUGGAAUGCCCUUCCAACAAUCGGGGAAACUUAUCUUUAAGAAUCACUGUAGUUUUUGGAUGUUGCGGAUUUCUACGCUUGUUGGUUCAAGGCUUUGGAAAUUUUUCAUCUUUUCUACAUUUGUCAAUCGAUUCACAACUUCUAUUAUCUUUUCUUCAGAGAUAGAGAUGCUGCAAACUCUAACUCAUCCUUUAUGUUAGCUUCUCCAUUUCCUUCCAAAGCUUCAUUUUUCAAAGUUGCCUGUGUUUGGAUGACUUGGGAUUGGCACGCCUCUAUUUAUGGCUAAUUUCUUAAAUAAAAAUAAUUCUGUGUUAGAUCUUGAUGAAAGCAUUCAUCCUUCUCCCUAAUAAAGCAACAUCAGUAUAAAUAAGUAUUAAUUUAGAUAAUUAAAUAUGUACCUUGCGACCAUAUGAGUCUUCUUUCUUCUUCCUCCCGUUAAUGAACUAAUGUCCAUGUAGCAGCUUCCAUACUGCACUUCCUGGUUCUAAUCCUUUUGGUUUAGUAAAUAUGAGCAUUUACAAUAUAAUUUGCAACAACGUAUGACACAUGAAGAAAGUUAGUCAUCUACAACUUCAAAUUUGCAAGAAAGCAUGCUCAAGCAGCAUAGCAGCUGAAGGCCUCUCGGCAGCCUCUCUAAGAAAGCAGCACUGCAGGAAAUCCUUUUCCUCGGUGGAUAACAUCUUAGGUAUUGGCAGAGUACUUCGCAUCACCUUAAACAUUGCUGCAGCCUGCAUUAAAUGAUUAAAUCUUAAACAGAAAGUAAAGACAUAGAUCACAUGCCAAAAGGUAAUAUGCACAGUACUAAACUUCAACAGAAAAGACACAGAUUUGGUCCAAGUACAAAUACAGAUAAUAAAAAAGCAGUGCAGCAUUCUUACCCGCUCAUGCUCACUUCAAGGAGGUUUCCCAGUUAGCAUUUCAAUAAUAGUACAUCCCAAACUCCAGAUGUCAGCAGUACGAUUGAGAUCCGUGCUUUUAUCAUUUGCCAUCAAGGAUUGUAUAAGCUGCAGGAUGCACUAUUCCAUCAUUCUGCCAUGACAAAAAAAGAAUGUGGCAUUAAUGUUCAUAAAAGCAAAGUACCACUGGAGCCAUCCAGUUGGGAUUUCCAUUCAAAGAGCAGCAAGCUGCUUGUCCAGCUAGCUAAGAAACGGUAGCACAUCAAUAGUAAAGCCAAAGACUAUUUGGUAUGUUCAUGGAACACGGGAUAAAAUUGCAACAUCUUUAGACAUAGAUGCAUCGGAUUGAUAAAAGAACUAAAUCAACAACUUUUGACUUAUGUUAACUCAAUCAACAACUUUUGACUUAUGUUAACUCAUCACUAAGUAAAAGGACCAUGAAGCAAUCAACAGAAUGAUCGAAUACUUCAAAACUUGAAAAGAGAGCAACAAUACCUUAGCUGCUGUCCAGAAUUCUGUUCUAUUGACCAAUACACUUUUAAUUACCUCAUGUUAGGAAGGAGGUGCUUCUUACUCUGACUAAAUUCGAUCCUUCUCAUGGAAGGCAAGAGUAGCAGCAAAAACAACAUAAGAAGAACCUUGCACCAAAGUUAUUGCACUCUAUCUACUAUCUACUACGCCUCUUUGGACCUUGUUGGAAACCAAAAAAUAGUAAGGAACUUUCAUUAGGUUUUGGCAUCUAAACAUUGCAAGGAAUCUUUUCCAGUUUAUGAAACAUAGUAACGUUACCUGACAUGAUGAAAAAAAAAAAGUGAAGAAAAUCAUUUGCCACCAUUUCAUCUAUUUGUAAUAGACUUUGGCAUAGAUGAAAUGCCACAGACCAAUAAUGAGAAGUACGCAUCAAGAGACGAUAGACGAAGAAUAAAAAGCUUGCUUGUUUUCUUUCUCUUUUUUUCUUUUUUGCGCCUAAUCUAGUCGAUCAAUCACCCUGACAUAACAUUUGUCAGUAAAUGGACCACAAAUCAGUUAGGAAUUUCUACAUGCACUCUUUAGUCUUGCAGUGAAGAGGUGGAUUUUCACAUGUUUAGCAAUCCCAGAGUCAGCAAGUUUAACUAUCCCAUAUACAUCCACAAAUAAAUUAGCUCCCUUUAAAUACCUACGCAGGCCAAAAAGUUUUCACAGGUCUGUUGGCUCAAUGAAGAAGGUCCUAUCAUCCUUGUCCAAUGUGCAAGUCAUCUCAUGAUGCUUGAUCAAUGGUUUGGAAUUACCCAUGUAUGGAGUUGUUAACUGUAGGUAAGCCAAUCCUGUUGGACAACCGAUUCUGUUAGGGCCCCAAGAUGCUCCUGGAUAUACUUGUCCAUCAAACCAUGAUGUGCAUAUUCUAGAUAUAUGUUAAGCUGAUCCUCAACUGAAUAUGCAUGAUGUGCAUAUUCUCUCUCUCAAUCGUAUCAGUGGAUACAGGAUAUCCGAACCCUCUGAAACACAACAAGAAAAGCAGCACUUAAGCAGCAGUCUAAACUAUUGGGCAAAUACAUUACAUGACCUGCAUAGAGAACCACUAACCUAAUCACUUCGAAAAAAAAGAAGCAAAAUUUCCAGCCCAACAAGAGAUGAGACGAAAUAAUGAGGGCUCACCAUCCAUGGAGGCGCCUUCUCUCUUUCACUUCGACUCUUACCUGCAUCCAGACCGAAAUUCUCCCCAUUUACCCUAAAAAGACAACAUCCCUGUAACUCUCGAGCAAGUUCACAGGCAGCAAACUUUUUGUUAAACCCAGACAAAACAGCAGAAAAAAGACCAGGGAACAAAAACAAUCUACAACCCAAGCUCCUUCAGUCGCUGCAGAUUCAGAAACAUGGGAAACACGUCCCACAGUGCUUGAAUGGUCCCUAGCAUCCCGGCUUGUAUCAGAAUGAUUGACACUCCUCUACUUUUCACCUGUAAUCAAAAUGAUAGAAAAAACAAGUGUAACAACUCACCGAUAUGCACAUGCAAGACCAGAAGAGAAAAAAGAUAAUGCAGCUUACAUAUUCAAACUCAGCUUUUCCUUCCCACUCUUUAAACUCGAAUAAGUGCUCGAGGGAUGAAAGAUAGUAGUCCCACGUCACCCGGUAUGGGGUUGCAAAGACAUAAAUAUCCUUACAUGUCCAGCUAUGGGCUUUGCUGACCUGGAUGAGCAAUCCAAAUUCAUGGUUACAAGCCGGAUACCUACAACUAGUCGUUAGUUUCCAUAUUCAGCAGAACCAGAUGCAAAAACAAGAACUUUCAACAUGAGGCAGGACCCACCUAUACUAGAAUUGCCUCCAUAAGAUAAUUUGAUUUUACAUCAAAUGAAACGACCAUACUUGUAUGAGCAACCAAAUCACUAAAUCCUUCUUCCACCACUUAAAAUCCAGACACAAAAAGCUCAAGGGACCAACCAUGGCACCACCAAUUUGUGGAGCUUAGUCAAGUACAGACAAGCAGAUGAAGGGAAAAGAAAAGAAACCUCAGCAAGUCACGAAAUCCACUACAAACUUACUGAGGUAAGAACUGAAAAAUUCCGUUACUCAAAUUCCAACAUAAAUAAGCAGAAUGAGAAGUGGAACAGUUGGGAUCAAGUGCGUGGCCCAAACAUUGAAUGAUAUAUCUCUAACAUCCUUUACAGAAUGGUAUGACCGCACGCCUUAGUUGUUAAGAAAAAUACCAUAAGUAGAAAGAAACCCUAUCCAGUUCAGCAUUAUGAAUCCAUCAGAAAAAUUAACCUCAAAUUAACCAAGAUAGGAAUCUCAAACUAAGCACCGAAGUUACCAAGAAUUAAUUGGAAACUGCCAAAAGCUGGCAAACGGUGCCCAUUAGACCCAUCAACAAACCGCUACAACCUCACAUCUCCCAGAAUUAUCACAAAAUUGAACUGCAGCCAAUUGUAUUAAGCACUCAAUCGACCAGAAAACCUCAAAAGCUCGUGAACAGUGAUCAUCUCUCCACAUUACCAAACUGCCACAAGCUCAAACCUCCGAAAUUCGUUUCGUGAUUCUUGGCAUGAUUGGUGAAUUGAGGCAAAAGCACUUUCAAUAAGUGCUAUGAGAAAGAGUUCCAGGAACCGACAACUUAAGGAAGGAGGAAGGCUUGUUGUUGUCAGUGAGUUGGGUGGUCAGUAUGAAGACAGUUUUGAGGAUGUCCAAAUCCUAAGCAUUUGAGAAAUCUCAUCUCUUUUCAAUUUUGCGAUACUGGUAUGCUGCAUGAUAUGUAAGAGCUUGAGAAAAGGCUGCAACUUUUUUGUUCUGUUCCGAUCAUUGACUUGAGCAGAGAAUUCAUGCAUUGUCUUUUUAGGUUGUCAGAGCCCGUCAUUCAGAUAAACUUUCUGUGAGGCGUCAGCUCGCUUCUAUUUCAUUCUUAUUAAUGAUCUUAGAAUUGAGUAUGGAUUUGUGUCAAUUUAAUCUCAUUAAUAGAUGAAUAAUAUUAGAAGUGAAAAUAGAGGUUAUCAAGCAGAGCUGGCUGUUAUACCUCUUGCCGCAAUAUUAGAGAAACAAGUUGAAGUUUUGGAUUCUUCUUGUGAGUUUCCAGAGUUUCUACAUUUCUUAAAUUCUGUUUAGCAUAUUUAUUCCGCACUCAAUUUUAAUUCUUCUUGCGGACAUGCAGAAGUAACAGUCGUGACAAUUGAGGCUUUGCUGUUUUGUUUCGAGGUAAGCAUGAAGGAUCUAAACAUGGCGGCCUUAAUUCCACUUUUCAGCUUGACUUGUAGUGGAACGAUCUCAGCUUGGUAACUGCUGGUGUUUUUGACAGAUGAUAGUUUGUCUCUCAAUGUUCUGGACAACAUGGAAGGCGGGAUGUUCUGUUUUUUCAUGCCUGUGAGCAGUCCUCGCAUCGCAUCGCAUUGGCAUUUAAAUCCAACGAUGCUCCCUUAUUGUCUCUUUGAACUUAAUCCUGCAAUUUUGCUUUUGCUUGACGGUGUUGCCCAAUUACCAUUGUAAAUCAUUUCUUUAAUCGGCAUUUCUCUAGGAAAAGUUGAACAGAGCCAUCGGUUGCAGCUUAAAGCUUUACAGGGUACACCGUUGAUCAGGCUUCCCCGUACGCCCCUUUGUAGUUUUACUUGGAAGCGGACAGGGAGCAUAUCUGGCAGUGGCGUCAACUAGGGGUGUGCGAUUCCAUUCGGUUCGAUUUUUAAGAAAAAUCAAAUUGAAUUGAACUGAUUAUUAAAUUUAUUGAACUAAAUCAAAAUUUGAUCUGAACCAAACAAAAAUCUCUGUUCGAUUCAGCCCGAUUUUUUGAUUUUUACUUUUGUUUUUUUUUACAUGCAUCCCUUUCAAUAAAUUUUUUAUUUUAAAAAAAUGAUUUUUUAAAUGAUUUUUAUUCUUUUUCUUUUUUAUUUUUCUUCUUCGUUGGCUAGUCAUCGGCCAUCUUGGUAACCAGUGACCAAGUAGAUGUUAGUUAGCUGGACCUUUGCCACAGACUGGUCACUAACCAGAGAUGACCUAGAGCCUCACUUGACCACUUGGGUGGGGCUCAAGCCUCAUCGGAGGUCACUAGAUGUCUUGGCUGGUCAGGCCACAAGGUGGCAAGACUUGACCUUGUUGGAGUUUGGUGAGCUUGAGCCUCGCCAAUUUGAUUAAUGAGGAAAAAGAAGAAAAAAUAUUAAAAAAUAAAAAAUAAAAAUUUAAGAUUUUAUCAGCUUGGUUCAGUUAAUCCAAUCAAUAAAAAUCUAACCAUUUAAAAAAUUUUGGAUAAAAAAAGAACUUUCCAAUUCAGUUUGAUUUUUGACACUAACGUCAAUCGUUGUGAUUUGAUUCGGAUUUUUUGAAAAUUCAAAUCAAUCCACACUGCUUUUUUUUUUUUGUGAUCUAGGGAACUUGUACGGCCGGCAGCCGGAGAUAAACCACUAGGAGCGACACGUGCUAGUCACCACACAUGUGUCACCGAGUAAGUCGCCAAGAGUCUCAAGCUAGCCCUUCUGUAACUUGCGCUGCAGGAGCUUCGAAUACUAAACCUCCUCGAUGGAAGUCUAGCGCCUACCCAGCUGAGCCACCACAGCGGGUAGUCGAUCUGCACUGUUAUGUUGCACAUUUAACCAAAUCAAAUCUCAAUUCGGUUGGGUUCGGGUUUUAUGUUUUUUUUUCUUCUUUUUUUGGACGUUUUUAUCCUCCAUUGUUUUUGCCUUUGCCUUAGUCCCCCCCCCCCCCCCCCAACAACUAGUCCAUUCUGUCUCAUUUGUGAAACGUGCUCGCGUAGAGCGCUUUCGACUCACCAAACUGGCUGAAAACUUCCCACGAGGCAACGACAUCGGCUCCCUCCUCCUCAAUCGCGCCGCCGCCUCGACCCCAUCUGCUGCGGCAGGAGCUCCCUCUCCCGCCACCACAGCAAGCCACCUCCGCAGCUUCUUCCAGAACAUCUCUCGCUGACAAAAGAAACGUCUUUCCAAGAGAGAGAGAAAUGAGGCUCGAGCCACAGGAGGCCAGUGGAGUGUCGUCGUCCCAGUACCGCCUCGUGUUCGCCUACUACGUCACCGGCCGCGGCUUCGGCCACGCCACUCGCGUCGUCGAGGUCGGUCUCCAUUUCUCCUCUCUUUUCUUUCGGGAAUCGCUCACUGUGAUCGGAAGGUGGAUGAUGAAUCAUUCCUCUCCGAAUUUCUUCUCCGAUGAACUCGCAUAUCUCUCGUGAUCCUCCAGUUGCUAUGGAUCACGGUCCCAAUCUCGCCCCGCUGUUGGGAAAGUAACUAAUUUAGGGUUUCUUAGGGUAUUUUUGAGAGGGGCGAGAACGAGUUCCAUUUUUAUUGAAAAUUUUCUUUCGAGGUUAAUCGAAUCAGUAAAAGAGAAUGGUUAUUUUUUCAUUAUUCAAAUCAAAAUCAAAAUGAUAAAAAAAAAAGAACGAAAAUUCAGAUUGAAUAUUUGGUGGCCCUCCAAUCACCUGGUUGCCUUUUGGAAGUCCUCUGUUGUGAACCAGUACUUUAAAUCUCGAUUCUUUAUUGAUCACAGUUGUGAGGUGACCUCGUUGAGUGCGUCAUUUAGAGCGUGUUUGGUAAUAUUUCUGUUUAAAAAUUAUUCCGAGUAACAGAAAUAGAAAAAAGUGUUUCUAUUUCGGGGAAUAAUUUUUGAAUAAAAAAAUGUAUUUGGUAAAUUUGUUUCGAGAAUAAAAAAUAAACAAAAUCAGGUUUGGUAAAUUUGUGUUCUUUUAAUUUUUUCUUUUGGCUGUUCAUUGGCCGGCGAUUGGUUGACGAAGGUCAGCGGCCUCACCUCGGCUCGGCGAGCUCGGGCUCGCUCAGAUCCGGCAAACCCGAGCUCGCCCAGCCAUCGGCAAGACUUGGCCUCGUCGGGCCAUUGCCAGGCUGGCCUCGCCGGUGGCUGGGCAAGCUCGGGCUUGCAGUUGGAUCUAGGCAAGCUCAAGCUCGCCCAGCCAAGGCGAGACCGAGGCUGGCGACACUUUGGCGAGGUUGCCGGUGGAGAAAAUUUGUUUUUAAAAAUUGUUCAAAAAAUCAUAAACACUUUUUUUGUUUCUUGUUUCUGUUCUAAAUGUGUUCCUGAGAACAAAAAAAUAGAUUUGGAACAAAAACGCAAACAAACGUGUUUCUGUUAUUUUUUUUAUUCCCUGAAACAAAAAAAAAAAAGAAAUUUUGUUUAUAAAUAGAAACAAAUAACAUUAACAAACAAGCCCUAAGUCUCUAGAGUGUUCACAAUUACUACAUUACAUAUGUAUGCAGAUAAGUUAUGUAAAUUCAAAAAAUUUGUGAUAUAACAAUCCGUGCUUGAAUAUUGAAGUUAGAAAUGAUCUUCUAAUGCUCUAUUACUUCAGAAUUGAUCGAGGUCUUUUUACUCUUUUAUUGAAACUUUGAUGUGAAAUUCCACAUCCACGAUUAGGUGUUGAUAAGUAUGACAAUUCAAUUACAAAGACAAUUCCAAACACGCGUGUCACUUAUUUACGGUAAAUGCAUAAUGAAAUUUUAACACCAACUAUAUAUCUAGCAAUAAUACAUUAAUUUACUAGGUUAUUUAAUUACAAUUUUUUCUUUAUUUAGUUCGAUAUAACAAAUAAUAAGACCAUAUAGAUAAUAUAUUUGAAUGUUCAAAAUUUUUACGCAUGCAUGGGGGUUAAUUUGUAUAAUGCUAACUAUUUAUUAAAAUAUUGAAUAUAUAUUAUUUCGUACAAUUGAAGGAGGAUGACCAACCAAAAAAAAAGGAUGAUAAAGAAGUAGAAAAGUCAAAUAUGAGAGGUGGAGUAAAAACAGUCAAAUCUACAAAGAUGAAAAAGGGGGAAAAAUCAAUUUUAUUCAUCUUAGUAUGGAUUAAUACCAUGAAGAAUCCAAACCGGUAUACCUAUAAUAAAUUUAGGGAUAAUAUCCUAAAAAAUCCAAAACUGGUACACUUGUGACAAAUUUACCUCAAACUAUUUUUUUGACUACCAAAAACCCAAAACUGGUAUACUUUUGACAAAUUUAUCCCAAACUGGUACACUUGUGACAAAUUUACCAUAUGUUAGUUUUCGUUAAAUUUUAUUAUCAAAUUAUUAAGUUAAAUGACACGUGACAGUUAACCAAUAUAUUAAUUUAGGAUUUUACAUUCCGUUUGUUACAGUUUACAAUUUUUAUGAUUUUUUUGUGGUAUUAAUCCAAUUUAGCAUAAGGUAUAUUUGUCACAAAUUUACCAGUUUAGGGUUUUUUGCCGUCGAAUAAAUUAGUUUGGAGUAAAUUUGUCAUAAAUGUACCAGUUUGGGGUUUUUUUAUAAUCAAUUGGGGUAAAUUUGUCACAAAUUUACCAGUUUGGAGUUUUUCAUGGUAAAAAAAAUAGUUUGGGGUAAACUUGUCACAAGUAUACCAGUUUGGGGUUUUUUAAGGUAUUAUCCCAUAAAUUUACUCGGAUUGAUCAUAAAGAACCUUCAACUGAUAUAUUUAUGACAAAUUUAUCCUAAACUAGCUUAUUUAACCGCAAAAAAUCACAAACUGGUAAAUUUGUGACAAACAUACCCUUCGCUAAAUUAGAUUAAUAUCACAAGAAAAUCACAAAAAUUGUAAACUGUGAUAAAUGAAGCGUAAAAUCCUAAAUUGGUAUAUCAAUCAACAUGUUAUUUAAAAUUUAACGAAAAUUAACAGAAGGUAAAAGUAUACCAGUUUAGGAUUUUUAGUGAUAAAAAAAUAAUUUAUGGUAAAUUUAUUAUUAGUGUAUCAAUUUGGAAUUUUUUUAGGGUAUUAAUCUUUAAGUAACGGGCACUCAUCCCAUUGGUGGUCGUGUGAUUUGCACUCAAUCCCUCUACCGGAAGGGAGCGAGUUCAAAUCCUCGCGAUCGCUUGUGUGACUCACUCGCAGUCCGGAGGAGGUGAGUCCCCUCGGGUGUCCCUGGGUUUACACUAUCGGCCACCGGCUGUACGGUGGUACCUGGGUUAUCAAAAAAAAAUUUUGAAAAAGAAAAACAUAUAAAAAUGUGAAAGCAUGCGACGAGGACAGCUAUUUAAUGGGCCCCAUGCCGAUUCAUUUUUCUUCUCGAUGAGGCCUCCCAGCGGCGGAGUUGAGUUUUUCAUUCAGAAAAACAUAUAAAAAUGUGAAAGGAUGCGACAAGCACAGCUAUCUAAUGGGCCCCAUGCCAAUUCAUUUUUCUUCUCGAUGAGGAACCCAAUUUAAUCCAGAAACGUCAUGAGGCCUCCAUGAAGCCCCGAGUUCUCGUUUUAACUCACCAUCCUGGGAACCCAUUUUAAUCCAGAAACGUCAUGAGGCCUCCUGGUAGCACCGGGUUUUCUUUUUUGUUCGCUAUCUUGAGGACCCAUUUUAAUCCAGUGUCCAGGCGUCUCUUUUUCUUUCCCUAUUUUUUGGUCGAAUACGUCUCUUCUCUCUCCUCCUCUUCGCUCUCUCUUCGUCUCUUCGUCGAGCCGAACCCUAGACACCUCCAGUUCGCGACUCACCCUCUCGUUCGACGCUUCCAGCUCUUCGAUUCGCUUCACCGACUUGGCGAUCUUGGCGUUCUUGGAGCAGAUCAGGUCUUCCGGCACCGGGGCGAGGGACGCUGUCUCUGGGACGACCUUGUGAUCGAGGAGCUUGGUCUUGAGGUGCGACGGCGGCUUCGGCGAUUUCUGGAGGCCCAUCUUCACUUUGCCGGCUACCAUGGGUACCAAACCUACUACUCUUUUCCUUCUCCCACCCCCCACUCACGCCCCCCUCCCCCCCUCCUUUCUCUCGUGGGUAGUUCGAAAUAGAAUCAGUAGCUAAUAGCCGCAGAGCAUGAUUUAAUUGAUUCUAAAUGGUGUAAUAGCGGCUAAUGGCCUCUCAACUAGUCGAGUGCAUUGCAAGUUUGCUACCUGCAGUGCAAUUUUGUAUUCUCAAUUGAGGAAGAACUUAAUGGUAUAACCGAGUCUUUCAGCCUAGUGGAAUUUGCCCUAAAGCCGUAAAGGUUGAUGCUUUCUGCAUAGUUCACUGGGCUUAUUCAUGCCAGUCUUCGAAUCGCAAUUGUGGGAAGCUUUUUCAUGGAAAUGUCUUGUUAGCAUCGCUGUGUAUGAGUAGUAUUAAUUGAUAUUUCCUAAACUUGUUUGUAAAAGAAGGAACUUUGAGUUUGGUGUCUUUUGGUCAAGACUUUGCUAUAGGGAUUUGCUGAGUUUGCUAACUUUGUAGAAAUACCAAGCCCAACUUUGAGAUUGGUUUCCUUCUACGCUGUGUUUUCUUAACUUUGCUAAUGGAACCUGUUUCUUGAUUUAUGGACAGCCUGAAAUCCGUGUACAUUUAACCCAAAAUAAAAACAGAACCCAUUUCAUAUAGUUAGCUGAUCGAACUUUCUCUUAUUAUAAGUAUUUCAACCUAUAGGUUUUUUACAUUUUUUUUGGCUUUAUUUACUAUUUUUUUAUUGUGUUAAUUUACUUUUUUUUUUUAAUUUGAUGUGAAGUUUUUAUCCAAGCAACAUAUACAUGUGAAAAGCUUAAAGUGGGUUAAAUGGGUGGGGGUUUUCUUGGAUUGGGUUCAGUAAUGUGGUUCAAGUUAGGUAUGUCAUUAAAUUUACAUUGCAUGGAAAAUGGGUCAAUAUAGGUCGGACCAUUUCUAAGCUGACCCAUCCAUUUAGUGGCUAAGAGUUACGUAAGGUGGAGUAGCAUCCAUAUAAGUAGACAAAGUGUUCUUUAUUUUGGUAAUAGGUUAUUGUUUAGAAAUGAAAAGGAAAAUGAUAUUAAAAUGAGAAAGCAUGAGGUGGCAAUCUUCAUGCAUUGUGUUAAAUCAAGAUUUAAUUAGGUAUGUUGCCAAUGUAAAAAAUAGUUCACACAUUCACAAUUAGGCGUUGACAUUGGAAAAAUUUGGUUACAAGGAUAACUCUAAACAUACAUGCUACUCAUUUGUGGUAAAUGCAUAAUUGGGUUUAACACCGGUUAUGUAUGUAAUAACAUUCCAUUAAUUACUAGGUUAUUUGGUUAACUAUUUCCUUUUUUGGUUUAAUAUAUUAAAUAAGAGAGAAAAGAUCACCAAAAACCCUAAUUUGCCCUAAGUGCCAAAUUUACCUCAAACUUUUUUUUGAUAUGAAAAAUCUCAAACUUUGCAAACUGUGACGCCACCAAAGGCAUUUUUGUCUUAUUUUUUCCGUUUUUCCUUUUUUUUUUUCUUCUUGUGGCAGAGGGAAGUUAGUGAGGGGGUGAGGACGGCCUUGCUAGGUUUGGCAAGGGCCAUACUUGCCCAAUGUCGAUGAGGGGUGCCCUCACCUGUGUUGGGUGAGGGCUGUCCUCGCCAGAUCUAGCAAGGGCACCUCUCACUCGACGCCAACGAGGGCACUCCUCGCUUGAUGGCAGCGAGGGUUUGGUGAGGGAGGCCCAUGCCCGACGUCGAGGAGGGCCGCCCUCGCCUGCGUCGGGUGAGGAUGGGGUGCUCUCGCCUGACGCCGGGAGGGUUACCCUCGCCUGUGUUGUGCGAGGCCUAGUGAGGGUAGUGCUUGCGUCAGAUCUGGCGAGGGAGGCCCUCGCCAGUGUCGAGUGAGGGCCAUCCUUGCCCGAUGCAAGCUCAACGCCCUUGCGUGCGUCGGGUGAGGAUGGCCCUCACCCGACGUCGUUGAGGGCCUAGCGAGGGCACCCCUCGUCAGACUCAGGAGUGAGGGGUGCCCUCACCGGACUCGGGCGAGGGGUUCUCUCGCCCAACCCAAUCGAGGGCUGCCCUCGGACGCCGGUGAGGGCAGCUCUUGCCUCUUGCCGGCAAGGGCAGCUCUCGCCAAAUGUCAGCUUCCCUCUGCCGGUCAGAAGGGGAAGAGAGAAGAAAAAAAAUUUUAAAAAGUAAAACGACUAAAAUGCUCUAUAAUUUAGGGUAAAUAUAUCACACGAAUAAAGGUCAAGGGUUUUUUAUGUCAUAAAAAAAAAUUUGGGAUAAAUGUGUCACGGUUGGUAAAGUUCUAGAUUUUUCAUGUUACAAUAAAAAAAUUUUGAGGUAAAUUUGUUACUUUGGACAAAGUUUGAGAUUUUUGGUGGUCUUUUCCCUAAAUAAUAAGACCAAACAAAUAAUAUAUCCGGAUGUUCAAAAUUUUCACGCAUGGGGGGUUAAUUUGGAUAAUUCUAACUAUUUGUUAAAAUAUUGAAAUUAUAUUAUUUUUAAGAAUCUAAGGAGGAAAUAUACCAUGUGAAUCAGCAAGGCUAAAUAAAUAAAUAGAGAAGUCAAAUUUAUGUGUGGUGGAGUAAAAAUAAUCAAAUAUUUGAGGGAAAAUUUAUUUUAGUAAUAGUUUAGUGUAGAAUGUAAAGAGAAAAAGAUAUAAAUAAAUGAAAGUACGCUACAACAAUUAUUUAUGCUACAACAAUUAUCAAAUGUGCCACAUGCCAAUUCUCCAUGAGGCCUCCAUGUAGCACCGGAGUUUCCCACUAAUGUGGCUAAAGAUGCUACAAAACUUUAGUUGAAAUAGCUUUUGGGACAACAAGGAAUCCACUAAACUUUCACAAAUUAGUAAUACAUGGCUGUUGCAGUUGGAGAUGCUAAUGUGGCAAGUGUUCAUGAAUGGAGUACGGUGCAAUAAAAUAAAGCAUAUCUGUACAUUUCAACACAGUUGUUGAUUAGAAUUCAAGACUUCGACCAAUUCCAACCCUCUCUCUCUCUCUCUCUCUCUCUCUCUCUCUCUCUCUCACACACACACACACACACACACACACACACAGAAACAUAAUGAAAUGAUUAAGAAAGAGGCGCUUCCUGGGUGCAUUCUCAGCAUGUGUUCUGCUGUCUCUGUGGCAGAGUUCCUCUUGAUUCUUCACCAAAAGCUGUUCAUUCCCAUUUCCAACACCAGGCCUAUGCCUUUGUUUCUUUAGGAAUUAGAUCUCUGCCUUCAGUGAAAGAAAGACUCUUUGCUGGAUUCCUGGAUGCCGACCAGUGCUUCAGAAUCUCAAGAACAGCUUCUCAAUUCUACUUCUUGAUGUGCUUCUUUGCCACUUACAUGCAUCUGAAUCUUCUUUUUCUUUCCUAAUGAGUAUGUUGCCACAUCUCCAUCUUUGCAAUCAUCCAUUUGUAAGAAUCAAAUAAAGACUUGCGCACUGAACAUCCUCAUAUAACUGGAUUACUUUUUAUAGGAUAUUGAUAGCAGCAAUGCCUAGAGAAAGGGAUCCAUUUUGGAAGUAUGUGACUUUCCUGGAUGAAAAUAAUAGCAAGUGGAGGUGUAACUUCUGCAAACAGGAGCAUCGUGGAGGAGUUACAAGACUCAAGGCUCACAUUGCUGGAAUUGCACGCCAUGGUAUUAAAGGAUGUGAGAGCGUCAAUAAUGAUGUAAAAGCAGAAGCCAGGGACGGACUAAUGCCUAAAAAAGUGAUGGACUCGAGUGACCAAUUGGUAUCUGAGGAAAGGGCAGAAGGAAAUGUUAGAGCAGCUCCAACCAGCUCAUCCCAUCCACCAAAUGUGGAGGGAGGAUUUAACUUACAAUUUCCACAAGGUACGCAUUUCCAAAUUACCGCAGAAAAUGGGCAGUUUAGCAAAGUAAAAAUAUUUUAUCAAUCUGAUCUUAAUUACGGAUUCAGGUAUACAUUAGAUUUUUUAAUGUCUAAACAUCCGUCUCACGGCAUGCCAAAGCCACCAGCUUCCCUGCACCCUAAACUUCAAAAUGUUCCUGAAGCCAGCUAUAUGAAUCCGAUCAAUGCUGUUUUGUAUCUCAAUCAAUCACCUGGCGUGCCUUCUUUCCCAUUGGACGGUGUAACCAAUUACUCUAGUGCAUCUCCCCCGCUAAAUUCAUUCUUCCCUUAUUCAUCAAGUGACCGGGUGUUCUUUUAACCAAGUCUCUUUACCUUGAGACAUUAAAUGCACAACAGAAUCCAAGUGCUCCAUUACCAUCACAGAUUUGCCAGCUCCUUGAUAACCUUUUCCAGAUUCCAGAGCACAUAAAAUAGGCCCAUCGCAGAUUCCAGAGCACUUCAGAAAUACACUAGGCCCAUCAACAUCAGGAGGUAUAAAAUUAUCUAUCUAUACUAAAUGGGACUCACUAACAAGCAUCCUAUCGUACUUGUUAAGUAUACUUAAUGAAAGAAAUAUUCUUAUUUUCAAUGCAUUGAUUACACAUAAUAUAAUAGAGACAGUGCAUUGAAAAUAGCAAACUUUCCUCUAUUGGGUGUUUAACAAGUGUCAUGAGGGCACUUACUAACAAAAUCCAUAUUAAAUUUAAUAUUCACUUAGUCUCUUUGUAAACCUCAUGUUGCUUUUGAUCAGAGUCUAAUGCAUGAAGUUGUGACUUAUAAAUUAGGGAUGCCAGAAGGCGCACUGGCAGGGGCAUCAUCAUCCCAGUAUGAUCAAACCACUGCUGUGCAUUCUAAUGAACCACUUCCAAGCUACAAUGAAGAAUGUGGGACUGAAACCAGUUCAUUUCCCCUUCGAGAAUAUCCUCUGACUGCAACUCAAGACAAUUUGCAAGUUCUGGACGGUGGAGCAAAUAUGGCCAGCCCAUCAUCAUCACAAGGUAUUCCUUGAUUUACCUAAAUAGAUACUGUCAUUCCUAAUGAAUCAUAGAUAUUCCCUGAUUAUCUUACUUGAGUGAGCAUCGAUGUUUUCAUUACAGUGAUGGUACUUUUUUAUUAUCAAAUAUCUUUAGGAUAACUCAAUAUCAUCUCGUUCGAUGUUGCAUCGUAUCAAUGCAUAUGCUAUAUGUCCGAUAUCACUAUCAUUCUACUGUACAGGUUCUCUCAAUAAAAUAUUUAAGUUAUGUGCAUGUUGAUUUUCGCUGUAGAUCUUUUGCGUGAUCAAGUUCUGUAUGUUUUUUGACCUGUACCCAUGGCUUGAUUUGAAAGUCCCAUUGCUAAUUGAUCAUACACUUGAAUAUGCAUUGCAACCAGCAUCGGUGCCCCCUCAACAUCAAAGUGUUCAACAUCAAUGCAUUAAUCAUGAGACAAGGAAUGCAGAGCAAAAUCCAACCGUAGUCAAAUGUCAAGCGCUAGUGGACAUGGAUCCAUGUAUUAUGUCAUCAUCACUAGCUCCAAAUAAUUUUUCUCCAACUCAUAUUCCACCUUGUGGAACAGGCCUGAUAGAACCAUUGUCAUUACCAGGUCCAUGUUUAUCUAAAAAAAUUAAUUCUUAUGCAUCACCAUGUUAUAUUAUUAUGGGGCAGCAAGAAUGCUGUCAUGAGACUCUUAACAGACAAAAUUUUUAAAUUGCAGAAUUAGAUAUGAAUGAGGGUGCGCCAAUGAUGAGUCAUCCAAAGCCAAGCAACAACUUUGAAGAGAAUAGAGCUUUGAAAAGAAAACUAGAACUACUAUAUAACGAAGAAGCUAGCAUAAGGGAUGAGUUAGAAUUUGCUGCAUCUCCAUCUCUAAAGAAACUGAGAAUGGAAGUUACAAAUUGGUUGGAGGAUGUGGAGAAGCUUAAAAAUGAUUUCCAUAGUAUUGAAGCAGCAAGUGAGAUUAAUCAAGAGGUGGAUAUAUUGAUGCAAGAAGCAGAAGACCUUAGGAGACGAUGCAAAGGACUAUUUGAGGUGAGAGAGACCAAAGUCUGGAAAUUGUUAGAAGAUAAGAUAGUGGGAGAGGCAUUUUGGAAAAAUGCUGAAAAGGUUCUGGAGAACCUAGUAGGGAAUCAAAUAUCCCGACUAGGCAUUUAUGGAAUGGGUGGUGUUGGUAAAACGGCUCUUAUGGUGCAUGUACAUAAUGAACUCCUCGAAAAAGCAAACUAUGGCGAUGUAUUGUGGAUCACCGUGUCACAAGAUUUCAACCUACAAAGGUUGCAGGAUAGCAUUUGGAAGGAGCUAGGUUUGGGUAUACUACAAGAAACGGAUGUGAGAAAACGAGCAUUAAUGUUGUUCGAUUGUUUAGCCGGAAGAGGGAAGUCUACAAUAAUCCUCGAUGACCUAUGGGAACAUAUUAAUCUUGUAGAGGUGGGAAUCCCUGUUAGAGCAGAUGGAAUUAAGUUGGUCUUAACCACUCGAUCCUAUGAUGUCUGCCGCCGGAUGAAUUGUCAAGAGGUGAUAAAAAUGGAACCUCUAUCUCAUCAAGAAGCCCUGAGUCUAUUUUUGGAGGAGUUUGGAUCCAAAGUGGCUCUUAAUUUGGAAACUGAAGCAGUUGUGAAGUCCAUUGUUAAAGAAUGUGCAGGCUUGCCGCUUGCACUCAUCACGAUGGCAAGAAGCAUGCAAGGAGUGACUGAUGUGUUUGAAUGGAAGGAUUCCUUGGUGAAAUUGAUAGAAUCGGAUAUGGGGCAAAUGGAUAUGGAAAAGAGGGUCUUGAUGAAACUAGCAUUUAGUUACGAUCACCUUGGUAGUUAUGAUUUUCAACAGUGUUUCUUAUCUUGUGCACUUUAUCCAAAAGAUGAAUUGAUUGAUAAGUUCGAGUUGAUAGAAUUUUUUAUUGACCAAGGACUGAUUGGCACAUUGAAUACAAGGGAGAAACAAUAUGAUAGAGGCCUUGUCAUUCUGCAGAAACUGGAAAAUCUUUGCCUAUUGGAAGAUCAUGGGAGGAAGAUCAAGAUGCACAAUUUGAUUAGAGACAUGGCAUUGUACAUCAUGGGGGCAAUUUCCAUUGUAAAAGCAGGAAAGUGGUUGAGGAGUAUUCCGCCUGAGGAAUAUUGGACGGAUGCUUUGGAGAAAGUUUCUCUAAUAAAGAAUGACAUCAGAGAAUUUCCGUUGAACAUGUCACCAAAUUGUCCUAGGCUAUCAACUUUACUAUUGAAUAGAAGUUUGUCGAAGGAUGUGGUCAUUCCUGAUUCUUUCUUCCAACAAUUAAAGGGGCUAAAGGUUCUAAACCUUAGUGGAUGUAAAUUAAGAGAACUUCCAAAUUCCAUCUCAGAGUUGGUAAACUUGAGAGCACUAUUACUUAGAAAGUGCUGGAAAUUGCGCCAUACUCCAAAUUUAGGGAAGCUCAGCUCUCUCAGAAAGUUGGACAUUUGUGGCUGUGAUCGUCUUCAAGCACUCGAGGGCCUAGAAAUGUUGGUGAACUUGAGAUACCUUGACCUGACUAAAACACGUAUAAAGAGGUUAGCCAAAGGAACACUGUGGGGUUUGCUAAAUUUGCAAUAUCUUAAAGUGCAGGCAGCAAAUGUAGAAGACAUUACAAAAUUGUGGGCAUUGGAGGCCCUCGAAUGCUACUUUAAUGAUGUGGAUGAUUUCAACAUGUUUGUGAGGGUUAUAAAGCAGAGAAACUCUCGCUUUUAUGAGCUCAACGUGAAUAAAGAAGAAUCAAUGUUUUAUGUGAAAGUAAGUAGUGAUGCUAGAUUUGGGAAUUGUGGGAGGACGGUUCUCAUUCAUGAGUGGAGUGAUGCUAUUGUGAGCAUGGGAGGGGAAAGCACUGACAUUUGUCUUUUGAUUCCCCAAGAUGUGCAGACAUUGGUAUGGGUGAACUACGAUAGUACAACAAAUUUGUCUGGCAUGGGUCAUUUUGACAACCUUGAGUCUCUAAACAUACAAGUAUGGAAAAACUUACGGGUGCUUUGUGGAGGACACGAUGAAGAAAGAAUCAACUUCCAUGACUCCUCACCCCCAACCCCUACCCCUCUCCUCUUCCAAAGCCUUAGGUUUUUGGAAAUUGCUCAAUGUCCGAAACUGAAGUAUCUCUUUGGGCAUGGGUCUAGAUUCUUCUUUCCGAAUCUACGAGAGAUUAAAUUAUCUGCCUGUGAGGAAAUGGUGGGCAUAAUGGCAGCAGUUAUUACAUCACCACCACCAGGUCUGCCUGCAGCCUUCCCUAUUCUAAAUAAGAUUAAAGUGGUGCGGUGUGGUAAAAUGAAGAGAUUAGUCGAAUCUGAGUGGCUGCCUCACGUCCCAAAUUUGAAAUCUAUUACUGUACGCUGUUGUGAGAACAUGGAGGAGAUAAUCGAAGGUCCUCCAAGCAAACCAGUUAUAGAGAUUUCUCUCAAAUCUCUUAAGGUAUAUCGUUGCAAUAAAAUGAGAAGGCUGUUUUCACAUGAGUGGCUGAUCCAUCUUCGAAAUCUUGAAACUAUCCAUGUCAGUUCCUGCAGAGGAAUGGUGGAAAUGAUAAGUGGAGUAGGACAUGGACAAGAAGGUAUUAUAAUAAGUCCUGUAAACAACAGCCCUUCACCCUUCCAGUCUUCAAAUUCUUUCCCAAAUCUGAAGCUCUUGUGGCUACACGAUCUAGCCCAGCUGAAGAGCAUAUGUGGAGUCUCAAUGUCUCGUGAUUCUGUGAAAGAUAUACAUGUGUACAAAUGCCGAGAACUGAACAGAAUUCCUUUUUGAUUGCAAUUACGUGAUAUUAAGGACCUUCCUUUUAUUAAGGUGGAAGCUAAGGAAAAGUAGAAGAUGCUGAUAUGGGAUCAUCCCUAUGCUCAGGUUAUUCUUCACCCUUAUCUUCAUUUCCAUGGCGGUACCUGUGUUCUACGAUGGGAUAAGUCUCAUUAAUUUGAGUUAUCAAUAUAAUAUAUCCUUCGCGUCUUAAAAGUUGUUACAGAGAUGUAGCAUUUCUUUUGUGUUCAUGCAGCUGUAACAGUGGCUUUUGCAGAUUUAUCCGCCUGGGAAAAGGAUUUCCUCCUAUGCUGCUUUCAAAGAAUUAUGGUGGAAGGCCUUCAGCUGCUAUUUUAAUUGCUCGAGCUUGCUUCUUUCCUGCAAACUGAAUUUUUCCAUAGGUAGAACUUUCUGCAUGUGGCAACCUUUGUUGGCAGAAGGGAACGUUAUAUUGGUUAUUUUGAAUGCUGUGGCAUUUUUUAAAAAUAUCUUUUGGUAAUGGAAAUGAGUUAUCUUCAAAGACUAAUUAAGGAAUGUUGGCCGAACCAAAGAUGACGCUAUGUGCAACCCUUCUCAUUUCAUUUACCUUGUCAAAUUAGAUGUAGUUUGUCUUCGUUUUUGCAUAUUUCAUGUGCAAUUAUGCUCAAUUGCGUCGGGGUACAAGAUGGAAGUUCGAGGUAUUAUGCAAAAGAAAAUCACAAAGCAAGUGGUCUGCAUCGACUAUUAAACAUUGAAGCAUUAUGAAUUUUUUAUUUUUAAUAAAACGUGUUCCGUAUAUGAGCUGAAAAAUGGCAUUGGCCAUGAGUGUCUUAACAAAGGUGCAUCUAGUGCAUUUGGAGACGCAUAAAAAUAAAAAUGAAUGUCAAAGACUCAAUUUCAUUUGGGAGGUAUAAAAAGGAAAAUGGGACUUUUUUGUUUGUCAACUAAAUGUCAUUGAUGUCAAGGAGUCGAUGUUAUUCUUCGGUCCAUCUGAACGGUUCAGCAGCUAGGUCGGGCACCGAAGGAGAAGGACGACAAGAAAGAUGAAAGAAAAGAACGAAGAGAUAAGGUAAUAAAAAAAAACUUAUGUAUUUUUAAGUCGGGAAAAAGAAUAUCCGGGCUUUCCACGUCCUUACUUUCUUCUAGCGCAUCAGCAAAAAUUAGGUGACCCGCCCCAGAAUUGGGCUUUCCAAAAUGUGGAGGCAUUUACGGUAAAAUAGAAAAAAUUCAGAGUACUCUAUUUAGUAGAAGUUUGAAACCUUGUGGUGGCAACAUCCACUGAAAAGGGAAGGAAAAAAAAAAAAUUGCCGUUGCCUUUAUUUUCUUAAAUUUUGCAUCAACUCGGUGUCUGGAAUUCUUUAAGCACUAGCUUCUCUUCAUUGGGCGGUGGCAAUCCUUUUAUUAUUUAAGCGAAACCUUCCCGUUUAACUCCAUUUUGUUUAAAGGGGUUCUAAAGAGUUCUUUACCUUUGUAUAAGCAACACCUUUUUGCACCCAAGCCAUUGGACCUGGUGAGAGAUUUGACCAUAAGUUGACAUGUGGCACUUUGUAAGGACGUGUCUCUCUUUCAACUUUCCAGUUUUGUUCUUCGUGUUCCAACUUUACCCUUCAUUUCUUAUUUCCUCUUAUUCAUUCUUAUUUGAUUACAUGUAGUAAUAUAGUUUGUUACACGUGUAAAUAGCCACACCUCCAAGUCAUAAUGCGUCAUGCGGACGAUUACGCAAAUUCGAUUUAUUACUUUUGUUAUUAUUCUUGUUGUGCAUACAAAUAUUAUUUAGAUAUAUAAAUGAAAAGACGACAUUAUCGAAUGUUAACGUAUAUAGAAAUAAUUUUGGACGUGACUUUCAUGAGUCAUAAUUAGUGAUUCCAUCUUCACUUGGUGGCUUUUCAUAUAUUUAGUUUAUUUGCGUAUAAUUUGUGAUAAAAUCUCUUUAAAAAAUUACUACUUCACUAAUACUUAUAAACAUGACUCUCCACUUAUUGAUAUGAUGACUUAAAUUUGACUAAAUAAUUUGAUGCAGGGUUGGCACUUGAUCCAUUGUAUAAAUACCAGCUAAUAUAGCUUUGAAUUUUUCUCUCUUAUUUAUUUUUAGAUUUCUGAAAAAUAAUUUAUUCUUAUUAAAAUAGAAUUAACUGAUGAAUACCAUCAAAGUCUUGAGCGUUGUUGCAAUAGGUACAAUGCUUCUGACAAAUGCUUUAAUGUCAGAUAUAUAAUCUUUAUUCUCAUUCUGUAUUACAUUGAAAUAUAGAGAUCCUAACUCAUAAUUAAAAAAAACUUCAUUCUAUAAAAUAAUUUAAUUGUUUAAUCGCACCUGAUUUUAUAAAGUCUAAUCUAAUUAUCUAAUGACAUAUAGCAUUAUGUUCAUGUUAUAUGCACAAACUAUAGAAUAUUAUAUACCCAUACGAAUAAAAACAUGCAUUUAAAUGCAUAUAGAUAGGUGUAUUCCUAUAUGGUUAAGUAAAAUGAUCGUGAACCUGGGCUCUUCGUUUCUUUCCAGUUCUAUGGGCCGACAUUGUGAUUCUGACCAUGAGUUGUGAGCAACGACUUGGACUGAGAGCGAAUUGGACUAGGCUCUUGUUGUGGACUUUGCAAUUUGGACAGGCACGGAAUUAGCCCCUUUUUUUGUUACUUAUUUUUUUUAUUUUUCAUUUGGUUAUGAAAGUCUUAUGUACUUUUUUGCCGGCUAAAUAUUCAUCGGCGGACCUUUUUCUGGCUACCAAAAUGGGGGUAAUUUAAUUCGAAAUUCCAAGAUCAAGUUCUCCUUUUGAUUUUUUAUGUUUUCUUCUUCCUCUAUCGCUGCUCCUCAAGCAAAUUAUUCUCGCCCAAUCCCUAGCCAUGGGGUAAGUUCACUAAAAAUACCAAAAGUUGUGUAUGACGCUCACUUUAGUGCUAAAAGUUUAUUUUGGAUCACUUAAGUGCCAACAAAUUUGAAAAAUGAUCAUUUCAGUGCCAACGUCGAUUUAAUUAACUGAAAAAUUGAUAUGGCACUUUUUUUUUAAUUAAUUUUUGAAGCUGACGUGGCUCGUUAGAGAGUAUAGUUAGCAUCCAAAUAAUAAAACGACGCCGUUUGGUGUCUUUCCCCCAAGUAAGAAUCCUAAAUCCCCAAAUUGAGAGAGAGAGAGAGAGAGAGAGAGAGAAGGCAUGGGAUUUCUCCUCGUCUUCUUACCUGAAAAACAACACUAGCAGCGGCACUUUUGACCCCCCUUCUUCUUCUUCCUCCUCAACCCUCGCCUUCUAUUCUUCCUGCCACUUCUUGCUUGAGCAACAACCUCAGCCUCUUCUCGCUCACCUGGUUGGGCAACUACAACGGUGGCUGAGCAACGGUGGGCGAAAGACGGUGGCCGAGCGACAGUGGGCGAACGAUAAAGAAACCCUAAUUUCAGUCCCCAUAUAAGCUAUACGGUGUUGUUUUUGUGAGGCUGUCCACGUAUGACGGCAAGACGACGUCGUUUCUUAAGGAGGAUGGAAAAUGAUGUCGUUUAAAAGCCAUUGCAACUUUUUUUUUAAAUAUAAAAGCCACAUAAUUAAUUUAGCCGGAAUCUCUUGCCUGUGGCAUCAAAGUUGUCAUGCCCUGAACCUCGAGCGCAUGUACAUCCCUCUGCGGUCAAUACAAAUGCGACGUUCCUAGGACGCUUCACCGGCCCAUUCAUUUUUAAUGCACAUGCGGAAGUGUAUAAAUAACCCCUAACAACAAAUAGCAUGUGAUAGGAAAGCAUGGCACAUUUCACAAAAGCCAAAUUUUAUAACCAAUGGGUUUAGAUACCAAAAUGAGUUUGGUUAAAAGUCUUUGGCUCUCAAAAGGGAAUUUUCCUACGAUCUACUAGUCGGACACAAACACUAAUCCUUCAGACUCCACCUCCAAGACUCCUAGGCCUUGGUCCUACACAACCAUCUUCUAAGAACCUAAAAUUAGUUAUACAAUAACCAGUGAGACAAUAUCUCAGCAAGUUCAUCCCCUAAACCUUUAUUAGGAAGGAAAUAUGCCUCAAGGUGCUUUAGCCACACAACCACACAAUAAGAAUAGAGGACUUACCUCGCCUCAGUUCCUUUCUGCACGUCAGCACAAUUCAUAUUACAAAUGUAUAUAAUUAAUGCAUAUAACAAUUGAAACGCCUCAACAACUCAAUAAAUCACAAGUGUCCCGAUUAUAAGGCCAAACCGUUAUGACACGUCCCAUACUAUGUCACACAGUUUUGUCUCAUAAUUAGGUGCAUUGAACUUAAACAAUCAUGCGUUCUAAUUGUUAAUUAAGCCACUCAAGGCACAAUUGACUCCCAUGUUCGAUUGUCUACUGGUGUAGCCAGGCAUCAUCUCUUUUCCAUUAAGCACAGCUAUGUCACAAAGACGGCUAUCUCGAAAGAGCAUAAGUCUAGAAUCUAUUGCGACUCGAUACCUUAAUGCAUGGGUAACCCGAAAAGGGAUUUAGUAACGUUCGACGUAAACGCUCGAAACGGUUUCUCUUUAACCAACACACGACCAAUCAAUCUCAGCCCAGGACACUGUGCAUUGUGCACAAAUGUCUCAAUUAAAAUAGUGAUCAUGACUUAUUUUCUUCGUAUUAAAAACAUUAAGAAAAAUAGUCGUGUGUUGGUAUACAGUCAAUUCGGACCAGAAAAAUUGAUACAUUUUAUUUUCAAACCCCAUUAUUUGGUAUAAUACUUAAAGUCCUUUUUCGGUGUCAAAACCUGACACCCGGGAUUUUUUGAAUAAAUUCCAAAAUUUUCACAAUCAUCACUCAAUUUGCACAAUCCAUCAAUCAAUUGCAUAAUCUGAAAGCACCACAUUAAUUAGCACGAAAUUACAAUUAUUGACUAUCCCAAUAUAAUUUCUGGAAAAUAAUAAAUAAUUAAAUAUAUUCCGAAAAUAAAUAAAUAAAUAAUAUAUUAUUUAAUUUAAUAAAAUAAUAUUUAUAAAUUUGAAAUAAUUAAAUAAUUUAAAAUAAUUAAUUAAGGGCUUAAUCAAGGUUACACUAAUCUAAUCACCUAAUUAGCCAUAAUUAAUUAUCUACUAAACUAAUCCAAUCUCAUAAUCUAAUUAACAUCUAAUUAGACUAAUCUAAUCACCUAAACAUGCUUAGCCUAAUCUAAAAAACCAUUAAGCAUAAUUAACCUCAUAAAAAAGGUUUAGUGGGUAGACUUACCAGUUUAGCGUUCCGGUGAGUCCAUGGCGACAACAACGGCGACGGCAAUGGUGGGCGACAAACCUCCAAGCAGUGACACCAACCAAGGCCGGGAAGGGCUUGAAAACGGGUCACAAAGGGUGCGUUUGGUAACGUUUCUGUUCACAAAUUAUUCUAGGGAACAAAAAUAGAAAAACUAUUUCUAUUCCGAGAAACAAUUUUUGAACAGAAGAACAAGUUUGGUAAAUUUGUUUCUAGAAUAGAAAAAGAACAGAAAAAUGUUUGGUAAACUUAUAUAAUUUUUUUAAAAUAUUUUUCCUUUUUUAAUUUUUAUUUUUCUUAUUUUAUUUUUUAUUUUUUCUUCCUUUUGGCCAGUCAUCGGCUUUGACCAGCCGACGAGGGCUGGCGGCCUUGACUAGUCGGCGAGGGCCGACGGCCUCGCCUAGCCACAGCAAGGUUCGCUGGCCCCCGGCGAGGCUCGACCUGGCCUUGGUUGGGCGAGCUUGUGCUCGUUGAGCCACCUCUAGGUGACGUCGACCUGGCGGUGGCCCGAUGACACUGAGCCUUGUCGGUGGUUGGGUGAGCUCGGCCUCGCCGAGGGCCGGCGAUGCUCUGGUAAGGUCACCGGCCCUCGACAGCUGGUCGUUAGCCAUGGCCUUGGUAGGCGACCAGCCAAAGGAAAAAGAAGAUGAAAAGAAAGAAAAGAAAAAAAUAGGAGAGAGAAAAAUUGUUUCUCGGAAGUGUUCCAGGAACAAGAAACAAGUUUUUCUUGUUUCUUAUUUCUGUUCCAAAUUUGUCCUCGAGAACAAAGAAAUAGAUUUGGAAUAAAAAUGCAAACAAACUCAUUUCUGUUCUUUUUUGUUCUCCCAAACAAAAACAAAAAAAAGAAAUUGUUUUCAUGAGCAGAAAAAAAAGAACACAAACAAAUAGGGCCAAAGUCUCAAAACCCUUGCUGGCUUCUGCUUCUGUUCUUGGCUGAAUUGCAGAUAAGAAACCAACAGCUGCAAUGGCAAAAACGGGUUGAUUGAAGCUCCGGCGAGUGGGUAGUCAGCAACCAGUGGCUCUCGGGGGUCAAGGGAAACUUGAUGGUGGUUGGGAUGGGCCAAUGAAAGGUUAGAAUGGGAGAAAAAUGAAGAAAAAUGCGAAACAGUGCAGGCGGGUAGCAGACCGGCGGAUCGGCGAUCAGUUCCUUCUCGUUGGCGUACUGGUCGACCGACGACUCUGUUCGGCGUGAGGUCGGGCUCAUCUGAAUUUGGAUGUGCUGAAGACAACGGUGGAUGGCAUGAAGGUUAAUUUGUCUGGGAAGACCACUUUUAACUCGAGUUUUUGACAAAAGGUCAGUUGGAGCAGAAAUUGGAACAAGGAGAAAACAGAGGAGGAAAGAGGUUUGGUGGCUUGGGCGGGUGUGCGACUGGCAAGAGGGCUGCUACUUUGUGUUCUCUGGUUUCUCUCUAGCUCUCUCAAAGCCUCUACAAUGGAGAAAGCGAGGUUGAAGAGGAAGAAGAAGGAGGGUGCUGAAGAGGGCCCACCAAAUGGCCUCCAAAGUCUUCAACCUUAGCCUCAUUCACUCAAUGCUUGCCCCCACCAUGUCGGCCCUAUCCUCAGCCUCUUUUCCCUCACAAAACUUCCUCAACAAGCCUUAUUUGAGUCCCCAAAUGUUGCACCCCACCCUUGGCUACGAAUUUGUACACAUUCCCCUCCAAUUCCAUCAAUUCUCCUCAAUCUCACUCAAUUUCUCAUCCGAUCAAUCCCAAUUGAAGCCCAUAAUUUUAUCCAAUGUGUCCACACUUAAAUCCACAUUUUUCCUUACCCAUAGAUCCAACUUAACGACCAAAGAUGCGACCAAAAACGGUCCCUCAAAGUUCCCAGUCUAAAACAGCCUAACUUUGAUUUUUUGCCGAAAAUCUUGAUUUGCAGAAAAUUUUUUCGAAGGAUGAGUUGAUAUUCCUAAAAUGAUUUGUGACAUGACAGAACUUUCAAUUUCUAAAUCCGGGUUCAAUUUUGCGAUUAAUUUCAAUCUGAUGUGAUUUUAGCGCGUCCUAAUUUACCAGGUAGCUUUUAGGAAUUUUUAAAGCAAUUGACUUGUGGUCGAUUAUUUUCGAACCACAAUGUACAUCUUCAACUCAUUGGUGACUUUCAGUUGUUAUGAAAAUCUCGAGAUUUUAAAUAUGGACACAGGGUACGAAAAUGACAUAAAAAUUGGUCUAGUGUCGUUCAACAGAAAUUUUGCAAUUAUGUGGAAUGACCAAUGCACUAAUGAAAUAUCUCGAUCUAAUCGACCUAUCUUCGGUCUUUGAUGCAUUUUGGCGGUGCCAUAAUGAUCAUUGUAGAUUAGCACGGUCGAGAAGUCGAUUUCGAGUUGAAUUCUCAAGGUUAUUGCAUUUAGAUUCCUUAACGGCUUUACCUGAUAAGCUAGUUAACUCGUGAGUGGCCAACUCAGAGAAAAAUGCUAUAGGCACGUCGAUGAAAAACCUAUUUCAUCUCAUCGAAAUUAGACUCAAAAAUUAGGAUGUCACAAUUAUUCCCUUUUUAUAAAAAUUUCGUCCUCAAAAUUUAAACCAUGCAAAUCUUUAAACAAAAAGGUUGGGGUACAGUCGUCUCAUCGAAUUUUCAGUUUCCCAGGUUGCUCAUUUAGUGCCGUGGUGUUGCUAGAACACUUUGUCCAAAGGGAUAGUCUUGGUGCAUAGGACUUGCUCUUUGCGAUCCAUAAUUUGAACUAGGUUUUCAACGUACGACACUAUCAUCCACAUCCAAUUUCUCAAAAUUUAGCAUGUGGGUCGGGUCAGGCUCAUACUUCCUCAAUAUCGAGACAUGAAAGACAUCAUGCACUUGCACCAACCUCGGCGAUAAUGCAAGACGAUACGCUAGGAUCCCGAUUCUUUCAAGAAUCUCAAAUGGACCUAUGUACCUCGAACUCAGCUUCCCUUUCUUGCCAAAUUGUGAAGCACCCCUCAUUGGUGACACAUUCAAAAAGAUGUGAUUACCAACUUGGAAUUCCAAUGACCUUCGACGCUUAUCGGCGUAACUUUUCUGGCGGCUCUGAGUGGUCUUCAAUCUGUGUCUAAUGAUGGCAACUGCAUCCAUUGACUGCUAGACUAACUUUAGGCCGGUGAUCUUUUUUUCUCCGAUUUCAUCCCAACAAACUGGUGUUCUACACGCUCUGCUAUACAACAUUUCAAAAGGAGCCUUAUGAAUGCUUUGCUGGUAGCUAUUGUUGUAGGCGAACUAGACAAGGUGAAGCUGUUCCUCUUAGCUUCCCUUAAAGUCUAACAUGCAAGCUCACAGCUUGUCUUCGAGGGUUUGAAUCGUCCUCUCCGACUGGCUAUCCGUUUGGGGAUGAUAGGCCAUACUAUACUGCAACUUCGUUUCCAAAGCACUUUGCAAACUUUUCUAGAAGGCAAUUGUAAACCUCGGGUCUCGGUCUGAUGUAAUCGUCACCGGCACUCCAUGCAGACAAACUAUCUGUCGCACGUAUAGCUCUGUGUGCCUAUCCAAAUCGAGGUCCUUUUGUACUGCAAUGAAGUGUGCCGACUUUGUCAAUCUGUCGACCAUUACCCAAAUAGAAUCAUUUCCUCUCUGACUCCUCGGUAAGCCUGUCACAAAAUCUAUUGUGAUAUGUUCCCAUUUCCACUUGGGAAUCUCGAUAGGUUGCCAAAAUCUUCUCGGCUUACAAUGUUGUGCCUUCACUUGCUGUCACGUUAGGCACUUAGCGACAUGCUUGGCGAUGUCCGCCUUCAUACCUGACCAUCAAUAGUGUUGAUGCAUAUUUUGAUACAUUUUUAUACAGCUAGGAUGAAUGCUGUAACUGCUACAAUGAGCUUCUGAUAAGAUCUCCUCCUUAAGCUCCGCAUCAUUAGGUACACACAAUCGUCAUCAGAAUCUCAAUAUUCCAUCAUCAGAAAUCUGAAAGUCAGUCUUCCUCUUCUCAGUAUCCUCUUGCAAUAUCUUCUAAAUAUAUGGAUUUGUCAGCUGAAGCAUUUUGAUUCUGACUUGCACUUCCGGUUCAAUUAUGAGAGUGGUCAUAAGAUUUGAGAGGUGGCUUACCUCAAAUUUGAAAACCGAAUCUUGAGCCUUCUCGAUUAAAGUCCAUUCCUUGAGCACCAUCUAUGCAACUGAAGAUUUCUGACUUAGCGCAUCCGCGACUUUGUUUGCCUUUCUUGGGUGAUAUAAAAUAUCACAAUCACAAUCCUUCAGGAGUUCCAUCCAGCGUUGUUGUCUCAUAUUCAAUUCUUUCUAAUAGAAUAAAUACUUAAAACUUUGAUGGUCAGUGAAGAUUUAGAACCUUUCUCCACACAAAUAAUGUCUCCAAAUCUUCAAAGUGAAAAUGAUUGUUACGAGUUCCAAGUCAUGCGUUGGGUAAUUCAACUCAUGAGGUCUCAAUUGACGAGACGCGUAUGUAACAACCCUAUCAUGUUGCAUUAGCACGCAACCUAGUCCUCUGAACAAUGCAUUGAAAGGGCUAGUACGAACACCAAGAGGAUGGUGAAUAGGUGUGAAUAAAAAUUUUCGCAAAGUUUGAUAGAGGUAUUUUGCCUUUAGAAGAUAACAGACUAUAAACGUAUUAGAUAAAGUUACGAAUUAAAAUAAGGAGUUCAAGGAAGAGAAUAUGAACACAAGGUUUAUAGUAGUUCGGCUUAGACCAAGCCUACGUCCACUCUCCCACGUUGACAGCCCACUGGCUGGAUUCCACUAUGAAUCAAAAAAAAUUUAGAUUUUGUGAUCUUCGACUUUCUCAAUGAAGAGUUUCUACUGGUCUCUCAUAAAGUCUCACUAAGAGUAUCUCUCUUUUGUAUACAACUUUGAACUCGAUGAAAUAACAAAGAACUAAGAAGCUUCAAACUUUAAAAUUUUUCUUUUACGCACACUGUCAAACAACUAGAGAGUCCGCCUUAAAUACUCCUUCAUGCCUUUACGACUGUUGGUACUUUCCAAAGGAAUUCUUCCAAUCUACCCAUUGGACAUAAUCAAUCAAGGUGAUCUUGAUUCGUUAGAUGAUUGUGAUGAAAGCUCGUCAAUCAUGUUCACCCAUACAAUCAGGAUCUUAGUUUCCAUAAGUAGAACCUUCCAAGUUUACUUCGCCUUUCAACAAGAUUUGAAUAUCGUAAUUAAUUCCAAAAUAGGUAAUCAAUCAUGUAGGUGCUAUAUCUAGCCAUAAGAUUAUAUGUAAACCAUACGAAUCGAUUUCUUGAAGAAAUAAAGAUAAUCUCGCAUUUGGAUAAGUCUUCAUUCUUUAGUCUGGAAACUGUCAGUGAGGGUAGAAUUUAAAUCUAAAGUUUGACGGUCUUCAGACUUUGGUGUUAGAGUAUGGAGUUUUUCAGACUAGACUUUUAUAAAGGUUUUGUCAACUUCAAAAUAGUAAAUGAGUUUUUUCCAACAAUCUCCCCUUUUUUUAUGGUAACAAAACUUUCCUGUAGAUUUGAGAAUUUUGACCUGCAAACAACACUUAAGCAAUACAUGAUAUCUUAUUUAGGAUAUGGAUAGCAUCGAUUCUGCAACCAUAAAAAACAUGUUAAUCCUGAACAAAUAACCAUCUAGCCAUAAUCAAUAUCACAAGCUAAGUUGCUGCAAUCAACAUAAGUCAAAUAGCAACAAGGUCAGUCAGUCCAAGGUCCAAACAAAAAGUACCAAGUUUAAAGCACCAAUCAUAAAAAAGAUAAUGACAAAUCUGCACAUAUUCUCCCCCUUUUUGUCAACAACAAAAAGCGGAGAAGGAUUUGUAAAAGAAGUUUGAUAAAAUCAGGGUUGUUUUGGGAUGCGAACAAGUUGGAAAUCCUCCAUUGACUUGACAGUCUCGUUGAGCUUUCUCAAAGUCUCCUUUAGCUGCUCAAGAUUUGCACCAUUUGCUAUCUCUUGCACUUGAAGUUUGAGGGCUGGUAGCUAUUGAUGUAGAGAGUUCAAGGUAGACUGGAGAGUUGUCUUGAGGUUCUUCAUCUCAAAAUCUAAACCAUAUUGCUGAGCCUUCAAAUCCAACAUAAUUUCUAGCAGUCUGUGAAAGUCUGUAGUUGGUUCUGAUGGUGCACUAGGUCCAGCCAAAUCAAUUCUGGGAGUAUUGAGAUGUAAGGGAAUAUCAGUAGUUCAAUCACCAAGACUUGAAGAAGAUGUCUCAACAUUAGCUUCUGGAAAUUGAGAGGCAUAGACAUCCUCUGGAUCUGCUAGAGAUCUGCAAACAUCAUCACUCGUAAAAACAGGUGAAGAAAACAUACCUAUGUUUUCAACAGCUCCCCCUGUCUUUGUGGCUACAGGUGGAGAAGAAAAUUGUUCUUCUUGGUCUUUCUUAGCUCUAGAGUGAUGGUCUUUCUCGCGUGCAUCUCCUGCAGUUCUGCUUCGAGUCUUUUUCGAGUCCUCUAACAAUGAUAUUGUAAAAGUUGGUUCAAAAGAGUCAUCUUGACCCUUUUCUUCUUCUUCUUCUUCUUCUUCUUCUUCUUCUUCUUCUUCUUCUUUUCUUCCUUCACUUGCUUCUCCUCUCUCUUCUCUUCCUGCACUUCUUUGCUCUAUCUCUUCUCUUUCUUUGUUCUCUUUCCUCUGGCCGAUCAAAACUGAAAAAACUCCGUAGAUUUCUUAAGGUAAAAGCGGAGAUUGUGAGAUCAUCCUCAUCUUCUUCUUCAUCUUGCAAGAUAAGGGUAUUUCUCUUUUUGACCGGUGCGCUCAUUGGCUCCUUGCCUUUCCUCUUCUUCGUUGCAUAGUAUUGUUUAGUUUCGGCAGGGGAUUUCUCCUUCAGGUGCUCCAAGGCUAUAUUCAGCUCUUUCACUCUCGUCUUUGAAACCAUUUUCAAUCCAAUUACAAUUGGAGCAAUGAUUCGAACACAAAGAGUUGCUAGAAUAGCAACAUGGAAAUGUGUGAACAGACGAGUGAUAAGUGAGAAUAAUGGAGUUGUCCUUUGUCCUUCACUACCAUUUUAUACAUGUGCAUUAGGAUAGUGUGAGGUAGAGAAAACUUCGUUCCAUUAUUGAUGUUGAACAUCAACUUUGCUUCCGAGCGAGAAACAUCAGUCUUGAAGGUUGAUUUGGGUCUGAUGCAGUUGAUCACAACCUUGUGUAGCAAGAUAUUGGAGGCAGUCAUUAUGGUGUAAGAAAUUCCACCUUCAUCAAUUCUAUCCUGAACAAGAAACAUAGUUGCGUGAUCAACAGACACAUUUAUUGGUUGGAAACUCCUUCUUUCCACACCAAUAACAUCCGCCAAUGUGUCUACAUUUACCACAAAAUCUUUCUCCCUUACCGUAAAACAGAAGGUAUUCGCAUCUAGAAAAGAUAGAUUUGAAUAGAAGUAAGCAGUCAAUUCAGGGUAAGCGACUGUAGUCUCUGAGCAAAAUCUUUUGAGUUGAAGGAGAGCAAACUUCUCUCUCAGAUUCACUUUCAAAGAAUCAAGGAAAUCAAAAUCCACAGUUCGAGGGUUCAUCACACCUCUCUUAAGCAAUUUUGAGUAAGAUUUUUUGUGGUCCUUAAAACGAAAUAGACUCGUUCCUUCACCACGCAUAGUAGCAGCAGCGCCCAUCCUCGGCUGGAAAUUCGCAUACAUCUUCUCAUCAUCAUUCUUCACUUUUGACUGAUUAAAACUACUAAACUGCGGAUCACUUGGAAAGUUUGCAAAUGUCCUAUCUGCUAAACCUUCAGAUGCAAUGCCCAUCCUUUCCUUCGAUCUUAAGAACAUAGUCUCAUUCUUGUAUCCACGUUCUUGUAAGAACUCAUCAAUAAAUGUCAUUGCAGUACCACCCUGUUUCAAUUGAUUGUAAAGCUUAAAGAGAAAUUUGGGUUUUAAUGUUCUUAUGGUUUCAACUUCUUCCAAAAUCUCUUCUUCCUCUUGUGGAUGAGGAGGAACUUGAGAUGUAUGUUGUGAAGAUUGACGCUAUUGAAAAUGUUGUUGUUGCUGAGGUUGAGGAGUAUCUUCUUCCUCAGUUAGGUCAAAGUGCGUAGGCCCCUCUUGCAUGUGUUGUGGUCCCCUGUUCGCUAUCCGAGAAAACUUCCUCUAGAAAGACAUUGUCACUAUUGAGGAGGAUUUCUUCAACUCGUUUAGUGAAAAAGGUGAGAUCUUUGUAGAACAAACUUGAAAAUAAAAGUGAGAAAGUAGGAUUUUAGAAUUCUAGGGUUUGUGAAAGCGUAAACUAAGAAGGACUUCACGGUAUUUAAAGCAAGUGAAAUGGGGUAUAUGAACUGUCAUAAAGGAAAAAGUAAAAUUGUUUUUUUCGAAAAGAAAAACUGCCAAAAAUUCAAGAAUUCGAAAAAGAUAAUUUCUAAAAAUAAAAUAGGCAAGUAGCGAUUAAAAAAAUCAAUGUAUCUAUUCAAGAUAUUCAUCUAAAAACAAAUUACUUGUAUUGAGAAAAUAUUAACUUACGAACAUAACUUCUGGACAUUUUGAGUUUGAACUCCUUCGGGCUUUAAUUGGUAGAAGAUAUGAUAUUCAGUCUGGUGCGAAUAGACUCAAAUAAGCUUUUUUCCAGUGGCUUUGUAAAUAUGUCGCCAGCUGAUUCUUCGAGUCAAUGAACUGAGUCAUAACUUCUCCAUUCUGAACAUGAUCUCUUAUGAAAUGGUGUCGAAUCUCUAUAUGUUUUGCACUUGAAUGAAGAAUUGGAUCUUCGUGAGAUUGAUGGAACUGGUGUUGUUGCAUUUGAUCUCGGUGCACGGUUCUUCAAUUACAAAGUCUCUUAGCUGUUGCCUUAUCCACAUAAUUAAAGAACAACGUCUCCCAAGAGCCACGUACUCUGCUUCAACUAUUGAAAGAGCUAUGGUACUCUGCUUCCUUGAGAACCAAGAUACCAGCUUGUUGCCUAGGAGUUGACAAGUACCAGAAGUACUUUUUUCUAUUAACUUUACAAUCUGCUAAAUUUGCGUUUGAAUAUCCAAGAAGAGUAAAGUCUCAUUCUUUAGGAUACCACAGACCUAGCUUUAGAGUAGUUGUAACGUAUUUGAUGAUGCAUUUUGCAGCAUUUAAGUGUGAUUCUUUGGGAGUUGAUUGGAAUCUAGCAUAGAUAUAAACACUAAAUAAAAUUUCAAGUCUAGAUGUUGUAAGAUAAAGAAGUGAACCAAUAAUGCUCCUGUAAAGCUUCCGGUCUACACUCUUUCCUCCUUCAUCUUUGUCCAGCUUCAAAAAACUUGACAUUGGUGUCUCUGUUUUUUUGCAGUUCUCCAAUCCAAAUUUCUUGAUGAGAUCGUUUGCAUAUUUCUCUUGGUGAAUAAAAAUAGAUUUCUUUGAUUGUUUAAUUUGCAAUCCCAGAAAGAAAGUUAACUCACCCAUCAUACUCAUCUCGAAUUCAUCCUACAUACAUAUAAAGAAUUUCUUGCAUAGAUUUUCAUUAGGUGAUCCAAAAAUAAUAUCAUGAACAUAAAUUUGAACCAAUAAGAAAUCUUUACCCUCUCUUUUUAUGAAUAAAGUAGUGUCUACUUUACCUUUAACAAAACCAUUUUGGGUUAGGAACUUACUUAACCUUUCAUACCGGGCUUGAGGUGCUUGCUUCAAUCCACAUAGGGUCUUUUUCAGUUUGUAGACUGAGCCUGGUUUUCUUGGAUCUUCAAAUCCAAGUGGUUGUUCCACAUAAAACUUCUUAUUGGAUAAAUUCAUUUAAGAAUACACUUUUUACAUCUAUAUGAAAUAACCUGAAAUUUUUAUAGCAAGCAAAAGCAAUGAAUAAUUUAAUUGCUUCUAACCUCUUUACUGGUGCAUAAAUCUCAUCAUAGUAAAUCCCUUCUUGCUGCAUGUAUCCUUUGGCCACAAGUUUUGCUGUGUUCCUAACCACUUUUCCUUUCUCGUCCACCUUGUUCCUAAAAACUCAUUUAGUUCCAAUAAUAAACUUACCUUUAGGUUUGGGAAUGAAUUCCCAAACAUCAUUGAUGCCGAACUAUUUGAAUUCUUCUUGCAUAGCUUCGAUCCAGCUUUCAUCAAACAUGGCUUCUUCUACACUUUUUGGUUUUAUGUUGGAAACAAGUGCUAAAGCAUUAGAUUCUUCUCGCCUUUUGGAUAUGGUAUGAACACCUUCAUCAAUGUUGCCAAUGAUGAGUUCUUUGAGAUGACUUGACUUAUGCUUCCAGUUGUUGGUUGGUUUAAUAGGCCGCUGAUCCUCUGCUUCAGUUGAACUUCUGGUUCUGCUUCUUGUUGAUCUUCAGAAGUCUGAAUUACUUCGGGGGAAGUAGACUUUAUAAAGUCUUGAGCAAGUUCUGAUUCUUUAAGUUGAGUCUGGUCCAGUUGAUUUUGCAUAGAGUCUUGAAACUUCACGUUCAUAAAUUAUUCCACAGACUGAGUCUUAUUGUUGAAUACUCUGUAUGCUUUCCUUGAGAUUAAGUAGCAAAGGAAAAUUCCCUCGUCUGAUUUUUCUUCAAUCUUCCCAGUUCGAUCAUUUGCAUUUUACAAAAUAAAACACUUACAACAAAACACAUGAAAGUAAAAAACAUUUGGCUUCUUCCCUUUAUACACUUCAUAAGGAGUUUUCUCUAGAAUAUGUUUGAAGAACACUCUAUUGAUGAUGUAGCAAGCUGUAGAAAUUGCUUCAGCCCAAAAUCGAGAGGUAAUUUUACUCUCAAUUAAGAGGGUUCUGGCCAUCUCUUGUGAAAAUCUAUUCUUCCUUUUCACAACCCCAUUUUAUUCUGGAGUAUAUGGAGAAGAGAAUACAUGCUGAAAACCAGAUUCAUCACAGAACUUCGCAAAGUCUUGAUUUUCAAACUUACCUCCAUGGUCUGUUUGUAUGCUCAAAAUAGCAUCACCUUUUUCAUUCUGAACCUUCUUGGCAAGCUUUGAAAAGUAAGAGAAGGCUUUAGAUUUACUUGUUAGAAAGUAAACCCUAGUAAAGUGAGAGUAAUCAUCCACGAUUACUAAGCAGUAUCUCUUUCCACCAAUGCUUUGAAUUCUAGUUGGUCCAAAGAGGUCCAUAUACAGAAGCUGUAAAACUUGAUUAGUAGAAACUUGAUUUAUAGGUUUAAAAGAACUUUUAACUUGUUUUCCCAAAACACAUGGUAUGCAUAAUUCAAACUUUUGAUAAGCCAAGUUGGAGGAAAUUUUGGCAAUCUGCUUUAUGUUAACAUGGCCAAUGUUUCGAUGCCAAAGAUUUGCUUCAUCUUGAAUGGAUAUUAGAUACUAAGAACUUUUUGAUUUUAUAUCCAGAAGGUAAAUAUUCCCAUGUCUUCAUCUAGUGAAAGAUUGAGAGAAAUCUUUACUUGUUCCCGAAAAAAUGCCUUAUUGGAAAUUAAUUUUGAAUCCUGUAUCGCAUAGUUGACUUAUGCUGAGUAGAUUGUAAUUCAAACUUUCCACCAAGAAGACAUUGUUGAUUGUGAGACUUCCAAUUUUCACAGUUCCACAUUCAACAAUUCUUUCUUUGUUGUUUCCACCAAAAGAAACAUUUCCACUAUUUAUUUGAACAAGCUUUAUAAAAUAACUCGAAUCUCCUAUCAUGUGUCUUGAACAGCCACUAUCCAAAUACCAUUUGAUCUUCUUCUUGAUAGUGACCUAUAAUCAUAAAAAGAACUCAAGCUUUCUUUGGUAUCCAUAUUUUCUCAAGUCCAGGGGAGUUAGUAUUAAAAAUAGUCUUUACCCAAUCCCUUUUAACAGGUCUUCAAACCUUGGGACAUUUCUUUUCGAAAUGUUCUGAGCUGUUACACUUUGAACAUUUUAGAGCACUUCAGCCAACAGGUUUUACAAAAACAUUUUGGAAAUGAUUUUUAUAAUUUUUUUUUGUAGGUCUUUAUUUGAUUCUUUCCUUAACCUUGGGAAAAUCAAUUAAAUGAAUAGUAUCUAGUGUCAUACUCAAACCAGAUUUGUUAAAAUAAGGUCUUUGUACAGAAAGAAUUUUUUCUAACUUAGAUCCUUUUGAAAACCUUUUUGUGAUAUUUGAAAUGUCUUCUUUCAAAAAAAGCAUUUUCCUGUUUGUGUCUGACUAGUAGGUCGUAGGAAAAUUCCUUUUUGAGAGCCAACCUUUUUGUAGACUUUUGACCAAACUCAUUUUGGUAUCUAAACCCGUUGGCUAUAAAAUUUAGCUUUUGUGAAAUGUGUCCUGCUUUCCUAUCCCAUGUUGUUUGUUGUCAGGGGUUAUUUAUACGCUUUCGCAUAUGCAUUAAAAAUGAAUGGGUUGGCGACGCGUCUUCGGAACGUCGUAUUUGUAUCAACCACAAAGGGAUGUGCGCACGCUCGAGGUUUGGGGCAUGACAUCCCCGUUUUAGUGGCAUUAGAGCAAGUCAGUGUUUGGAGUGAUAAGGUGCGAUGAGUUCUUAGGAUACUUAGUAGGAAUGACCUAUAUUUUAUGCUGAUGUAUGUGAUUGAUAGCUGUUUGGUAAUUUGUUUGUGGAAUCACUCAGUUUCUAAUUCUAUAUGGAAUUGGGAACCGAUUUUGUAGAAAGUCCACAGCAUGAGUGAUCAAGAGCCGAGGACUCCUAGGAAGAGGACCAUAGCAUCUGCGACUCGGGCUAGGACACCAACAAGGGUAGGUACCCGAGGCGGUCGAGGUAGAGCGCAGGCUAAGGCCAACGCAAGUGGAGUAGCACCGCUUCCAGUCGGUGCAAGAGUAGUAGCCCCUAGUGAUCCUAAAAUCGAUGGGAUUAUGCAGGUGCUAGAAGCAAUGGGAAAUCGGAUGGAGCAGCAGGCUCAUAACCAAGCUACCAAUGUCUCCGCUUCAACUGCUGCUACUGCAGCCGCCACUAAUGCCGCCAAUGCCGCCGCUGAUGCCAUUGCAGCUGUCAUUGCCUGUCACGCCCCAAACCUCAAGCGCGCGCACAUCUUUCGGUGGUCGAUAGAAUUUUGCGAUAUUCCCAGGACUCGUCACCGACCCUUUUCAUUUUACUGCACAUGCGGAAGUUAAUUAACUAAUCCCCUUAUUACAACAAACAUGGGAUAGGAUAGUAGGACAACCAAUUUGAAAUCAAAUACACUUUCAUAAACACCUCAAGCUUAUACAGAAGGUCUGUCUCAUAAAGGACUACUAAGCCACCUAUGCUCCUGACCCUUCCGCUUCAAGCUCCGGGUUCUUCACACUGGGGACCUGAAAAUGGUUAUUCAGUAACCGGUGAGAUGUAAAUCUCAGCGAGUUCUUCCCCUAGUCCCCCGAUUAUUACACCAACUCAACUCGGGGUAUCUCUUCAGAACCAUCUCACAAACAAACCAAUGAUUAAUAAUCAACAAUCAAUAGUCGAUUCACAUACAUCCUUACCUAGUAUGCCAUACCCUGCACGUCAUAGCUCAGCACGAUACACGCAAUGCACAUGGCCAUUAAAUGAUGCAGUUCAUCAAUCACAUACGAAUCGCAUUACACACGAUCUCACUUGGCCAUUGCCACACAAAAGUGUUGUCUCAAGUAGAGGUGCGAACACACUGCCAUCCCUCAUCCCAGCCUAGUAUUGUCCUCUUUAGGCCUCUCACUGGCGCAGACGAACCGCCGUCCCAAUCGAGCCACCCCUUAAGGCUUUGUUCUCAGUAUAGCGGAAGCUUAUGUGAAACGCGUUAUCGAUUCAUGCAUGCGUACCAUAAACAGUGUGCUCAACUCAUGCAUGACUAGAACUAAAGACGCCAUGAUUCUCAUGCGUUCUUACACAUUAGUGCGCCACACAGCACAUAUCGAUCAAUCACAUGGAUCCCAGUUGGCACGGACUAGCUCACCAAGCAACGAGCUAAAAUGGACUACUAUCGCAAGGCAAUUCAGUUUGACCUGUUAGAGGGUGAGAACUUCGAGUUUGUCGGGAAUCGAGGAAGACCCUCGAUUAUCUUGAUCUUGUCGCUAGAGGCAACUCGUUUGUCAAGGGUGCCUGGCAACUGUCAUGGAUACGACAGUUGAGGAGCUGAAGAUGGAAGACAUUGCUAUGGUAUAAGAAUUUCCGGAUGUUUUCCCAAAGGAAUUGCCAGGAUUAUCAUCAGAGAGAGAAAUUGAGUUCAUGAUUGAGUUGGCACCUGGGAUAGAGUCAAUCUCUAAGGCUCAUUACCGAAUGGUGUUAUCUGAGCUGAAAGAACUGAAUGUGUAGAUGUAAGAGCUUUUGGAUAAGGGAUUUAUUCAUCCUAGUGCAUCACCUUGGGGAGCACCAAUUCUGUUCGUAAAGAAGAAAGAUGGUUCGUUGCGCCUGUGCAUCAACUAUCGACAACUCAUUCAGGUAGCGAUCAAGAACAAGUAUCCACUCCCGAUGAUUGAUGAUUUGUUUGAUUAGUUGCAAAUAAUGUUGAUAUUUUUGAAGAUCGACUUAAGGACAAGAUAUCAUCAGCUAAGGAUUAGAAUGAGGAUGUUCCUAAGUCGGCAUUUCGUACUUGGUAUGGUAUAUUUGAGGAGUGAGGAAGAGCACGAGAGUCGUCUGAGAUUAGUGCUGCAAACACUGAGAGUCCAUCAGUUGUACGCCAAGUUCAGUAAGUGCGAGUUUUGAUUAACUAAUAUUGCUUUCUUAGGUCAUGUGAUUUCAAGCGAGGGAAUCUCUAUGGACCCGAGCAAGAUAGAAGCCAUGAUCAAUCGGCCAAGAUCAACUACAAUGAGAGAAAUUAUAAGUUUUAUGAGUUUGGCAAGUUAUUAUAGAUGGUUUGUGGAAGGGUUCUCAUCUUUAGCAUCACCUUUAACAAGACUUCUGAAGAAAGAAGAGAAAUUCAUGUGGACAGACAAGUGUGAGCAUAGUUUUCAAGAGUUGAAGGAAAAACUGACUACCGCACUUGUGUUGACCAUUCCAUCUGGUCCUAGAGGAUUCGAGAUCUACAAUGAUGCGUCAUUCAAAGGGUUGGGUUGCGUGUUGAUGCAACAUGGUCGAGUUGUUGCAUACGCCUCCCGUCAGUUGAGACCUUAUUAAUAGAACUAUUUGACGCAUGACUUAGAGCUCGCGGCAAAUAUUUUCUCCCUGAAGAUUUGGAGACACUAUUUGUGUGGGGAAAGAUUUUAGAUCUUCAUGGAUCAUCAAAGUCUCAAGUACCUGUUCUCUUAGAAGGAGUUUAACGUGAGACAACGCAGAUGGAUGGAAUUACUAAAAGACUACGACUGUGAUAUCUUAUAUCACUCGGGAAAGGCGAACAAAGUUGCCGAUGCUUUUAGUCAAAAGUCUUUAGUCGCUCAUAUACUGAUUAAGGAGUGAAACCUAAUUGAGAGAGCUCGAGAUUCGGUAUUCAAAUUUGAGGUAGGCCGCUCUCAGAAUUGAAUCGGAUGUCCAUAUCAUAAUCAAACUACUCUAACCGACAUAUCUAGAUGUAUAGAAGAUUCUAUAAGAGGACACUGAGAAAAUAAAGGCUGAUUUUCAGAUUUCUGAUGAAGGAACACUGAGGUUCUGAGGACGUUUGGUUGUACCUAACGAUGUGGAGCUUAGAGAGGAUAUCUUGUCAAAAGCGCAUCGUAGCAGUUACAAUAUUCAUCCUGGUAGUACCAAGAUGUAUCAAAAUUUGUGUCAACACUAUUGGUGGUUAGGUAUGAAGGCGGACAUUGCUAAGCAUGUCGCCAAGUGUUUGACGUGUCAGCAGGUUAAAGCUCAGCAUUGCAAGCCGGGAGGACUUCUACAACCUCUCAAGAUCCCAUAAUGGAAAUGGGAGCAUAUCACGAUGGAUUUCGUGAAUAGACUACCGAGGAGCCAGAAAGGAAAUGAUUCGAUUUGGGUAGUGGUCGAUAGACUAACAAAGUUGGCUCACUUCAUUGCAGUUCGAAAGGACCUCAGUUUGGAUGAACACGUAGACUUGUACAUGUGUUAGGUGGUUCGACUGCAUGGAGUGCCGGUUACGAUAACUUCAGAUAGAGACUCGAGAUUUACCGCCGCUUUUUGGAAGAGAUUGCAUAGUGCUUUAGGUACCAAGCUGUAGUACAGUACGUCAUAUCAUCCUUAGACGGAUAGCCAGUCUAAGAGGACAAUUCAGAUCCUCAAGGACAUAUUAUGAGCUUGUGUAUUAGAUUUUAAAGGAAGUUGGGAAGAACAGCUACACCUGGUGGAAUUUGCCUACAACAACAGUUAUCAGCAGAGCAUCUAGAUGUCUCCUUUUGAAGCAUUGUAUGGCAGAUCGUGCAGAACACCAAUGUGUUGGGAUGAAGUGGGAGAAAGAAAGAUUACAGGCCUAGAGUUAGUUUAGAUGUCAGUGGAUGCAGUUGCAGUGAUCAGAGGCAGACUAAAGACCGCCCAAAGCCGAUAGNNNNNNNNNNNNNNNNNNNNNNNNNNNNNNNNNNNNNNNNNNNNNNNNNNNNNNNNNNNNNNNNNNNNNNNNNNNNNNNNNNNNNNNNNNNNNNNNNNNNAAUGGUUUAAAUUUCGAGGAAGAAAUUUUUAUAAGAGGGAAAGAGUUGUAACAUCUCAGAUUUUCAAUCCUGUUUUAUAUUUAAUAAAUUAGGCAUUUCAUUGACGUGUCUAUAGGGCUGUUCUCAGAGAUUAUCACUUUCAAGAUAACUAGACUAUAUGGGGAAGCCAUUAAGGAUUUGAAGGCAAAUAGACCUGAGAAUUCGACUAAGAAUCGGCUAUUCGACCGUGCUCAUCUUUAGAGGCCAUUAUGGUACAGUUAAAAAUCACUUGGAGAUUAGAGAUAGGUCGGUUCGAUUGAAAUGUGUGGCUAAACGUGGGUGACUCAACUAAUUUGGAAAAUUCUCAUUGGCUAGUAUUAAAUUGAUUUUUCUAUCGUUUUCGUACCCUAUGUCCAUAUUUGAAUCAUCGAGAUUUUCACGACAACUGAGAGUCGCCAAUGUGUUGAAUGGGUUCAUUGUGGCUCGAAAAAAAAUCAACCACGGGUCAUUUGCACUAAAUUUUUUUGAAAGUUACCCGGUAGCCUAGGUCAUACUAAAAUCGCGCCGACUGGAAAUUAACCGUGAAUUUAAGUCCGAUUUCAGAAAUUGAAAGUUCUGUCAUGUCACAAUUAAUUCUAGGAGCGUCAACUUAGUCUUAGAAGAUUUUUCUACAAACCAAGACUUUUUAGGAAAAAGUCGUCUUGGGACCGUUUUGUCCCGAAAAAGUCAAGGAUUAUUUUUUAAUGCACAAUUGGGAAGCAAGUGGGAUCAAUUAGUGAGGAAAAAUACCAAUUGGAUCUAUGAGGUAUUGAUUGAUUUUAUUGAGGCCGAAUUGUGUUGAAUUGAGUAAGAACAAGUGUCCAAUUGGUGAGGAAUUCAAGCAAAUUCGUAGCUCUCCCACCCUUAUUGGCUUUUGGACCAUGUCAAGUGUCCUAAGAAGAGCCUUGGUGGCUGAUUUCCAACCUAUGAAGGCACCUAGUGGUACAGGUUGGUCAAGGGGACAAUUGAGAGAAAUUUGGCCAAGUGGAUCCCUUGUCCCCUUAUCUCCUCUCUCCCUCUCCAAGCUACAACCAGCUCCUUUCNNNNNNNNNNNNNNNNNNNNNNNNNNNNNNNNNNNNNNNNNNNNNNNNNNNNNNNNNNNNNNNNNNNNNNNNNNNNNNNNNNNNNNNNNNNNNNNNNNNNCUGAGGAGCCCUGCCAUUGCACGCCAUACGCCAGAGCGCCGCCCGUCACCCACGCACGCUGCUCGCGCCUUUAGCCUUGCCAUCUCACCUAGUCGUGCAUGUAGCAGCUCAUUAGAAUGCCAUGGGCCACCGUUGGAGUCCCCGUUGCCGUCGUGAGUCACUGGCAUCGCUCGUUCGAGCUAUUGAGACCUCUGCCAGUCCACCGGCACUCUUGCCUCACCAUUUUGCAACCGAAUCAACCACCAUCCAGCCCCAAACAAAAGCUAAGGAAGUGGGUUUCCAACAAGAGUUUGGGCCCAUUUUAAGGUUGUUCCCAACCUCGAAAGUUAGGCCUGCUUUGGAGAGAAGUGAGCCCCAUUGCAUCCCCAACUAUUUGAGUUGAUCGGAUCGCGAAACAAGUGAGUUUAACUCACUAAUCAUCACUUAGUAGGUUAAUGACGCUUAAGAGCUUAUUAGAUUAAGUUAAGUAUGGUUAGGUGGAUAGUUAGAUUAGAUUAGUGAAAUUUAAUUAAUUGUCGAUGCAUGUUAGAUGGUUAGUUAGUGCAAUUAGGGCCUAGAAGAGCUCUAGUAUUUAUCUAGAGUGACUCGGAAAUUUUCCGGGUCCGUUAAUUUCCGAGUCCGUUUCGGCAUUCAAUUAGGCUCUUUCGGGCCUAAGUUGAUCUAUUGGUAUUUAUUUAAUAUUUUUUUCGUAAUUAUUUAAUUAUUUAUUUAUUUUCCGAAAAUUAGACCAGGAUAGCCAGUGACUAGAAUUUUAUACUGAUUGCUAUGGUGUGGUCCAUUUAUUUAAUUGAGCCCUAAAUUGUGUUGAACUAAAGUGAUUGUGAUUUUAGGAUUUUAUUCCUAAAUUUAUUUAAUUCCAAUAUUUAAUUGGAAAAUAACUAAGCGUUGGUUUACAACGCCAAAAAUAGUUUUGGUGGACCAUAUAAAAUGGUAGCAAUUAUGGAAAUAAAAUUAUGGUAUUUUGGCUAAGGCUGACCGUGUACCCAUACAUAACUAUUUUAUCGGGUAUUUUUAAUACAAAGAAAUAAAUCUAACAUAUGCCAAGUGGGGUUGUGAUUAUCACUAUUUCUUAGAUAUGCUGAGUGGGGCCGUGAUUAUCACUAUUUCUUAAAUACGCCAAGUGGGGCCGUGAUUACCACUAAAUUUAAGUAUGCCUGUGAGGCCGAGAUUCAUAAUUGAAGUGAGUAAUGGAAUUGACUGUGUGAAGGUCUUGAUGACAUGUAAUCGACUAGAUCGAUUGAUCGAUGAGUCGAUUUGAGUAAACAAGUUAAUUUUUUGAUGUGACUCGAUGAGAUUAUGAAUUGUGUUGAAUUGCAAGGAGGAACUGAGGUCAAGGUAAGUCCUCUGAUCCGUGUUGUGCUUAAGCAGCCCUUAGGGUGUAUUUUCUUCAUAAUCGAGUCUUAGGUGGUAGAACUCGCUGAAACGUCGUCUCACCCUUUUGUGGGAUAACAUUUCAAGUUCCUAGAUGGCAGCCCCUCCAAACCCUCCUGAAUAUUUUGGGCAACCCAAGAAGUUUAUUGAGACAGGUUACCACAUUCCGAUACACCACCACCCCAAGGGACUUGAGUAUGUGCUAAUAAAGUCCAUAGUCUAGGUAAUCGUGGGUGAACCCAAAAAGGUGCCCCAUGAAUGCCGGGCGUGGUAUCACCAUUAUUUUGAUGGGCGAAGGGUGGGUCUGAUAUCGGAAUUGGAAGUACCACCAUAUGCACUGGAGGUUGCGUUCGGGAAUGGUACUGCUGAUCCUAAAGGUGGAUCGGUGGUAGAUGCGAAGGACCCCAAGCUCGAAGGUGAUUCUGACUUGCCGGUGAACUUAGCCGUGGGCUCUAGCUGGAGCGAGGAAGAAGGAGAAAUCGUUGAAGAGGAGGAGGAGCCGAAGGAGGAUUUGGAGGAGGACCCAGGAGAGGAUUGAACCCCCACUCCUGUCUUGCAAACCCUAUGUUGGGAUGGACCUGACUUUUGUUAAUCGUAUUGUAAUAUUUACUAUAUGGUUUGCAUUGUAUAAAAGUGUGGUUGUGAUUUUUCAGGUGUGAAAAUUGUAGCCCUACUUUUCUAUCCCAUUAUUUUAUUGUCUGGGGAUUUUAUAUAUGUUUCCACAUGCGUAUUAAAAUGAAUGGGUCGAUGAUGUGUCCUAGGACAUCGCUAUUUAAUUGACCGAGCCGGGAUGGCCACGCACCCGAGGAUUGGGGUGUGAUGAUCAAAACAUCCAAUAGCAAAACUUAGAGGAUCUCACCACUUUCCAUAGACGAACUCCUGGGACUACUUCAAUCAUAUGCAGUGGAAUGUCUAAAUGAGGAGGGUGAAUCUAAAGGUAAGAAAAUGAUUGCGUUGAAAUUUAACUAUGAUUCUGACGAUAUGGAUUCUAAGGAUGAUGAGAAAGAUGACGAGGAAAUAGCUCUCAUGGUGAAGAAAUUUGACAAGAUGGCCAAGAAAGGAAGAAAAUUCAAAGGGAAAAGACCUUUCAAAUCAUUUGAUCAAAAGAAAAACUUUAAUGAAAGAGAAGAUAACAAAGAGGUGAUCUGCUUUGAAUGCAAGAAGAAAUGACACAUAAAGCUGAAUUGCCCUCUAUUGAAGAAAAAGAAAAACAAGUUUGAGUAAGGUAAUGAAGCACUAAAGGCUAUAACUUGGAGUGAUAUGGAGUGCGAAGAAAGAGAUAAAGAAUACGAUGAAGAAUACGCCUACAUCUAUUUGAUGACAAAUUCAUAAUCAGAAGAUGAAAUCAAGGUAAAUAAUUUCGAUAUACUUGAAGAAGUCUCAAAUUACAUAGAUGUGUUAUGUUCUGAUUACAAAACUGCACUUAGCAAGAUUUCUGAAUUGAAAAAGGAAAAUUUGAAAUUGAAGCAACAUGAUCUUUUUCAAAAGGAAAGGAUUGAAACUCUUGAGAAAAAUCUUUCCAAAUCUCAAGAGAAUCAAGACCUUUGUUUGAAGGAAUAUAAGCAUUCAAAAAAGGAAGUUUCUGAUGUUACGAAAAGAUUUUCCAUCGGUUCAAAAACCUUAGAACAUAUUCUUUCAAUUCAAAUACCUUAUUACAACAAGUUUGUUUGUGGUUGCAAAAUCACAAAUGAUUUGCAAAAUGAAUUUCCAAAAUUUAAAGAAAUAAUAAGACAAAGACCUUCGAAAAUUUUUUACAAACAUCUUUUUUAAAAAGAAAUUCUAAAACCUGUUGGUUGGAAUUUCCUUAAGUGCUUCAUAUGCAAGAAUUCAAAUCAUUUUGAAAAUGAUUGCCUAAAAGGUUGGAAAUUAAUUCAGAUAAACUUUCUAAGUAUGGCUGAACCGUCUAACCAAAAACGAUCCAAACAAAUAUAUGUACCAAAGAAAGCUUGAAUUUGUUUGGUUGAUUGCAGCUACCAAAGAAAAAGGGAAAUAAAUGGUACCUAUAUAGUGGAUGCUUAAGACACAAAACAGGAGAUCCAUCCAAGUUCGUUGAAAUUUCAAGAUACAAUGGUGGAAGUGUACCUUUUAGUGGCAACAACAAAGGAAAGAUAGUUGGCAACGGCAUGAUCAAAAUAGGAAGUCUUACAAUCAAAGACGUCUCGCUAGUCAAUGGACUAAAUCACAACCUACUCAGCAUCAGUCAACUCUGUGACGUUGGCUUCAAAAUUUGUUUCCAAGAAGACAAGUGCCCUAGAACAAGUCAAGAUAACAAACAAUCCUUUAUCGGAAGAAGACAUGGAAAUAUAUAUAUAUAUAUAUAUAUAUAUAUAUAUAUAUAAAUUUUGAUGAUAUACAAUGUCUAGUAUCCAUCAAGGACGAGUCAGAUUUUCGGUAUAGAAAACUUGGGCAUAUCAACGCCAAACAAAUCCAGAAGUUGUCGACAAAGAAACUUGUACGAGGAUUAUCAAAUGUUAGAUUUGAAAGAUUUGAGACUUGCUCAGUUUGUCCUCUUGGGGAACAGGCGAGAAGUUACGUUAAAUCCAUUAAUUAUGUUACUGCUAAACGCAUAUUGCAGCUUCUUCAUAUGGACAUCUUUGGACCAACAAGAAUUCAAAGCCUUAGAGGGAAAAUGUAUUGUCUAGUCAUCAUUGAUGACUACACCAAAUACACUUGGGUUUUCUUUCUCACACAUAAGCAUGAACCUUUUUCACAUUUUUCAAAAUUUGUAAAAAUGGUUCAAAAUGAAAAGGGUUACAUGAUUUUUUUACAUCAAAAUAGAUCAUGGAGUGAAUUUGAGAAUCAAAGUUUUUCUGAUUUUUGUGACGAAAAUGGUUUUGAGCAUCAAUUUUCGACUCUUUACACCCUCAAGUAAAACAGUGUUGUAGAGAGGAAAAAUCUUCUUUGUAAGAAAUGGCAAUAACUCUUUUAAUAGAAGCAAAGUUGCAUCAUAUCUUUAAGCAAAAGCUGUUUCUACUACUUGCUAUAUUAUAAAUCGUGUUCUUCUCAGACUUUCUUUAGAUAAAACUCCCUAUGAGCUUUUUAGAGGUAGAAAACCAGACAUAUCAUAUCUUCAAGUAUUUGGCUGUAAGUGUUUUAUUCUUAGGAAUGCUAAAGAUUAGCUUGGAAAGUUCAAUGAAAAGUUAGGUGAAAGAAUCUUCUUAGGAUAUUUGUCCAUCAGCAAGGCCUUUAAAGUUUACAACAAAAAUUCUCACAUGGUGGAAGAAUCAAUCAAUGUGAAAUUUGAUGAGAACAAUCAAGGUUUUGUAGAAGAUUCUAAAACUCCUCAACAAGAAGAGUUUGUCUAGCAGUUGCAAAAGCUUCAGAAGAUACUAGAAUAAGAAGUUCAAGUUCAAACAUCCAGUGAGCCCAAAAAGCAAUAUGAAGUAGAGGAAAUUCCAAGAUUUGAUGAAGAAUACAACAAAAACCGGAAGCACAAAUUGAGUCACCCAAAGGAUCUCAUCAUUGGGAAUAUUGAGGAUAAGAUCAGAACCAGAUCAACUUGGGAAGAUGAUAUCAGUACUUUAGCACUCAUUUUAGAAGUUGAGCUGAAAGGGAUUGAGAAAGCUCUCUUAGACAAAAUCUAGCUAGGAACUAUGCAGGAAGAGCUUAAUCAGUUUAAAUUGAAUGAAGUUUGGGAGUUAGUACCAAGGUCAAAGGAUUAUUCAGUAAUUGGAACAAAAUAAGUGUUUCAAAAUAAGCUAGAUGACAAAGGCAAUGUCACAAGAAAUAAAGUAAGGUUUAUGGCUAAAGGCUACUCUCAAGAGAAAUGAAUAGAUUACGAUGAGACAUAUGCUCUAAUGACAAAGUUAGAGGCCAUCGGACUUUUACUUGCUUAUGCUUGUUCUCUUGAUUUUAGACUUUUUUCAGAUAGACGUGAAGAGUGCUUUCUUGAAUGGUUUCAUCAAAGAGAAGGUGUUCAUGGAACAACCUCCUGGAUUUGAAGAACCUAUAUAGUCUGAUCAUGUCUUAUGAUUGAAGAAAACAUUAUAUGGUUUGAACAAGCUCCCAGAGCUUGGUGCGAAAGGCUCAAGAAUUUCCUCAUCCAAAAUGGUUUUGACAAAGGUAAUGUGUACACUAUUCUCUCCAUAAGAAAAAAAAAGGUAAGGAUAACUUGUUAGUUCAAAUAUACGUUGAUGAUAUUAUCUAUGGAUCUUUCAAUGAGAAUCUUUACAACAAAUUCGCAAGCUUGAUGCAUGAUGAGUUCGAGAUGAGCAUGACAGGGGAAAGUCAUUUCUUCCUUGGGCUUCAAAUAAGACAAGAGAAGAAUGGCACUUUCAUCUUUCAAGAAAAGUAUGCCAAAAAACUCAUGAAGAAGUUCAAGAUGGAAAUUCAAAAAGGAUAGAAAUGCCAAUGUCUCACUUAUCAAAGCUAGACAAAGAUGAGACGGGUAACAAGAUUGAUCAGAUUUUGUAAAUAAGUUCUUUAUUAUAUCUAUAGCCGUCGUGAUCAGACCUUCUAUCGGCCCUCCCUUGGCAAGAAGGGGAAAAAAGGUUGGGUUUAAAGGUACUUGACCAUGGGAGCUCCCUCAUGGUACAUAUUCCAAAAGACAUCAUUGCUUCAUCUUUCGAGUUGGACCAUUGUGAGUUUGCUCAAUUACGGUCAUGAGCUCUCCCAAAUUCGUACCUCGCAUGACAACGGAAAGGUGUCAUGAUUCGUAUCCACAUGGAUGAUACACCUUGAGAAAGGAGAUUGGAUGUGAAUACCAAAUUUAGAGGUAUCGUUACCGUGGUAGUCCUCCCAAUAGUACUCUCUUCCCUAAGGAUGGUAUCACUUCAUCCAUUAUGAGCUUUUCAUAUCGGACAUGCUAAACUAUGAUGGGCCUCAUCGAGACCCAUACCCCUUAUGACGGGUUCAUUUAUUAUCUAGUUGUUUAAAACAACCCAUAUAAAAGUUAGGAGUCACCACUAGCCUCGUUUUUAGGGGUUGGCUAGAAAAGCCAAUCGAGGGUCGAGAAUAAUCCAUCAAUUUCUACGCAAUUAGAGAUUCUAGGGUUCGAGGACUUGGGUUACGCCAAUACUUCUAUUAGCGCCCUUUCAGUACUUAACGGUUUGUCGUGUUGUUUGAGGUGUCCAUGCAUGUCUUUUUACUUUUUCAGGUCAAUGAAGCUAACUAAGUGAUCAUGCGUGGAUGGUUAAUUUCAUGCAAUUAUAGUUCUAUGAAAAGAGAAAAGUAAACAAUGAAUUGGAAUUUAAAGACAAUGUGGUAAGUAAACAAUCAAGAAAAUAAUUUAUGGAUAGUGAUAAAUCUAACAUGCAAUACUAAACAAAAUUUAGAAAAGAUAGAAAUAAACCCACAACUCGUCAAACAUUUAUACAACAUGAGACAAUUCGAAGCAUUUAUCAAGGAAUCAAUUUGAUACAAAAACAAGGUUGGAUUGGACGUCAACUAUUCGUCACGUUCAUGUCUUGGGGAGUCUCCACUACAAGUGAGCAUCAGUCUAGGGUCAACCAUGAACCAUCCCUGGACCAGUUCAACCCUAUCGGUCUUGGUCCGGUUCCUAUGGGGACUAGAUCGGUCCUUAGUCUUGGGAACCCUGGAUUAGCACUGUACAAGUUGAUCAUCGAUCCUGAGAGUUUAAGGUCAAUCCAACCUUGCCCAAUCUUAACUAUAUAUAUAAUGUAUAAUAUAUCUAAAAUAUAUUAUAUAUUAUGUAUCUAAUAUAUUAUUUAUAAUUUUUUAUACAAAGAAAACCCUAAGUUAAACGGUAUCAACAGCAUUAAACGGCUCCUUAGUGAAGAGUCUAAGUAAUUUUACACUGUUCUUUAAUAGCUUAGACUUCGUCUUUUAUGGCAUUAACAACCAUAAUUUACAAAAAAGGAAAACGUCACUAUGAGGAGUCAUCACGGCGUCCAAAAUGGCAUAAACAGCUCCUCACAUUAUCCUCAUUUAGUACUCAUUCUCUAUUGUCUUCUUUGUCCUCUUAGUCUUCAAUUUGUCAAAAUCGAAAGAAACAACAUUCCCACUUGCCCCACUUACCGCUCGACGCUUGCCUCGCUCGGUGCUAAUGCUCGUUGCUCACGCCACUUGCCUCUCUUCACUGACCUCGAUCGUUGCUGAACCCAUUGGGUCAAUACGGUCCUCAGUCACCUUUUUAGGGAGUACAAAAAAUGAAACAAAAAAAAUUAUUGGUUGGUUUUGGAUUGAACUUGGAACUUAACUAAACCCAUUUCGGUCCUCGGUCCCAGGCUCAAUAGGGUCAAUCCUCGGUCCCAAAAAUUGAAGACCAACACCGUGCAGGUUGGUCCUAGGAUUAGGGGGUGGACCGCCCUAACCUAGACCAUGCUCACCUUUAGUCUCCACCUCUAUAGACCUAUUUUAAACCUAAUCUAAAACUAAGACUAUAAAAGUCCUUACAAAGAUAUAGAAUUUCUUCUUGUAUUCAUGCAGCUGUAACAGUGGCUUUUGCAGAUUUAUCCGCCCAGGAGAAGGAUUUCCUCCGAUACUGUUUUUGAAGAAUUAUGCGGAAAGGCCUUCACCUGCUAUUUUAAUUGCUCGAGCAUGCUUCUUUCCUGCAAACGUUAUAAUGGUUAUUUUAAAUGCUGUGGCAUAUUUUAUCUUGUCUCGUAAUGGAAAUGAGUUAUCUUCAAGGACUAAUGAAGGAAAAAAAAUAUGACGCUUUGUGCAACCCUUCUCAUUUCAUUUACCUUGUCAGAUUAGAUUCAGUUAGUUUGUCUUCGUUUUCGCAUAUUUCAUGUGCAAUUAUGCUCGACUGGGUCAGGGUACAAGAUGGAAGUUCGAGGUAUUAUGCAAAAGAAAAUCACAAAGCAAGUCGUCUACAUCAACUAUUAAACCGUGAAGCAUUUUAAUUUUUUUGAUGAAACGUGUCCGUAGAUGAGCUGAAAAAUGGCAUUGGGCAUGGGUGUCUUAACAAAAGUGUAGUGUUUAGAAAUAGGGGGUACUGGUUAGGUGUGCUGAUAAAUAUAGUGCGUUUGUAGACGCUUAAAAAGAAAAAUGAAUGUCAAUAAGAAGUUAUAGCAAGUGAAGGCCCAGAAUUGGGCUUUACGAAAUGCUGAGGCAUUUACAGUAAAAGCAGAAAAAAUUCAGAGUAUACAUUGCAUAUUGAGUAGAAGCUUUUUUUUUUUUUUUUGUCAGUCCUACUCUAUUCCUACUCUAUACUCACUCUCAAAUUUUUGCCCGACCUCUUGCAACGCGUGGGAGUCAAAACCCACUCUUGAAACUUACACGUCUCCACCCCAUCCCCCCUUGAGAAGGUGGGGUUUUGAACCCCUCACCUCCCCCUUCCAUGUUUGAAGGGUGGCCACUGGGGCGAAUCCCAGUAGUUAUAUUAAGUAGAAGUUUGAACCCUUGUGGUAGCAACACCCUUGGAAAGAAGGGAAAGAAAAAAAAAACUCUAUACCGUUCCAUUUAUUUUCUUAAAUUUUACAUCAACUCGGUGUCUGGAACUCUUUAAGCACUAGCUUCUCUUCAUCGAAUGGUGGUGAUCCUUUAUUAUUGAAGCAAACUCUUCCCGUUUAACUCCAUUUUCUUUAAAGGUGCAUUUUUGUAUAAGCAACGCGGUUUGCGCUUGCUCCCAGUCAUUCGACCUGGUGAGAGAUUUCACCAUGAGUUGACAUGUGGCACUUUCUAAGGGACAACAUGUCUCUCUUUUGAACUUUCCAAUUUGCUCUUCAUGUUCAACUUUAACCUUCAUUUAACUUCUUAUUUCCUCCUCAUUCAUCUUAUUUUUAUUAAAUUUNNNNNNNNNNNNNNNNNNNNNNNNNNNNNNNNNNNNNNNNNNNNNNNNNNNNNNNNNNNNNNNNNNNNNNNNNNNNNNNNNNNNNNNNNNNNNNNNNNNNNNNNNNNNNNNNNNNNNNNNNNNNNNNNNNNNNNNNNNNNNNNNNNNNNNNNNNNNNNNNNNNNNNNNNNNNNNNNNNNNNNNNNNNNNNNNNNNNNNNNNNNNNNNNNNNNNNNNNNNNNNNNNNNNNNNNNNNNNNNNNNNNNNNNNNNNNNNNNNNNNNNNNNNNNNNNNNNNNNNNNNNNNNNNNNNNNNNNNNNNNNNNNNNNNNNNNNNNNNNNNNNNNNNNNNNNNNNNNNNNNNNNNNNNNNNNNNNNNNNNNNNNNNNNNNNNNNNNNNNNNNNNNNNNNNNNNNNNNNNNNNNNNNNNNNNNNNNNNNNNNNNNNNNNNNNNNNNNNNNNNNNNNNNNNNNNNNNNNNNNNNNNNNNNNNNNNNNNNNNNNNNNNNNNNNNNNNNNNNNNNNNNNNNNNNNNNNNNNNNNNNNNNNNNNNNNNNNNNNNNNNNNNNNNNNNNNNNNNNNNNNNNNNNNNNNNNNNNNNNNNNNNNNNNNNNNNNNNNNNNNNNNNNNNNNNNNNNNNNNNNNNNNNNNNNNNNNNNNNNNNNNNNNNNNNNNNNNNNNNNNNNNNNNNNNNNNNNNNNNNNNNNNNNNNNNNNNNNNNNNNNNNNNNNNNNNNNNNNNNNNNNNNNNNNNNNNNNNNNNNNNNNNNNNNNNNNNNNNNNNNNNNNNNNNNNNNNNNNNNNNNNNNNNNNNNNNNNNNNNNNNNNNNNNNNNNNNNNNNNNNNNNNNNNNNNNNNNNNNNNNNNNNNNNNNNNNNNNNNNNNNNNNNNNNNNNNNNNNNNNNNNNNNNNNNNNNNNNNNNNNNNNNNNNNNNNNNNNNNNNNNNNNNNNNNNNNNNNNNNNNNNNNNNNNNNNNNNNNNNNNNNNNNNNNNNNNNNNNNNNNNNNNNNNNNNNNNNNNNNNNNNNNNNNNNNNNNNNNNNNNNNNNNNNNNNNNNNNNNNNNNNNNNNNNNNNNNNNNNNNNNNNNNNNNNNNNNNNNNNNNNNNNNNNNNNNNNNNNNNNNNNNNNNNNNNNNNNNNNNNNNNNNNNNNNNNNNNNNNNNNNNNNNNNNNNNNNNNNNNNNNNNNNNNNNNNNNNNNNNNNNNNNNNNNNNNNNNNNNNNNNNNNNNNNNNNNNNNNNNNNNNNNNNNNNNNNNNNNNNNNNNNNNNNNNNNNNNNNNNNNNNNNNNNNNNNNNNNNNNNNNNNNNNNNNNNNNNNNNNNNNNNNNNNNNNNNNNNNNNNNNNNNNNNNNNNNNNNNNNNNNNNNNNNNNNNNNNNNNNNNNNNNNNNNNNNNNNNNNNNNNNNNNNNNNNNNNNNNNNNNNNNNNNNNNNNNNNNNNNNNNNNNNNNNNNNNNNNNNNNNNNNNNNNNNNNNNNNNNNNNNNNNNNNNNNNNNNNNNNNNNNNNNNNNNNNNNNNNNNNNNNNNNNNNNNNNNNNNNNNNNNNNNNNNNNNNNNNNNNNNNNNNNNNNNNNNNNNNNNNNNNNNNNNNNNNNNNNNNNNNNNNNNNNNNNNNNNNNNNNNNNNNNNNNNNNNNNNNNNNNNNNNNNNNNNNNNNNNNNNNNNNNNNNNNNNNNNNNNNNNNNNNNNNNNNNNNNNNNNNNNNNNNNNNNNNNNNNNNNNNNNNNNNNNNNNNNNNNNNNNNNNNNNNNNNNNNNNNNNNNNNNNNNNNNNNNNNNNNNNNNNNNNNNNNNNNNNNNNNNNNNNNNNNNNNNNNNNNNNNNNNNNNNNNNNNNNNNNNNNNNNNNNNNNNNNNNNNNNNNNNNNNNNNNNNNNNNNNNNNNNNNNNNNNNNNNNNNNNNNNNNNNNNNNNNNNNNNNNNNNNNNNNNNNNNNNNNNNNNNNNNNNNNNNNNNNNNNNNNNNNNNNNNNNNNNNNNNNNNNNNNNNNNNNNNNNNNNNNNNNNNNNNNNNNNNNNNNNNNNNNNNNNNNNNNNNNNNNNNNNNNNNNNNNNNNNNNNNNNNNNNNNNNNNNNNNNNNNNNNNNNNNNNNNNNNNNNNNNNNNNNNNNNNNNNNNNNNNNNNNNNNNNNNNNNNNNNNNNNNNNNNNNNNNNNNNNNNNNNNNNNNNNNNNNNNNNNNNNNNNNNNNNNNNNNNNNNNNNNNNNNNNNNNNNNNNNNNNNNNNNNNNNNNNNNNNNNNNNNNNNNNNNNNNNNNNNNNNNNNNNNNNNNNNNNNNNNNNNNNNNNNNNNNNNNNNNNNNNNNNNNNNNNNNNNNNNNNNNNNNNNNNNNNNNNNNNNNNNNNNNNNNNNNNNNNNNNNNNNNNNNNNNNNNNNNNNNNNNNNNNNNNNNNNNNNNNNNNNNNNNNNNNNNNNNNNNNNNNNNNNNNNNNNNNNNNNNNNNNNNNNNNNNNNNNNNNNNNNNNNNNNNNNNNNNNNNNNNNNNNNNNNNNNNNNNNNNNNNNNNNNNNNNNNNNNNNNNNNNNNNNNNNNNNNNNNNNNNNNNNNNNNNNNNNNNNNNNNNNNNNNNNNNNNNNNNNNNNNNNNNNNNNNNNNNNNNNNNNNNNNNNNNNNNGUGAUAUAGUUUGUUACAGAUGUGUUGUGUAAUAGCCACGCCUCCAAGUCAUAAUGCGUCAGGCGGACGAGUACACAAGUUUACUUUUGUUCUUAUUCUUGUUUGAGCAAACAAAAAUUAUCUAGAUUAUAAAUGUGAAGAUGAUAGUAUUGAAUUUUAACAUAUGUAGAAAUAAUUUUGGCCGUGACUUUCAUGAGUCAUAAUUAGUCGUUCCAUCUUCACUUGGUGGCUUUUUGUAUAUUUAGGUUAUUUUCAUAUAAUUUGUGAUAAAAUCUCUUUAAAAAAAUUACUACUUCACUAAUACUUACCAACUCGGCUCUCCACUUAUUUAUACGAUGACUCAAAUUUGACUAAAUAAUUUGAUGCAGGGUUGACACUUGAUCCAUUGUACAAGUACCGCCUAAUAUAGCUUUGAUUUUUUCUAUCUCUUAUUUCUUUUUGCAUUUCUGAAAAAUUAUUAAAAUAGAAUUAACUGAUAAAUAGCUUCAAAGUCUCGAGCGUUGUUGCAAUGGGUACAAUGCUUCUGACAAAUGCUUUAACAUCAAAUAUAUAAUCUUUAUUCUCAUUCUGAUUUAUAUUGAAAUAUAGAGAUCCUAACUCAUGAUUAAAAAAACUUCAUUCUAUAAAAUAAUUUAAUUGUUUAAUCGUUCCUGAUUUGAUAAAGUCUAAUCUAAUUAUCUAAUGACAUCUAACAUUGUUAUGUUCCAUUAUGUUCAUGUCAUAAGCACAAACUGUAGAAUAUUAUAAGUUGAAUCUUCAAACAUAUCAUCAUAUGAAUAAAAACAUGCAUUUUAAAGUGCAUAUUAGAUGGAUGAAAGAAAAAAAAAAGGUACAUAUAGAUAGGUGUAUUACUAUAUGUAGUUAGGUAAAGCGAUCGUGAACCUGGGCUCUUCCUUUCUUUCAAGUUCUAUGGGCCGAAAUUGUCACUUUAACCAUGAAUUGUGAGCAACGACUUGGACUGAGAGCGUAUUGGACUAGGCUCUUCUUGUGGACUUUGCAAUUUGGACAGGCACGGAAUCAACCCCUUUUUGUUACUUUUUUUUUUUUUUUUUUUUUUUUUUUUUUUUUUUCAUUUGGUUUCAUUUAUGCACACUUUUAAUAAAAACUACUAAAUGGCCUUUUUUUUUUUCCGUUUUGCUUAAAAUGUCGAUACCAUCACAUGGUCAACGCUAGCAUGUGUAGUUUUUGCAAUUCUUUUUUAAAUUUUAUGAUUUUUUUCAUCAUUUUCUAUGAGUGAAGGUCACCCUCCCUUGCCCGCAUUCGGGGAGCAUAGGCCUUGCGAGGGUAGUGUAACACCAAGGAAUCAAAGUCAUAGUCGCUCAGAUCCAACUUGGCCAAGUGGAUCCGUGUAGUUUGCAACGUGAGACUCAUGCUUCUUGAGCAUAUCCUCCCUCAACAUCUCUAACAAGCCCGACCCAAAAGCCAUCUUGGAGCUCUCCUAGCGGGUGUGUAUCAAGGUCACCCUUGCUAGAGGCCAAUGAGGACAUCCCAAUAUUAAGGACAUACAUAACAAAAUUUUUGAAACAUAAAUUUAUUAAUUUAUAUUUCUUGAACGAGUUUCUGAGCAAAAAAAAGCAUUUAAUAACGGCUCAAAAUUUCUAUUUUUGGAAUAGAAUAAAAUUUAUAUUCCUAAGGAUGGUAGCGGUCGACAACCGGCAGCCAACAGCCUAUGGCUAAAGUUCAACAGCAGGUGGUUGGUGUUCGAUGCUCGGUGUCCCAUAGGUGGCAGGUGUGUAGCAAGCAGUGACGAGAUUGAAAGAUGAGAAAAAUUUUAAUUUCUUAUUUUUGUUUUAAAAAUUAAAAAAAAAAGUUAAAAAUUUUAACUUGUGAUUUCUACUUCAAAUCUAUUUAUGGAAUAAAAAAUCUAUUUCAAAAAUAUAAAAAUAAAAUUGUAUUAUCAAACGAAUUUAAAAAAAUAAAGAAAUAAAGAAACAGAAAUUUUGUCAUGCAUUCCCUAACAUAACUAACAUUUUUUAGGUGAUCACUCUACAUUGAAAAUCUAUACCUAUGAUGGAGAACAUAGUAUGUCCUGUAGUGUUGAGAAGAGUGUUCCAGAGAGACGAGAGAAGUGUCAACUGACGUGCGUCGAAACUGAGCGGCACAUAAGAAUCAACAGCAUGAGAUUGAGAGGGUUGUGACCAGGAAGGGACUGAUUGGGUUGCGGACAGGAAGAGGCUGAUGAACUUACAGCAUUGCUCCAGUUCGGCACGUCUGCCAAUGAAAUCUCUCUCCCAGCACCUUCAUUGCUUUCGGUCAAGGGCUGAUGCGGAUUCCGUGCAAGGUUGGAUGACCCUUCAAAAUUGCUAGAUCCCUCUGCUCUUCCACUUUAUUUCAAUGCUUCUCGGGCUUCUGAUCUCACUGGGGGAGGGACGGCCCCGCAGCCCUUGAUUUCUUUUCCAGCAGAUCCAGCUAAGUGGUGCUUUGAUCCUCACCGCGCCUCCCGAAUACUUCUUCAGGCCGAAGUCACGCUCCCACUUGUCCUCAAGCAGAACCUCAACAUGCCGCCACACCCGAUCCUUCCUUCUCGGCGUGUCUCUGGAUCAAACAGAAGGGUCAAUUGGGCGUUUUUUUUUUUUUUUAGCUUUGAGGAAUUGAACGUCUCGAUACUAUAUCAGUAUUUUUCAUUCAUACGUUGACUAGGUGUUCAGGUAUUAUACGGAUUCAUCAAAUGACCUUUUUUUCUCUUUUCUCUUUUUUCUUUACUAUUUCAAGUCUAUUACUUCUUAUAUUAUCACAAAAAUUUUAUUACAUAAUUUCAUUUGCUGUUAUAUCAUCUAAAUGAAGAUUUGAAAUAUAGUUUAACUAAAUAGAAAUGCUAAACAUUACAUAGAAUAACCUAAGACCUUAUUUGAGACUGAAUUUGUUAUUUCAGGUCUUUAUUUGAAACUAAAUUUGUCAUUUCGGGGCUUUAUUAAAGACAACAUCCACUUUGAACCAUUUUUUGAAAAAAAAUGAUUUUAUUUUAGACUGUUAUUUAGAAUUUUCACUUGUGUUGAAAAUAUGAUCAGAUAUUGUGAAAGAUACUGAUUGCGGCGUUGAUCUUGAUUGUGAUUCUAAUAAAUUCAAUCAAUCUGUGGCUAUUUUGGAGGACAGGAAAAUCAUAAUCUUUGUAUAUUAUUUCCUUUUUUUUUUUUUUUGUCUUUACAUUACAAAUAGGCUGAUGUAUUUGUAUACAAGUCAGACAAUACAAUCUACAAAAAUCCUCCACUUCUCCUUCGUUUUGUUUCAUGGUAAAAUCAAAGCAACCGUUUACGAUCUAGCUUCCGCAAACCCUCGAAGUGCCUCCUUUUCUUUCCGAUUUGCUGUUGCAAACUAAGCCUUGCCUUGCAAAAUAAAUCAGCACCCGGUAAGAAUUCACGAUCGACAUAUCAUGACAAAGGACAAGAACAUGGUUACUAGAGAAAACUCUUCAAUGGAGAAAGCCCAAAACUCACCUCAAAACAAGGAUGCAGAUCAAAUCGAUCCGAUCAGAGAUGGAGGCCGCCUUUGCUGGUAUUGAGUGAGGGUUUUCUCACUUGAGCUGGGUGGGGCAAGGGAUCUAGCUUAGGCGACCCUCGCCCUCUUUGGCAUUAGGGGAGGGUCACCCUCGUCUGUGGCCCUUGCACGACACCAGUGAGGGCGACCCUCGUCCAACGUCGAAGGAGGUGAGAAUUACCCUUGCCAUAUCCGACGAGGAGCACCCUCACUUGACAGCCGAUGCUAGUGUCGCAAGGGCUGCCCUCGCCCGAUGCCGGUGAGGGUGGACCUCUCCUAAGUGCAGUGACCUCCACCAUGGCCAAUGGAGGGAAAAGGGAAAACAAAGAAAUAAAUGGAAAAAAUAAAUUAAAAGACGAAAAUACCAUUUGGUCUGAGAGAAGUUAGGCCUUUUUUGAAAUUAAUAUAGCCACUUCAAGCUCUUAUUUAAGAUGAUUUGAUGACUUUGGGCACUUACUUGAAAUAAUGUCAAUUUCAAGAUUUUAUUUAAAGAAAUAAGAGUACUUCAAACUAUUAUUUGAAAUUUUUCCUUAUUUUUUUUUCCUUAAAAAGGUUCUCCGCAAUUGUGAAGCUGCCUUGAGUCGGCAGGUUUAUGUGUAAAUUAACUUGAACGAAUCAAACGUCUUUUUCCCGUCAGAAAAGUCAAACCAAUCUUUCCACGUUUAAAACGCAUUGAAAACCUCUGCGUGGCAACUCAAAGCACAAAACAAAUUUCCUCGCUUUCUGGUGAAGAAUUUUUCAAAGGUAUUAUUCCUGGAGAAUUUUUCGGAGGAAGAAUGUUUGAAGAAUCUUUCGAACGGUUUUAUUCGUGAAGAAUUAUUGAAGAAUUUUUCGAAGGUAUGUUCUUAGCCUACUGCUACUCUUACACUCUCAUGACACAUGAGAGUGACUUGAAAAUAUAUAUAAUCCUGGGCUCGGCUACCUCGAGCCCCCAAGCCGCCGCCAUCUCCAUCCUUGCGCCACCGCCCCACCGUGGCCACCAUGGUCCACGGCAAAGCUAUUGAGCAGCAGACCAUAUUUGGCCGUUGAGCGACGACGGUUCCAAAUUUGGAAGUUCACUGACCUCUGCGUCUCCCCCUCUAUCAUUGUGUGUGAACGAGCCGUCGUCGCUGGUGGCCAAGGCUCCAGAUCUGGCACAAAUGGAACUUUUUCUACCCAAUCGUUUUCUGUUCUGGUCGCAUUUUGCGACAGAACAAACCUGCACCCUUUCAAUCCGUGGAUAUUCUGUUGAGUGGUGGAAGGAGAGACCAGCUUCAGCCAUUGGUUCUCUUCCGACCAAAUCCAGUCCUUUGCCACCAGAACUAGAACUGAGGAACCGGACGGAGGAGACGGCCGAGCUAGAGAGAUGCCGCGCCACCACCGACUCCGCCGGCGGCAAUAGCGGAGUUGGGGUCGUGACUGCAGAUGGGAGAGGAGGAAUGGAGAAACCCAGAUGGAUUGGGAGAUUUUCAAAUAUUUGUCAAUUUCCAUGUCAGUGGAUAUUUCUUAAUUUGUAAUUGAUUAACGGUAAAUAUUUUCUCCAUUUUCAGACAAAAGCUGAAAAAAGAUGGGCAACAUCUUCCGCAGGUAAACUUACUGCGUAUAUUUUGUGAGUAAGUGAUGUUGAAGUGGUGGAUUGGAAAGGUUGUAGGUGAGGACGUAUCCCCUACUAAUCUCUGAUGUUAUAUUUUGUCCAGAGGAAGUGUUUUCAUUAGCUCAAUUAGCCGUGGGUCAAUAGUUGGUUUCACUUCUGCAGUGCGUUCAUGCGUUAAGAAUCCUGCAAUGCAUAGAUUGAUCAGCUAUUAAUUGCAAUAGAAGCUUGCCCUCACACAACCCAUUAUAUUUUCGUUUGAACUUUAACUUGGUCAUUCUUGAUACUUUUUGCAAAUACCCUUUCUGACAUAUUCUUUGCUGAUUUCCAAGAUUUGAAGCCCAGGAUGGUGCUGCGGAUGCUCCAUUCGUCCCAGGCGGCCGGGCACUGGAGGAGAUCCUCCUUGAGGCGAUCGCCGGCCUGGAUGAUACUUCUAAUGCUGGCACUGACGUCAUGUGCUUCUACAGAGUGCUCGAUAUCGGGCAGCGGUUGGUACUUGGCAUCCGAGAGCUAGAUAUCAUCCCGAGGUACCGAUGGUUGCUCACGCGCAUCAUCGAUAUGCUUGGAUAUGCUAAGUGUGCUAUUCUAGCGUGUUUUUUAACUUAUCGUUUUGUUGUUUAUUUUUGGUCGGUAAUUUGUCGUUUGUAUGUGACUUUGCUAAUAGUUUUUGGAUUAUUGUGAAAAUAAUAAUUUAUUUUAAGCUACAAAUUUUUGAAGGAGUAUACUCCACAAAUAUUUAUAAUUAUUUGUUAUUUAAUUUUUUUUAAUUUAGUUUUUUGUGAUCUAAGCACAAUUUAAAAUUGAAAAAUGAGGAAAUCAGAGAAAGAGGGCAAUUUUGUUUCUCGGGCCAGAGAUAAACAAGGGAAAUAAUUCGAGAGUAUAUAAAAACAAAAACAAAUCACAUAAUUCUCAAAUGACACAAACUCAACAAUCUUUAUGCAACAAUAUUCAAGCUAAAGUAACUCAUUGGAUAGCUGACAUGAUCUAAGUAACUUGUUCAAUCGAACUACACAGGCACAACAAGCAGGACAUUACAAGCUUGAUUCGUCAUUUGAUUAUGACUGCCCCGCCCGCUCAAUAAGAUAACGAAUUCGUGUAACAAAGCUUCAAUUUAAUCAUUGUCGUUGUGUUUUUCAGACCGGUUUAACCGAAAUACGGGUAAUUUCAUUUUUACAAAACUCGGUAAUUUGGCAAGGUUCUCGGGCCUAGUCCAUUAAGCAGCGUGAACUGAAAAUCGCGGAAUUGGGGGUCAAAGAAGGUGGGCUUGACAAAUUUUGCAAAGCGAAUUCUGGUGGGACAUGGUUUGCUGGAAACCCGUUGAUUAACUGAACAUGAAGACAAGGACGAGGGGCCAUGACCGGAGCACGCGGAACCGAAAGCAGAGUAUAUUGAAAAAUAAUUAUAAUUUUUUUUUUAAAUAGCGCUUGUUUAACCAAACUACACAAGCACAAUAAGUUGGACAUUACAAGCAAAGCUUUAUUCACCAAGAAAGAAGGAAAGAAAAAGCAAGAGGAAAUCAAGUCGAAUAUGAGAAUUUGUGGCAACUCUUAUCAAGUUUAAAAAAAGUAAAGGACAUGAAGAAAGGCCAUUGAAAGGAGUUUGAGUGGAAUCGUGACUUAAACCUUAACUUUACCCUUUUCCUUCGUCCGCAAGCUGCAACACUGAUUGGAAUCUCAAGCGAAGCUUUAUUCACCAAGAAAGAAAGAAAGAAAAAGCACGAGGAAACCACGUCGAAUACGAGAAUUCGUGACAACUCUAUCAAAUUUCAAAAAGUAAAGGACAUGAAGAAAGGCUAAUGAAAGGAGCCUGAAUGGAAUCAUGACUCAAACCUUUUGCUUCGUCUGCAAGUUGCAACACUGAUUGGAAUCUAAAGUGUAUCACGUUGAGAUAAAUCACGGUCCGUGAAUGCUAAAGAAAAUAAUUAAUUCAAGAGAAUAAAAUCACGUUAUAUGCAAACCUCUUUUCUCCAUUGAGAAUCUAUUAUUUUUUAUUUAUCACCUGUAGUCAUGCGCGAACUGUUGGUAUUUACAAAAUUAAUUUGAUUCGUUUUGUUACAAAAUAUUUGAUUUAUUAAAUAUUAAAAAGAAAUUAUUGAUAAAAAUACACAAUAAGAAGUAAGAACUAUGUAUGUAAAUAUUUGAAGUGCAAAUUUUGAAUGAUGCGCAGAACUCGAACCGACGGACGCAUGCAUCGCAGCAAUCAGGCCGGAGAGAAAGCAUUUUUGUCGUUGCCUCGUUGGGGAGAAAUUGUGCGAAAGGACAAAAUCGAGCUGAGAUGGAACGCAGAUGCAUCGGUCUCAUCGGUCGAUGCAUGGAUGUGAUGGUGGGGCCCGGUGUGCUUUGUUCUGUCCAAGGGGUAAGGCUUCCGCGUUAAGUUAUUGACGAGGCUCUUCCUCUGGGGCCUAUAAAAAUUGUAAAAUUACCAUGACGACGCCGACGACGAAGAUGACGACGACGACGACGACGACGAAGAAUAGGGGUUGGGUCCAAAUUAGAGUGGUUAAUUGUGGACUGGGCUGCAGCGGGCCCAUCUGAUCUUUUAUAGACCAGCAGGCUAGCGACUUGCUGGCCCGAGUCCCUAGUUUCAGGCUUUUGUGAAUCGAUCAUCGUGCUUGGGCUUGAGCUUGGGCUGGAGCUUGGAAAAGAAAAGCAGGGAGAUGAUGAGGAGGAUGUUGGGAGCACCGGCGCCGCAAAUGGGUCUUGUGGAUGCGGGGAAAAAGCUUCUGAGGUGUAGGGGUCGUCGUCCUGUCCUUGCACGUCGGGCCUUCACGUUCGAGGGGUGUAUCUCCGUCACCGUGUCAUGGUCCUUGAGCGUAUUUUUCAUGUUUUUAGCCGAUGCCUUCCCUUUUGUCUGGAGAGCUUUCAUUUUUAGGUUUUGGGUCGACAUUAUAGAUACCUCUUGAUUUAACAAACCGAGGUUAUGUAAAUUUAAGCGAGUUGGUGAAUGUUUCCCAUAUGCAGUUGGUAAGCCCCGAGGCGUGGUUGUGCGACUUGACCUUAGAACGGUGUGAUGUCUGGGAGAAGAAGAUAUCCAAGAGGGUGCUUCAUUUGCUUCACUCAUCUGCUUCACUUAUCUCUUUUGGAUAUGGCAUUCCUAGUGCUAUCUAAUUACUGUACUAUUUUGUGAUAAUUAGGGGAGACGUGAGGUUGUAGCGUUUUGUUGAUGGGGUCUAAUGGCCAUUGUUUGCCAGCUUUUGCCAGUUUCUGAUUAAUUCUUGGUAACUUCGAUACUUUGUUUGAGCUUUCUAUCUUGGUUAAUUUGAGGUUGAUUUUUUCUAAUGGAUUCAAAGUACUGAACUGGAUUAAGUUUCUAUCUACUUAUAGUCCAUUUCUUAUCAACUGAAGUGCCUUGCUUCAAUAUGUUUCUAGUGGAUUUCGUCACUUGCUACGGUUUCUUUUCUUCUGCUUUCAUCUGCUUGUUUGUACUUAAUCAAGCUCCACGAAUUGGUGGUACCAUGGUUAGUCGUUUGAGUUUUUUGUGUCAGGUUUUAAGUGGUGGAAGAAGGGCUUAGUAAUUUGGUUGCUCAUACAAGUUAGGUUGUUUCAUUGGAUAUAAAAUCAAUUUAUCUUAUGGAGACAAUUCCAGUCUAAGUGGGUACCGCCUCAUGUUGAUAGUUCUUGUUUUUGCAUCUGGUUCUGCUAAACAAGGAAACUAACGACUAGUUGUAGGUAUCCGGCUUGUAACCAUGAGUUUGGAUUGCUCAUCUAGGUCAUCAAAGCCCAUAGCUGGACAUGCAUGGAUAUUUAUGUCUUUGCAACCCCAUACCGCGUGACAUGGGACUACUAUUUUUUAUCUUGUGAGCACACAUUCGAGUUCAAAGAGUGGGAAGGAAAAGCUGAGUUUGAAUAUGUAAGCUGCAAUUAUCUUUUUUCUCUUCUGCCCUUGCAUGUGCAUAUUGGUGAGUUAUUACACUUGGAUUUUCCAUUAUUUCAAUUACAGGUGAAAAGCAGAGGAGUGUCAAUCUUUCUAAUGCAAGCCGGGAUGCUAGGGACCCUUCAAGCACUGUGGGAUGUGUUUUCCUUGUUUUCAAAUAUGGGGCGGGGGGAGAAAUCUAACAUUGGUUUUCUCAAGAACAUAUGGGAGCUUCAUUUGAGCAACGUCCCCAGCCUUGGGUUACAAACAUCAACAUUGAUGAUAUCCACUCUGGAGACUUCUUUGCAAUUUCGAAAGUUCGUGGGAGGUGGGGUGGUUUUGAGACUCUAGAGAAAUGGGUCAGUGGCGCAUAUGCUGGUCACACAGUUGUGUGCUUAAGGGAUUAUGAAGGAAAGCUUUGGGUUGGUGAAUCUGGACACGAUAAUGAGCAGGUAAUUUGGAAACAGAUAUGGGUUGGUUAUGCAUGUAAGUGUGUUUCUUUUUCAGUUUGAAGGGCUAAUUUUUAUAUUGACUAGUGGAGAAAGGCUUUUUGAGGAAAAGGAUUACUUUGUGAUUGUUUUUAAGCAUUUUUAUCUAUUCCUCUUUGUUCCUUUUUCUCAUACAUUGACGGAUUGCUUUCGAUGUUCGACAUUUCACCCAAUCUUUCUGCCUGUUGCUAUCUCUGCAAUUGUAAUUGUGAAGAAAAGUUUUAAACCAAUUGCAUCAACACAGUAUUAAUAUGGCUGUAAAUAUGCUAGUCUUUCACAAUAACUAUCCCCAUUGUUCCUAUAUGGGGAUAUCCAACAGACAAAUGUUCAAACAUCUCAAACACCCCCAUCAGUUGUUUGAGUUAUUAUUUCUCCACCUUCUCCUUAAUUCCCUGUGCUUAUCUGUCAUUCAUUAUUAAAGACAUUCAUACAACACUGCUUUAAUGUCCUCUGAUUAUCAAAGGGUGGUCUUGUACAUAUUAAGAAGGACAAGUAGGCUCCUUGCCAUGUUUCUGUAACAUUUUGUGAACCCUUAGGUUUUUGGGGCAUUGUAUUCCUGCGCGAUUACUUUAUAAAUGUAACUUUUGUUGAAUCAUGGACUUCUUCUCUCACAAAUAUGGUUCCCAUUGAGACUGUUCCAUUUUGCAUAUUAGGUGUGCUUUAGUCAUGCCCCUAUAUCCUUAAAUCUCCUUGCUCAUCUUAUGUUCUCUAAUACGACAGGUCUUUCCUUUUCUGUGCUCCAGUAUAAACUUUUGAUUGUAAGAGAGGAUGAGCAAGUAAACGAUGACAUGCUGCUUCAGGUUCAUGUUGAGCUGGAGCAGAUCCUAAUUAGGCUCCUACUAGAAGCUCUAUUGUAGCAUCAUCAUAUUUAUAACAUAGCAAAUACAGGGUGUCUGAACUGUUUCUACUUAACUUCAAGACCAUCUUUACACAUGACACCGCAACUUACUGAUGAUGAUUAUGGUUAGAAUUUGAUGAACUGAUGUCCUUUACUUGAGGCAGACCUUGAUUAACAAAUUUAAGGUCACAUUUGGGUUAUUGCUAGAUGCUCUGUUCCUUUGUGUUGGUAAAGGGUUCAGGUGCUGCAGAAGUCCGACAUAGUGUCUGAGAUAAUGCAAUUUUUGUUUUGUUCUUAUCAUUGCAGGGAGAAGAUGUCAUUGCUGUGCUACCAUGGGAUGAAUGGUGGGAGUUUGAGCUUAACAAAGAUGACUCAAAUCCCCACAUUGCAUUGCUUCCACUGCAUCCUGAUAUGCGAGCCAAAUUUAAUGAGACUGCUGCCUGGGAGUAUGCAGAGAGUAUGAAUGCGAAACCAUAUGGUUAUCACAACAUGCUUUUUAGCUGGAUAGACACUAUCGAUGCAAAUUAUCCAACGCCAUUGGAUGCUCAUGUGGUACAGAGAUUGUACAUGUGCAUAUGUGUUUAUAAAUUUUUUUUAUGGGUGCAUUCAGUUUGUCUUAAGACAAUCUUUCUAACACUAAGUCCUUGUGUUACUUCCAAGGUAUAUCUAUAGAUGCCUUAAGAUUCUUAGAUGCUGGAUACAAAAUAGUUUAUGCUUCUUAACCUGACUGCUAAAUAGCAAUUUACCCAUACUUUGAUAGGCCUGAAAUAUAAUGAUGCCAUGUGUCAGAUCCUAACAACACGGUCUAGUUGGAACAAGACAAUCACGCCAUGAUUUUUGAAUGAAUUCAACUGAGCAAAACAAAAGGCUGAAACCUGGACAGUGAUCUCACCAAAUAGCAGAUUAGCAUGUGACUCUAUUGAAUGCUAACAUUAUGGAGAAGAAUCUGACACUUGGUUUGACAAAUAUUCAUUUUUUUAUGGCCUUCUAUAUGAUACUAAGGCAGCAGAGUAGCAGACUUCAUUUGUCUUUUCUUAAGAGUUGCUAUCAGCCCGACUGAUGACGCAUGUAAUAUGCUUGCCAUGUGGGGUGCUUUAUUUACGUGAUGGGAGUAUGGUUCACUUGUUUUAUAGAAAGCAUUGUAUUAUUGUAGGUAGCUUCUGUUAUGACGGUAUGGAACCAAAUGCAACCAGCCUAUGCUGCGAACAUGUGGAAUGAAGCAAUCAACAAGCGACUAGGAACAGAGGUACCAUCCCAUUCAGUUGGCAAUUGUCCGUGUGAUUUUAUGCAUUUUGUUUUGCACACUUAGGUGUAACUGAAUCUAAUGUCUCAUGAAUGACAUUCAGUUAACACAUAUUAUAUGGUUGUAAUUACACUUACUUUACUUUAUGGCUACCUUACGAUUGGGUUGCAUACAGGGCUCGGAUCUUCCUGAUCUAUUAGUGGAAACUGAAAUGAGGNNNNNNNNNNNNNNNNNNNNNNNNNNNNNNNNNNNNNNNNNNNNNNNNNNNNNNNNNNNNNNNNNNNNNNNNNNNNNNNNNNNNNNNNNNNNNNNNNNNNNNNNNNNNNNNNGACUCUUUGAUCCAAUUUCUAGCUCCAUUCAAGUUACAGAGUUCACUGUAAGUGCAAUCUAAUUGACCCUAGUUGGGUUAUCUUUCUGACACUAAUUGCUUGAACUUACUAUCUUGAGAUGGAUAUCGCUUUCUUGUUGCUUUCUUCAAAGAUGGAGAGACCUAUAAUCUAGUUUGCCCUUCAAAGCAUGACUUUUUGUCAUGAGGAGUCUCAUUGGGCAUUUUGAGAAUGGCAUUGUUUUUUAUGCAGAUAAAAGAUGCUUACUCACUAAAGUUCUUAGAGAAUAAUUCAAGCCGCUUGCCUAAGUGGUGCAAUGAUGGGGACAAUGUCGAGCUUCCAUUCUGUCAAAUACGAGGUAGGUAUCGAAUGGAGCUGCCAGGAUACAAUACAAUGGACCCAUGCCCUCAUAUGAAUGAGAGGUGUCCAUCUUUGCCCCCAAAAUAUUCCAGGCCAUCCGAUUGCUAGAAAACAUUUCCUAUGAUGUGAAUAGAACUUUGUAUAUUGGUAGGUGAUUCCAUCAGAUUGUAGCUUAUGAUUGCAUAUUUUUGUAGAAUGUCUAGUAAAUAAAGACCCUUAAGGUUGCACAGAUUCAGAAAUUUACUUCUUCAAAUUCCAUUUAUUUGAUAUGAACCCACAUAACAUGUAUAAAAUUUUUGCAUAAUGUUAUAUUAACACUUCAUAUAAAUCAAUCGUUGUAUUAUUGUUUAGUCUUUCAUUAUGGUCUAUUUUUAUGAAUGUUCUUGCAAUAUAAGUAUUUAUAGUAGGACUAUCUAAAAUUUGAUGUUUACUUUCUAUCUUAUGACAGAUAGAGAUGCUCUUUUGUUUAAGGGUUUUCUUAUCUUCCUUCUCUAAAUGUUUAUGCAUUUUAUGUGUAAAAUGAAAUGAUAUGGUAUCGGAAGUGUUUAAUACACAUUAAAACAAUUAGUACUUAUUUUUAAUUUGUAUUACCUGGUAAAUGUUGUUAAUAUAAGAGCCAUUUUUUCUGUCAUUUUUUUUUCAAUUUAUUCAAAUACAUGUUUACUUGUUUUGCAGCGAAAUCAUGUAUGUUAAUAUGCACAUUGGCAUAAACUAAUCGAAAAAAAAAUAGAUAUGGCACCACAUGGUUUGAAUGAUGUUAUUGGGUAAUUGCUAAAAGAAGAACCAAUAAAUGAAAAAAAAAAUUAAACAAAAAGAUUUCAGUGAUGAAUUUAUACUGUUAUUGUCUCUUAUUCCAAGUUAUAGAAAAAAAAAAAAAACAGAUUAUAUAAACUAAUAGUAGCAUAUUGUUCGGGUAGAUUAGUUGAUAAAAUAAGUAACAUAUUUAUUAUUAAGUAUAAGAGCAACAUAAGUGCCAAACACAACAUUUUAACUUAAUCCCUAGAUAGUGAAGUUUGUGAUGUUAACCGCUCUGUCAUGGCAAUAACCAUACCACAAUUCGAGGACUAGUCGGUGACAAAGGAGCAGCAAANNNNNNNNNNNNNNNNNNNNNNNNNNNNNNNNNNNNNNNNNNNNNNNNNNNNNNNNNNNNNNNNNNNNNNNNNNNNNNNNNNNNNNNNNNNNNNNNNNNNNNNNNNNNNNNNNNNNNNNNNNNNNNNNNNNNNNNNNNNNNNNNNNNNNNNNNNNNNNNNNNNNNNNNNNNNNNNNNNNNNNNNNNNNNNNNNNNNNNNNNNNNNNNNNNNNNNNNNNNNNNNNNNNNNNNNNNNNNNNNNNNNNNNNNNNNNNNNNNNNNNNNNNNNNNNNNNNNNNNNNNNNNNNNNNNNNNNNNNNNNNAUCCACCAUUUCUAAACCCAUUCAUCAAUAAGGAAGCCAAUCCGCAUCUUAUGAGUUAGGAUAUCCAUAUUUCAAUAUAAAACAGAAUGAGAACAAUUAUUUCAUAUUUGAUGUUGAAGCAUUUGUCAGAAGCACUGUACUCAUUGCAACGUAUGUCCAGAUAUUAUCUUUAUAUCACGUCGUUAUCAAUUUACAAGUAAAGAUUGCGUGCUCCAUCAUAUAUUAUAUAAAUCUUUUGUAUAUCUUCUUUAAUGUAUAGCGUUACUCUCAAGCAAAUAACAGCAUCCACCAUUUCUAAACCCAUUCAUCAAUGAGGAAGCCAAUCCGCAUCUUAUGAGUUAGGAUAUCCGUAUUUCAAUAUAAAACAGAAUGAGAACAAUUAUUUCAUAUUUGAUGUUGAAGCAUUUGUCAGAAGCACUACACUCAUUGCAACAAAAGUUUUAAGUGAAUUAUAUUUUUAUAAGGAUAAAUUUCACAAUAAUAUCUACACAAGUUAAAUUUAAUAAAAUGAUGUUCUCAUUUAUAAGAUUUAAAAAAAAAAGCUCUUCACAAUUUUUUUAUGCAUAAACAAGUAAUCGAAUUUGUAUGCUCCUCAUCAUAACUCAUGACAUAAAUAUGAUGGACAACGUGAAAAAGAACUAUAAUUCUGUGAAAUUUCUCUUUCCGAUAAAACAAAUUUAUAUGGUAAUAAUAUCUAUCAAUAAAUAAAUAAAUAAAUAAAUAAAUAAACAUAGUGCCUUUAAUAUACCUGGAAAAUCUACAACAAACAAAAGCUAAAUAUAUAAGAUUAUUAAUUAUGGUAAGUAGAUAUAUAGAAAAAAUUUUGAAAAAAAGAAGAAGAGGAAAGUAGAUAAGUUGGGAUCACCAAUAAUUGAAUGAUAGAGGGUAACUUGAUCUUUUUGGUAAAAAUUGGGUGGAUUUAGUUAUAGGGGCGGUGGUCAGCGACUGCCUAUCAAGAAGGAGGAAGAAGAAGAGAAAAAGAAAAAGAAAAAAUAUAAUAAAAUCAUUAAAAAAUUAAAAGAAAUAAAAAAAUUUAAGAAUAUUACCAAAUGCAUUUCUAUCUUGGAAAUAUAAUCAAGUAUGUUUUUUUCUUAGAAAUUGUUCUCGAAAAUAUAAUUAAAAAAUCAUUGUUAAUAAAAAAUUAUUUCUAGAAAUAGAAUCGUUAUCAAACACGUCUUAAGUACAAAGAAGAAAAAAAGUCUCCAUCUUUUCUUUAUCAUUUUUUUUUGUUUUAAAAUGCGUGUGUGAGAGAGAGACUUGGAAUUGGUCAAAGUCUUGAAUCCUGAUCAAACAUUACUGUUGAAUGGUCCAUGUAUGCUUAUUUUACGGCACUGUACUUUAUUCAGGCAAGUCAAUUUUCUGCCUACUCAUCCUCGUCUUCUUUCAAUUUGUUCUUCCCCCGGUUUCAAGCGGAGGACUUCUAGAAACCAACCAAAUUUCUACAAUAUGCUACGUUUCGAUCCUCAACCACCGUAUCAACUAUUCAUGUAUAUUCUCAGUAAAAAGAAAAUUAAAGCACAUGCAUAUGUUUACCAUAAGAGAAUUCAUAGAAGGUUAUUGUCUUAUAGCUAUGUCCACCCAUAUAUAAUUAGGUCAUUCAACCCGAUAUAACUUGUUUCGCAUAUAAUUCCUUCAAAUAUACUUGUCUAGAGUGCGCAUAUAUUUGAUUUGGCUGUCAAUUUUUGCAUGAAUAUGAUGAUAAUCGAAAAACGUUAAUCAUAUAUAUCAAUAAAAAAAACACAUAACCUGAGAAAGAGAUCCCGAAUGAGGACGUUUUGACUAUGGAUCCCCUUCUAAUUGAACAAAUUUGAUCAAUUAGAAGCGAAUUUGAUCUAGGUGUGAACUUUCCAAACAAAUCUUAACUGUGCAUCGUUUUGUUUUCUACUAUGCUUUGGCAAAUAAUUUUCCCUACGAAUGAGAACGUACAGCUGAAAGAAGGAAACAAGUAAGUGGAAGUAGAGGGGCAACUCCCUCUGCAGCUCGGAGUACUUGAAGAUGAUAGAUACAUGAAGCGGAAGAGAUUCCCCUUCAAAUUCCAUCGAUUUCGGGAGCAUAGAAUCGUCCACGAUCAAAGGAAACAGAUUCAUUUCAGUAACUUGAUAAUGGCUUGUUGUGCGUCACUGUCCAGGGAAAGUCCUGUCCUUGCACCGGGAUGAUUAAGAAGAGAUGACUGGGGAAAAGAGAACCCAAUGCAUUUGAAAAUGGAAAUUUAGAAAGUUGCAUCCUGUGCCUCUGAACUUGCAUUUCGUUCCCAUUUUCCCAUCACAACGUGACAAACACGUGAAUGUAAACGGGGUGACCAUUUGCCCUCAUUCAAAAUGAGCAUUAAGCAAUAUACCUAAUAGAUAAAGUUACGACCACUAACCCUGAAUUGUAUUUUAAUCUAUUUGAAGAGAUCAUGGGAAUCUUUCAAAGAGUGAACUGAAAAGUAGUAACUAUGACUGAAUAUAAAAGUUUAGGGAAAAAUUCUUGGAUGUGAUUAUUAAUUAAAAUGAACAGCAAGUUUUCUGAACUAUUUAAAUAUAUGAUUGAUUUUGUGACUUGGCUAAUUAGGACUAUUGAUCAUAUUCUCCCCCAAUUGAAUGUGCAACAUUUUAGCGAAAGUUGAAAAUCAGUAUAUUUUGACAAGGGAAAACUACUAGAAUGUACACUAACAGAGUUUCAAAAAUGCAAAGCUCACUUCAUACGCUCUCUCAACUUCUGCAUUGUCCAUUCGCUAAAGACCAAUUUACCUAAACUUAUACAUGUACUUGUUAUUUGGCAUGUGCAUAAAAUUAUUUAGGAGCAAUGUAUAAUAUGCUAAAUUUGUGUUUUCCCAAUUACGAGUCUAGUUCAUAUGUAGUUUGGAUCUUUAGAUCAAAAAGAAAAAAAAAAUUAUCGCAAUAAUGAUUUAAAGACUGUAAUAACUCAGUAACUUUUAAGUUAAAUUACUGUUACAAGUUCAAAGAUUUCAUUCGCACCUUCAUAAAAGUUAACAAUCAAAUCCACUGAUAACUUAACCCAUUAUAAAAUCCAUUUGUAACCUCACAUUCUCGUGAUUCCUUUUUAAUAAGAGUGCAAUUUUUUUGAUCCAAUCUAUUACACAACACAACUCUGAAUUUCCCUAUAUGAAUUUAAAUGGGAAUUCUUAUGAGAGUUUUGGAUGCGGCCCGCAGUCUGAAGUCCUUUCCGUUCCCUUCUUCUGGUUGGCCGAAAGGAGGCCACUUUCAGCACGACAUUUUAUGACCGAAUCUUGAAAACUAAUGAGUUCUUGCCUAGGUUUUUGUUUAUCUUUUUCUUGACACGUUGGUGCAGCUCCUGUUUAAACAAGAAUAUUUAGUUAAUUGAUGACUGAGUUUAGCGAACUUGAUGGUCGAUGAUGGUGCUCAAUAAUGCUACACUUUGGAAAACUAAACACCAAUUAGUUGUCUUCAUUAAGGGUUUGGGCAGAGGACACCAAGAAAAAAAAAAAACCAAAAAGCAGCGAAAGAAGAACAAGUUUUACGAAAGAAAUGGAGGAGAUAAGGGACAAAAGAGAAAAGGCGCCUUAUGGUUAGGAUGUUGAUUGAAAAAUGAGGAAAAGAAGAAAAGAAAAUGAAAUCGAAGAGAGAAUCCAAUGCAACCAAGAGAUAUCGCUCGGCCUGAGUGGCGCCUCCGACUUUGCAAAAUUUCGAGGAGUUUCUUUUUCUGUUACACUUUAUGUCAUUCAUACCAUAUAUUUCCGCUAUGCAUUAGGACAGAGGAAUCACUUUGAUUGUAGAAAAAAUAAUAGUAAAAAGGAAGUAUGUUUACUUUGCAUUUCAUGCAGAAAUUGCUAUUUUCACCUAAGUGAAGACCAACCUAAAAAAUUGAACAAGUAAGGGCAGGUAAUAUAAGGUCCAUUAAAAUCUCGUAAACGAAUAGCUUGAGAUGUUUUCAAUAGAUUUCAUCGGCUAUUUGCAUUUUAUAGACACGGGAUGCAAAAUUAUUCUAAAAAUGUUCCACAAAAUGACAAACGACCUAAGGGGAAAAUACGGCAAACUUGCAGCAUCACUUGGGAGCAAAACCAUCAGGGGAAAGACUUUUCCCCUGCUGCCCUGACAAGAGCAUGAUCGCAACAAUCGACGUGAAUUCUCCUCUCGGAAGCUGCAAAUCUUGGAUCAUCAUGAUCAUUUACAUUUGCAAGCAGACCACAAUGGCUUUUCUUGAUUCACUGGAAUUUGGUGACAAUGAUGAGGGCCAUUUUGGUCAGAGAAAUCUCAUGUAUUUAUUAAGAUCAACAACAUUGUUGAAGGGACGAAUCAAGAGCCUCCAAUGCCCUAAUUUAGAUACUUCUCCCUUCACUACCGCAAUCCUAAGACAUUGCAGGUUUGCCAAACUUGCCAAUGUUCCUCCCAUCAAACCGACAAAGUAUUUGCUUUCAAAAUGAGUUUAGGAAUUCUGAUGCACUAUAGCUUCGGUUUUCUUUUUCUUUUUGCUUUUCUGGGUUUUCUUGCUUGUGUUUCGUGAUCUGUUGCUUAUUUGGAGCCAAAUCAAUACCAUUCAAUUUUGAUGAAUAAAUGUAUUUUUUACAAAAUGUUUCUAGUAAGAAUGCACUCUGCAGUAAAAGGUUUAGAUUAAGCAACACUGACAAAUUGCCUAGAUCAGUAUGCUGCCAAUCAGACCAUGCAAGAGAAGCAUGCGCCUUAUUUUGUCAAUAUACAAGUAUUUCAUCACAUCUAUGGACCGUGUGAUCCUUUUGGUUUAGUAAAUAUGGAACUUUACAGGACAACAUCCCUUUUGCGACAAUGUACAACACUUGAAAUAAGUCAGUCAUUUGCAACUUCAAAUUUACAGGAAAGCAUGCUCAAGUAGCAUAGCAGCAGAAGGCCUCUCCGCAGACUGUCUUCGAAAGCAGCACUGUAGGAAAUCCUUUCCCUCGGCAGAUAACGUCUCAGGUAUUGCUGGAGAACUUUGCAUCACCUUAAAUAUAGCUUGAGCCUGCAUAAAUGAUUCAAUAUUAAACAGAAACUCAUGACACAGAUCACACACCAAAUGGUAAUGCACAUGGCCCGAACUUCCAAUAGAAAACGAAGACACAGAUUUGCUUGGAAGCGUAUUACCUGGAUGGACAGAGAAAAUGAAAAAAAAAACAGUGCAGCGUACUUACCCACUCAUAGUCCAAGAAGGUUUCCCAGUAAUCAUUUCGGUAAUAGUACAUCCCAAACUCCACAUGUCGGCAGUAUGAUCGAGAUCCGUGCUGUAGUUAUUCACCAUCAAGGAUUGUAUGAGUUGCAAGAUAUAUUAUUCCAUCAUUCCACCAUGACUAAAAAAGAAUGCCGCAUUAACAUUAACAAAAGCAGAGUACCUCUAGAGCCAUCCAGUUUAGACUUCCCUUCAAAGAGCGGUAAGCUGCUUGUCCGAUUAGCUAAGAAAUGGUACGGCAUUAGUAAAGCUGAAGACUACUUGGUGUGUUCAUGGAACACUGGAUAAAACAGCAACAUCUUUAUAGACAUAGAUACAUCAGAUCAAUAACUGAAUCAACCACUUUCAACUUAUGUUACUCAUUACUGAGAAAAAGGACCAUGAAGCAAUUAACAUGGCCUCAGCAAAUGCUUGAGAACUCAAAAAGAGAGCAACAACACCUUGGCUACUGUCCAGAAUUCCAUUCUAUGGAUCAAUACACUUUUAUUUACCCCAUGUUAGGAAGGAGGCCCUUACUUACUCUGACUAAUUUCUAUCCUUAUUUUGGAAUGUAGAGGAGCAGCAAAAAUAACACCACAACCUUUUGCCAAAGGUAUUGCGUUCUAUUCACUGCCGCUCUUAGGAACUUUUUAGAAACCAAUAGAAAGGGAAAGAACUCUCAUUAGGUUUCGGCAUCUAUUUACAGCAAGAAAUCUUUUCCCGUUUAUGCAACAUGGUAACUUUACCCGAAACAAUGGGAAAAAAAGUGAAGAAAAUUACUUAAUAACAUUUCAUCCGUCUAUGAUAGAUUUAUGCACAUAUGAAAUGCCACAAACCAAUAACGAGAAGUACGCAGUCACCCUGGGUCCCUGACUUCACAUUCGAAUGCACCACAGAUCAGCAAGGAAUUUCUACAUGCAUUGAGUAGUCUUGCAAUGAAGAGGAAAAAACUCACACGUUUAGCAAUUCCAAAGUCAGCAAGUUUGAAUAUCCCAAAUGCAUCCACAAAUAAAUUAGCUCCCUUUAAAUCCCUGCACAAGCCAAAUAGUUUUAACAGGUCUGUAGGCACAAAGAAGAAGGUCCAAUCAUCCUAAUCCAAUAUGCAAGUCAUCUCAUGAUGCUUGAUCAAUGGUUUAGAAUUACCCAUGUAUGGAGUUGGUAACAUGCAGGGAAGCCAAUCCAGCCACAAUAUAGCGGGUAAAGUGUGGACAACCAAUUAUGUUAGGGUCCCAAGAUGCUCUGGAUAUACUUGUCUGUUGAAUCGUGAUGUGCAUAUUCUAGAUAUAUGUAAAGCCAAUCCUCUAUUGAAUCGUGAUGUGCAUAUUCUAGAUAUAUGUAAAGCCAAUCCUCAACCUGAGUAUGUAUGAAUGUGUUGAGAUUUUGGUGAGUCAAAUAAUGAACGCCCAUUGAGCUGGAACACAAAUGCUGUGGAAAUUUGGCUCACAAAUUCCAUGACAUAAUACUGCAGAAUGUUCGGAUGUCUAUGCUGGCUAAGUACCUGAAUUUCCUGUAGUAACAAAGCAAUCAAUUACCUGAAAAUGGUGAAAGAAAGUUUCCUCUCAGCAUAUUUAGAUCAGAUGAGAGGAUAGAUUGGAUCCCAGAGCACAACAAAAACAUUACCUGCUUUAACUGCUUGAUGCACUCAGCUUAAUUUGGAUCAUUAGGCGAUAGCUCAAACUCCUUCCAUGCACAUAGAGAUCUGGUUUUUCUGUCACUUAAUAUGUCAAAGUUUAGCUGACUGGAUAUCUAAAAAAAUGGAACAUGUCUAAGAUUCCCAGAGCUAACUUACUGGUUGCUUGCAAUGUAAACACUUUCAAGAGUGCCAUGUCCUAUAAGCCGGCCUUUUUUCCAUUGACUUGCUAGUGGUUGCUGCUCUGAUUUUUAGUAACUUGAGCUGAAGCUGUAGGGUUCUCCAUCUAUCCACAACUUCGAGGCAUUUAAAGAGGGGUGAUAGCUGUGCAAUUCUUUCUUCUUCGUCUUUUUACAUUUCUAACUCAAAGAAUGACAAAGGGUGAAAAGAAAAAAUCCCGGUCUAUGUUUCCAGAUAUGAUACAACUACUAAGCAUAUCAAGUAUUCUAUACCUGAUAGUUUAAUGUCGAAAGAAGUUUAAUCGGGGUCAUGUUGCUCUGAUCCAAUAGAGCAAAGCAGCAUAUUUGACACAAUAUUUUCGAUCGACAAGUUAAAGCGAUAUCAUAUUUGAAAUCCUUUCUAAACAAAAACAAAUUAAAGGUAGUGCUGCACAAAAUUCUCUUUUUUUAGAUGGCUAAUAUCCCAAGAAGAUCAAUCCAUAAUAAUAAAUCGUCCUUUCAGUUAUAAGAAAAGAUAGGAAACAAAAUUUGCUAUUCCCUAGGCUUCCCAAAUCUUCAGAUCCGUUGCUUUUUGACUAACCUAAAAUAUUGACCAAAUUGACUCAUUUCCAGUAGUCAAUAAAACAUGCGAUCGCAUUCAAAAUAGACAAAGCAUGGCCACAAAAAAAAAGUCAAAUUCAUAUGGCAACCUGAGUAGUCGAGCAGCCGGGCUUUCUUGCAGCCCUGAGUCAAAGGAGACCCUCUACCUUCCAAUUCUGCAAAAGGCCACUGUUAGAGCUACAUGACUAUAUAGACGGAAAAGCUACAUCUUUGUAACGACUUUUAAGAAGUGAAGCAAUUGUAUAUCCGUUAAACUCAUUAACCUAUAGCAUUUGGAGGACACGGUCUCGCCUUAUGAGAAGAAAUUCCAUCAUUGGCGUGUUUCCCUUUUCGGAGAUAAGGUUGAAGAAUAGUCUGAGCAUUGGGAUGAUUCCACAUCAGUGUCUUCCACUUUUCCUCAUCUUCCACCCAAAUAUACGGAAGCUCCUCAAUUUCACACAAUCGCAGUUGCAAAGGAAUCCCCUUCAGUUUUGGGCAUUCGUCCACAGUCAAAUAUGUCAUGGAAUCACAGCUUAUUGGUACUUCACAUAUGCUCUUCAGCUGGGGUAGAUCGUGUA